This 107393-nucleotide long non-coding RNA is filed under the name Triticum aestivum (bread wheat). RNAcentral describes it as "long non-coding RNA (TAES_LNC016372)". The record is from RNAcentral. Lineage: Eukaryota; Viridiplantae; Streptophyta; Magnoliopsida; Poales; Poaceae.
UACGAGUAAAACCAGCCCUCGAGUUGCCCCGAGGUGGCCCCGCAGUCUGCCCGGUUCGGACCAACACUUAGACAAGCACUGGCCCGGGGGGGGGGGGCUAAAUAAAGAUGACCCUUGGGUUAAUUACUCCCAAGGGAAAAGUAGGUGGUGGUGAGGCAAAUGGUAAAAGGCAAUGUUGGGCCUUGCUGGACAAGUUUUAUUCAAAGCGAACUGUCAGGGGGGUCCCAUAAAUCACCCGACCGCGUUAGGGACGCAAAAUCCGGGAACAUAACACCGGUAUGACGGAAACUAGGGCGGCAAGAGUGGAACAAAACACCAGGCAUAAGGCCGAGCCUUCCACCCUUUACCAAGUAUAUAGAUGCAUUAAUAAUAUAAGAGAUAUUGUGAUAUCCCAACAUAAACCCUGUCCACCAUGGAGAAAUCUUCAACUUCACCUGCAACUAGCAAUGCUAUAAGAGGGGCUGAGCAAAGCGGGAACAUAGCCAAACAAUGGUUUGCUAGGAAUGGUGUCAAAGGUUAGAGGUUCAUGGCAAUAUGGGAUGGCUUGAUAAACAGGUAAUAGGUAGCGCAGCAUUGCGAUAGAACGAAGCAACUAGCAUAGCAAUGAUAGUAGUGAGAUCCAGGGUAGCGGUCAUCUUGCCUGAAAUCCCGCAAGGAAGAAGAACGAGUCCAUGAAGAAGAUGAACGGAUGAAGCCGAACCAAACGUAGACGAACGAAUCCUCACGAACGCAACGAAACAGGAACUAACAAGAAGAAGCACACAACAUAGGUAAACACCCCACACAAGAACAAGACAUGAUGCACAACAAGCAUGAUGCAUGACCAAGCUACAUGAAGCUACUCAUGGCAAGAGAUGAUGCAAACAAGAACAACACAUCAAGGCAAGUUUAAAUGAGGCCGGAAACAACGUAUAACAAUUCCGGUAAGUCCUCAUAUGCAAUUUUCGAAAUAGGUCCAGAACUGAAUAAACCUUAUGUUCAAGUAGUUAAACAGCAAGUUAAGAUGCACCACUAUGAUCUACACGAAAUUCUAGUCAAGUUACAUAUAAAGUUCAUUAGAUUCGGAGCUACGGCCUAGAAGAUAUGAGCAAAACAAGUUAAACAUGACAUUGAUGCAAAAUGCAUACAAACAUCAAGCAAACACCUCAAAACAAGGAUGCAACAUGAUAAUAUGAAGCUACAUGCAAAAUCAAGCAAGUUUCAUAUAGAGCACACUCAAAACGGAGCAACGGUUCAACACCCACACACUAUACAAGUCAUAGCAACAAUCUGUCCAAAACAGCAACUAGGCAUCUUACAAGCAUCAAAACAACAUGCUACAGCACCCCAACAUAAUAACAAAAGGCAUGGGCAUGAAGUACACGUAAGGCAUAACAAAACAUGAACACUGAGCUAUCUCCAGAAACAACUAGAACAUGCUCAAAAACACAUGGAGAUAUUGCAAAUAAUAACAGUUUCAGACUUUAGCAGAAAUAACAUCAGGUUGCAAUGUUUAGAGCUAUCAAACAACAUGUUACAGGAACUUAUCAUGGCAAACAAAGGCAUGGCAUGAUUCUACUCAAAGCAUAUAUCAAUAGUCCCUUGCUGACCAUAAGCCAAAAAGGACUAGAGGAUAUGAUGGCACCCAUGUAAACAUAGCAAGUUUUAUUACAGAUUUAAACAUGGCAGGAACAACAAUAAGUAGGCAUGUUCGUGAGCUCGAAACACUCACUACAGAGCAAUACAUGGCAUGGCAAGGCAACCAAUAGUAAGAAGGCAUGUUUAUGAAGCUAAGCAUGGGAAGAGCAAGGUCAUAGCAUACACGGAUCAACUACAACGACCUCGUGAAAAUUGAAUCUCAUGCAAACAAUCUGUCAGGAAACAUUUUCAAGCAACUUUGGAACAAGAAAUGAACAUGUUCCGGCAGGCUAUAAUUGCAACCAAGAGCACGAAUGGAUAGAGCAAGACAUGUAUAUCAAAACAUGUUUAUAGAGCAUCUCCAUAUUAUGCAUAGAUUGAUUAGUGGAAGCAUGUUAACAUGGCAUCAAAAUGUAACAGAAUCUGUCAGGAAAACAGCAACAGCAACUACCCUACUUUACAAGCUCAAAGCACUCAGCACACAACUCACAAAAAUACAAGGUCAACACCUCUGGAAAGAUGGCAUGGCAUAGUCCAACAUUCAUGUAGAGCUCAACCUCAUAGGAUGCACACAUAAAUCAUGGCAAAAGUGAUAAAACAGCAAGUUAUAACAGUUUCAGCAGAUUAACAUCCUGAAUCACUCUUCCAACAGCAUUUCGGGCAUCAAGAUGAGCUCAAAUGAAAAUGAUGCAAUGGAAUGAAAUGAUGUACUCGUCGAGGCGAACAAUUUGACAUAUUAUACGCAUGAAACGGAGCUACGGAUGCAGAGAUGUGAUGCUAUGAAAAUGCAAGAAAAUAACUGAAAUCUGGGACUUCGAGGAUUUCGGGGGUCAACCUGCGGGUUGCACGGUUUACGAGGCGGCGGCACGAGCUCGCCGGAGGGUUCGCCGGAGGAGGCCGAGGGCGGCGGAUCUGGCCGAUCCUCGCCGGAUCUGGCGCCGGCGAGGGUGGGGCGACCGGAGAAGGCAUGGGCGGCGGCGCGGGCUCGGGAGCUCCUCUCCCUGGAGCUCGGCGCGGAGGUCGGCGGGGCGGCCGCGGCAUACGCCGGCGCGGAAGGCGGCGCGGCCCGGCGGAGGGCGGCGCGGGGCUUCGGUCGCCGGAGCGAGGAGCGGGGGCGGCGCGCUCGGGAGCUGGCGGAGUGCGGCGAUGGGGAGAGGCGCGGGGGCGCCNNNNNNNNNNNNNNNNNNNNNNNNNNNNNNNNNNNNNNNNNNNNNNNNNNNNNNNNNNNNNNNNNNNNNNNNNNNNNNNNNNNNNNNNNNNNNNNNNNNNNNNNNNNNNNNNNNNNNNNNNNNNNNNNNNNNNNNNNNNNNNNNNNNNNNNNNNNNNNNNNNNNNNNNNNNNNNNNNNNNNNNNNNNNNNNNNNNNNNNNNNNNNNNNNNNNNNNNNNNNNNNNNNNNNNNNNNNNNNNNGGGUGGAAGCGGCGGCGCCACAUGGCGGCGCGGGAGUGGGUGCGGGCGGCGGCGGAGCUGACGUGGCAAGCCCUGAUUGGGCGGAGUGAGGUGUCCGGCGGACGUGUCCGGCCGGGGCGGACAUGUCCCGCGGCGCGGAGAGGAGCGGGGCUAGGGUUUGAUCUGCGCGAAAAUGGAAGGGGAGGGCCUUUAAAUAGGUAGAGGGAGCUAGGAGAGUCCAAAUGAGGUGCGGUUUUCGGCCACGCGAUCGUGAUCGAACGACCGAGAACAUGGAGGGGAGCUAGAUGGGUUUUGGGCCACUUUGGAAGGGGUGUUGGGCUGCAACAAAAGAGGCUUUCACGGUUACCCGGUUAACCGUUGGAGUACCAAACGACCUCCAAAUGGCACGAAACUUGACAGGCGGUCUACCGGUGCUAUACCAUGGCUGCUUGGCAAACCUCGAGCCAUUCUGAGAAAGUUUAAUACCCGCUCACAACAGGAGAGAAGAAGGGGACGCCGGAUGACAUAGGUGUGCCGGAUUGCAAAACGGACAACGGGGAAAAGGCUCGGAUGCAUGAGACGAACACGUAUGCAAAAUGAAAUGCACAUGAUGACAUGAUAUGAAAUGCAGAUGAUGACAUGGCAAACUGCAACACGCAAGCAAAUGACAUGGCAACGACGGUGAAUAACUGGCGAACACCUGGCGCAAUGAAUCCGGGGCGUUACAAUACUCCACCACUACGAGAGGAUCUCGUCCCGAGAUCUAGGAUGGCACCGGAGGGAAAAAACGGAAGAGGAAUAGAAGAGGUAAACUAAGUUGCUUCUUUGACGAACGAGUGAAACCAACAAACCUUGAGAGGUCGAACAAAAUGAAAGAAAGAAAACAACGAAGAUGAACAAAGUUGAAAGCACUCUGUUAGAAGAGGAACAUGGGAUACGACGAGAACCAAGAGGUUUAGUGACAAGAUAGAUAUUGAAACCACUCCGGUUAAAACUAGAUAGAGAAGGAGUAAGAAUGAUAUAAUUUGGGCAGCACUCCGACUGAAAGAAGAAGGAAAACUAGAUAGGAUGAGAUGAUAUUGAUGAGAUGAAAAGAUAAUGAAUGAGAACACCACACUGCGGUUAAAUGGAUAAGCAAGAAAAGAACAUGACCUCACAAUUCGACAUGAUGAGUGAAGAGAGCAAACGUAAUGCCUUCAGAAGAAAGAAUAGAAGGUAAAUCAUUGGAACAAAAGAAUGGAGAAGAAAAUGCCAACUUCUGCCACAAUUGAGCUUGGAAAUCAUCCUUGCAAAGGAGAAUCGAACGGAGAUGUUGGAAAAACAACAACGAGAAGCACAAGCUUGUUGUGGGCUUAUGGCAAACAUCUCAAGACUAUGAGGUGACAACCGGCCACUAAUGCAAACCAUUGAUUGCUUGAGAUCAACGAAGAGAUGCAAAACUGCUUUCGCCGAGAUGAUAGAGAGACAACUUGGAUCAUAGAUAAACACCACAAAUAGCAACAUUCCUUAGGAAAGGCUUUGGGUGAAAUCUUUACCAAGAUAACUCCAAAGAAGAGAUUGAUGGAUUUAAAAUACCUCACUUUUGACAAUAAUAUGAAUCAUGAAACAUGAAGGAAAUUGUCAAGAGUGACAUAACACCACCUCAAAAGAUAAGGUAGAAAGAAUUGCACUUUGGAAUGCAAGAAGAAGAAUACUUGAGCUCCUCAAAACAAAACAUGUGUUGAACACCAUGUUUAUUUUAGAGUAUAGCUUGGCAGAUCAUAACUUCAAGAGAAAUCUUGAAGAACAAUUGAAGAAUGAAAAGAAUCCUUGACGAACCAUCAUGUAGAACCUCCAUGAAGAACUCCGGUAAACAAAAGGAAUGAAAAGAAAGAGAAAUUGAAAAACACAAGGUGAAUCCUUGCAAUGAUUUAGAUGGAUCUCCGUGAUAAUUAGAGCUUGGAACUCCGGGAAAAAGAGAAGAUGAAACAAAUGAAACCGAGAAUUUUAAGGGCCUCCGGAAUAAAGAAUUAAUCACUUGGAUGAACAAGAACAAGAAUUAUGUUAUGCUUAUCCUUCACCAAUUAAAUUGAUGAGAAUCAACGGAUUUGGCAUACUACUUAUUCUCGUAGAAAGGAUUAAAAGAGAUAUAUCAAAACUUCAGAAGGUCUUCAACGAACCACCGGUAGGAUUGGAACAACAAAUGAAUAUUUGAUAUGGUAACGAAGGAAGUGAAAAUCUUGAAUGAACCACCGUAAGAAUUGAAAAAGAGAGUAGCAAAGGCACAAUUCACCGGAAGAAUUGGAGAACGAAUGAAGAUACUUGAGGGGAUUUAGAUACAUGAGAACGAAGAGAUCAUGAACUGAUUAGAGGGUAUUAGAAUGAUGCACUGGAAGAAUUCAAGAACGAGAGCUGAAAACUGAGAAUGAAGAAUUAUGACAUGAUGGCCUUCGGAGGAAAGAAAUGGAAACAACUCAAGAAAUCCUCCGAAUGGUAAGAAAAGAAUUCUCACAAUCAAAACAAUUAUGAGGAUAGCAUGAAGCUAGAACCAUGAAUAUUCAAGAGAAUGGACCAAGAUUUAAGAGGAACUCUUCUUCGGUCUUCAAAUGAUGAGAAUGACAAUGAGAAACACCACCAAGAAUUAUUGAGGCACACCGGAAGAAUCAAAAGCGAAGAGGUUGAGCCAACUAUGAAAAGAAUUUGAAAGAUCUUGGAGAAAAGCAUGUGACUGAUGAAAAUUCAUUCUUACGUCAAACUUGGAGAAGAAUUUAGGAUAGCUCUGGGAAAAUAGAAGAGUCAGGUAAGAUCCUGGAAAAAGACCUGUGGGUUAGGGCCCACUCAAAAGAACACCGUUGAAAAGAUUUAAAAGAGAUGUUGCACCGGUUGAAUUAAAUGACUUGAAUGGGAUACCAAUCUCGAAAGAGCUUGAAUGAAUGCAGAGUGGAAACACGAAUCUUCGAGAUAUCUUGAGCACUCCGGAAUAACAAAUAGCGAGAAGUAGAAUGAUAAUGAGGUGCACCGGAAUGAGAAGACAUUGAAACGAGGAAAGGGAUAUGAUGAAUAUCAAAAGCUUGAAUUGGAUCCACCAGAGAAGAAUACGAGAAUGAAGAAUGAUGAAUUUGAAGCUCGUGAGCAUCUUCAUGGGAAAUCACCGGAUAAGAAUAUUGAUUGAAAAGAGUGAAGUGACUUCACAUGAAUAAAUGGAUACUUGAUUAAGAAAUCUGUGUCCUUGAAGAAAAAGGGUGGGUGGGCGGGAAAACAAAGACAACCUGGGAUGGAUGAAACAAACACCGUUGAGAAAAACUUAGAAUUGAUCUUGCGGAUGGGGAGAAUGAUCGGAUCCACUUGAAGAGAAACACGCCGGUUGAAAAGGAUUGACAUGACAAUCUCGAUUGUCGAGAAGGAUUGGUAUUCACAUCGGAGUAUGAGAACACCAUUUAGGAAAGGUAUGGAAUCCACACUUGACAACGAAGCAACUCGAAUACCACAAUAAAACAAAACAAAGGAUUGGCUUGCAGAAUAAGCCGGAACAAACAUAUGAUAGAGAUUUCGUCCAAAGUUUUCGUGGUGGGGCCUACAUGGGCUCAAUCGUACAACACCAUCAUGUACAAGGCAGUGCACAUGACAUACGAAGCGUCCCCGAGUCGGCAUAGCCAAGGACUCUUUAAGACACAACGAUACCACUGUAAAACCAACCGUGAAUAGGCAGACCACUAGAUGUCGAACCCCAAUUUCAUAUCAUACAUCCGUCGGAAAGAUAUCCUAAGAGCUACUUGAAUUCCCACCUAUGAAACUCCCGAAAUUUUCCGGUUAUGCAAUCAGGUGUUGGGGAUACAGGGGAGCAAUAUAUAUCUCACACAAACUAACAAUCCCUACAUCCAGCUGUAUCCAUCCGUCAACACAUAACCAAGAAACCUUCGGAAAUCGUGUACCUCAACCUUCAAAAAGCAUCCGUUAUACGAGUCAUGGCAAUACUCCCGUACUCACCUCAGUACUGGGUUAGCGGGGUUAUCUCACCAACAACUGCAUAAAAGAGAUUUUCGAUGUCGGCGUACUAAACUCAGGUAUUCCAGAACUGCAACGAUAAAAUUAUGACGACAACACCUCAGAGCUCAACUGCCCGGGACACUGCCACAACCCCUAAAUGUCAGGAGGCACCAAGAACAAUGUUCUCGUCAUAAGAAUAUCGGAUCGAUUCCAAGAUACCCGCGUGAUCCUAAAAAUUUUUUUAGUGAAAUUUGAGAAGAGAAGAGUCAAAACUCUACGUCAGGAUACCUCACCAGAGCGAUGAAGGGACUGAGGAGUAAAAAGAAUUCCUAACUCUCCGAUAUAUAUAAUCCUAAAUGACUCAAAACAUUUUUCUAGACACAACUCGGCCGCUAAAAGCGAUCAAGCAGUGGGGCUCCUAAGGUCGGGGAAGGCUCUGAUUACCAACUUAUAACGCCCUCGAUGCGGCUAUAUCUUCCACGUGUCGAAGCACGACUUAGAGGCAUAACCGCAUUGAAAGCAAUGUCGCAAGUGAGGUAAUCUUCACACAACCCAAGUAAUACAUAAGGGAAAGAGAUACAUAGUUGGCUUACAAUCGCCACUUCACACAAUUACAUGAAUAAAGCAUUACAUCAUCCAGAUACAAUCAAGGUCCGACUACGGAACCAAAAUGAAAGAAGAACCCAAAAUGCGACAAAGGUCCCCGAUCGACCCCAACUGGGCUCCACUACUGAUCAACUAGAACGAAACAACACAAAGGGCAAGAUCUUCAUCGAGCUCCUCCUUGAGCUUGAAUGCGUCACCUGCUCGGUAACAUAGGCACCUGCAAACUGGUUUUUGGAAGUAACUGGUGAGCCACAAGGACUCAGCAAUCCCAUUACCAUGGGUAUCAAGACUAGCAAAGCUUAAUGGGAAAGGAAGGGGUAAAGUGGUGAGGUUGCAACAGCGACUAAGCAUGAUAUGGUGGCUAACCAACGCAAAUAAGAGCGAGAAGAGAACAAGCGGAACGGCCGUGAAGCUAGCAAUGAUCAAGAGGUGAUCCUGAACACCUACUUACGUCAAACAUAACACAGAAACCGUGUUCACUUCCCGGACUCCGCCGAGAAGAGACCAUCACGGCUACACACUCGGUUGAUGCGUUUUAAUUCGGAUCAAGUGUCAAGUUAUCUACAACCGGACAUUAACAAAUUCCCAUCUGCCACAUAACCGCGGGCACGGCUCUCGAAAGUUUAUACCCUGCAGGGGUGUCCCAACUUAGCCCAUGACAAGCUCUCGCGAUCAUCGAAGGAAUAGACCUUCACCCGAGACACUCCGAUCAGACUCGGUAUCCCGGUACAUCAAGACAUUUCGACAAUGGUAAAACAAGACCAGCAAAGCCGCCCGAUGCACCGACAAUCCCGAUAGGAGCUGCACAUAUCUCGUUCUCAGGGCAACACCGGAUAGGUCAGCCUACGAGUAAAACCAGCCCUCGAGUUGCCCCGAGGUGGCCCCGCAGUCUGCCCGGUUCGGACCAACACUUAGACAAGCACUGGCCCGGGGGGGGGGGCUAAAUAAAGAUGACCCUUGGGUUAAUUACUCCCAAGGGAAAAGUAGGUGGUGGUGAGGCAAAUGGUAAAAGGCAAUGUUGGGCCUUGCUGGACAAGUUUUAUUCAAAGCGAACUGUCGGGGGGGUCCCAUAAAUCACCCGACCGCGUUAGGGACGCAAAAUCCGGGAACAUAACACCGGUAUGACGGAAACUAGGGCGGCAAGAGUGGAACAAAACACCAGGCAUAAGGCCGAGCCUUCCACCCUUUACCAAGUAUAUAGAUGCAUUAAUAAUAUAAGAGAUAUUGUGAUAUCCCAACAUAAACCCUGUCCACCAUGGAGAAAUCUUCAACUUCACCUGCAACUAGCAACGCUAUAAGAGGGGCUGAGCAAAGCGGGAACAUAGCCAAACAAUGGUUUGCUAGGAAUGGUGUCAAAGGUUAGAGGUUCAUGGCAAUAUGGGAUGGCUUGAUAAACAGGUAAUAGGUAGCGCAGCAUAGCGAUAGAACGAAGCAACUAGCAUAGCAAUGAUAGUAGUGAGAUCCAGGGUAGCGGUCAUCUUGCCUGAAAUCCUGCAAGGAAGAAGAACGAGUCCAUGAAGAAGAUGAACGGAUGAAGCCGAACCAAACGUAGACGAACGAAUCCUCACGAACGCAACGAAACAGGAACUAACAAGAAGAAGCACACAACAUAGGUAAACACCCCACACAAGAACAAGACAUGAUGCACAACAAGCAUGAUGCAUGACCAAGCUACAUGAAGCUACUCAUGGCAAGAGAUCAUGCAAACAAGAACAACACAUCAAGGCAAGUUUAAAUGAGGCCGGAAACAACGUAUAACAAUUCCGGUAAGUCCUCAUAUGCAAUUUUCGAAAUAGGUCCAGAACUGAAUAAAACUUAUGUUCAAGUAGUUAAACAGCAAGUUAAGAUGCACCACGAUGAUCUACACGAAAUUCUAGUCAAGUUACAUAUAAAGUUCAUUAGAUUCGGAGCUACGGCCUAGAAGAUAUGAGCAAAACAAGUUAAACAUGACAUUGAUGCAAAAUGCAUACAAACAUCAAGCAAACACCUCAAAACAAGGAUGCAACAUGAUAAUAUGAAGCUACAUGCAAAAUCAAGCAAGUUUCAUAUAGAGCACACUCAAAACGGAGCAACGGUUCAACACCCACACACUAUACAAGUCAUAGCAACAAUCUGUCCAAAACAGCAACUAGGCAUCUUACAAGCAUCAAAACAACAUGCUACAACACCCCAACAUAAUAACAAAAGGCAUGGGCAUGAAGUAAACGUAAGGCAUAAAAAACAUGAACACUGAGCUAUCUCCAGAAACAACUAGAACAUGCUCAAAAACACAUGGAGAUAUUGCAAAUAAUAACAGUUUCAGACUUUAGCAGAAAUAACAUCAGGUUGCAAUGUUUAGAGCUAUCAAACAACAUGUUACAGGAACUUAUCAUGGCAAACAAAGGCAUGGCAUGAUUCUACUCAAAGCAUAUAUCAAUAGUCCCUUACUGACCAUAAGCCAAAAAGGACUAGAGGAUAUGAUCGCACCCAUGUAAACAUAGCAAGUUUUAUUACAGAUUUAAACAUGGCAGGAACAACAAUAAGUAGGCAUGUUCGUGAGCUCGAAACACUCACUACAGAGCAAUACAUGGCAUGGCAAGGCAACCAAUAGUAAUAAGGCAUGUUUAUGAAGCUAAGCAUGGCAAGAGCAAGGUCAUAGCAUACACGGAUCAACUACAACGACCUCGUGAAAAUUGAAUCUCAUGCAAACAAUCUGUCAGGAAACAUUUUCUAGCAAAUUUGAAACAAGAAAUGAACAUGUUCCCGCAGGCUAUAAUUGCAACCAAGAGCAUGAAUGGAUAGAGCAAGACAUGUAUAUCAAAACAUGUUUAUAGAGCAUCUCCAGAUUAUGCAUAGAUUGAUUAGUGGAAGCAUGUUAACAUGGCAUCAAAAUGUAACAGAAUCUGUCAGGAAAACAGCAACAGCAACUACCCUACUUUACAAGCUCAAAGCACUCAGCACACAACUCACAAAAAUACAAGGUCAACACCUAUGGAAAGAUGGCAUGGCAUAGUCCAACAUUCAUGUAGAGCUCAACCUCAUAGGAUGCACACAUAAAUCAUGGCAAAAAUGAUAAAACAGCAAUUUAUAACAGUUUCAGCAGAUUAACAUCCUGAAGCACUCUUCCAACAGCAUUUCGGGCAUCACGAUGAGCUCAAAUGAAAAUGAUGCAAUGGAACGAAAUGAUGUACUCGUCGAGACGAACAAUUUGACAUAUUAUACGCACGAAACGGAGCUACGGAUACAGAGAUGUGAUGCUAUGAAAAUGCAAGAAAAUAACUAAAAUCUGGGACUUAGAGGAUUUCGGGGGUCAACCUGCGGGUUGCACGGUUUACGAGGCGGCGGCACGAGCUCGCCGGAGGGUUCGCCGGAGGAGGCCGAGGGCGGCGGAUCUGGCCGGAUCCUCGCCGAAUCUGGCGCCGGCGAGGGUGGGGCGACCGGAGAAGGCAAGGGCGGCGGCGCGGGCUCGGGAGCUCCUCUCCCUGGAGCUCGGCGCGGAGGUCGGCGGGGCGGCCGCGGCAUACACCGGCGCGGAAGGCGGCGCGGNNNNNNNNNNNNNNNNNNNNNNNNNNNNNNNNNNNNNNNNNNNNNNNNNNNNNNNNNNNNNNNNNNNNNNNNNNNNNNNNNNNNNNNNNNNNNNNNNNNNNNNNNNNNNNNNNNNNNNNNNNNNNNNNNNNNNNNNNNNNNNNNNNNNNNNNNNNNNNNNNNNNNNNNNNNNNNNNNNNNNNNNNNNNNNNNNNNNNNNNNNNNNNNNNNNNNNNNNNNNNNNNNNNNNNNNNNNNNNNNNNNNNNNNNNNNNNNNNNNNNNNNNNNNNNNNNNNNNNNNNNNNNNNNNNNNNNNNNNNNNNNNNNNNNNNNNNNNNNNNNNNNNNNNNNNNNNNNNNNNNNNNNNNNNNNNNNNNNNNNNNNNNNNNNNNNNNNNNNNNNGGAGGCGGCGGCGCCACGUGGCGGCGCGGGAGUGGGUGUGGGCGGCGGCGGAGCUGACGUGGCAAGCCCUGAUUGGGCGGAGUGAGGUGUCCGGCGGACGUGUCCGGCAGGGGCGGACAUGUCCGGCGGCGCGGAGAGGAGCGGGGCUAGGGUUUGAUCUGCGCGAAAAUGGAAGGGGAGGGCCUUUAAAUAGGUAGAGGGAGCUAGGAGAGUCCAAAUGAGGUGCGGUUUUCGGCCACGCGAUCGUGAUCGAACGACCGAGAACAUGGAGGGGAGUUAGAUGGGUUUUGGGCCACUUUGGAAGGGGUGUUGGGCUGCAACAAAAGAGGCUUUCACGGUUACCCGGUUAACCGUUGGAGUACCAAACGACCACCAAAUGGCACGAAACUUGACAGGCGGUCUACCGGUGCUAUACCAAGGCCGCUUGGCAAACCUCGGGCCAUUCUGAGAAAGUUUAAUACCCGCUCACAACAGGAGAGAAGAAGGGGAUGUCGGAUGACAUAGGUGUGCCGGAUUGCAAAACGGACAACGGGGAAAAGGCUCGGAUGCAUGAGACGAACACGUAUGCAAAAUGAAAUGCACAUGAUGACAUGAUAUGAAAUGCAGAUGAUGACAUGGCAAACUACAACACGCAAGCAAAUGACAUGGCAACGACGGCGAAUAACUGGCGGACACCUGGCGCAACGAAUCCGGGGCGUUACAUUGACAUUGAAGGUCUUUAGCCACAAGCCGAAGUGGGGCUGGAUGCAGAGGAAGGCCUCACACACGACGAUAAACGCCGAGAUAUUGAGGAUGAAAUUUGGGGCCAGAUCGUGGAAAUCCAGGCCAUAGUAGAACAUGAGCCACCGGACAAAGGGGUGGAGUGGGAAGCCCAGUCCGCGGAGGAAAUGGGGAAGGAAUACCACCCUCUCAUGGGGCCUGGGGGUGGGGAUGAGCUGCCCCUCGUCGGGCAGCCGAUGCGCAAUGUCGCUGGACAGAUAUCCGGCGCUGCGUGGCUUCUCAAUGUGCCCCUCCGUAACAGAGGAGGCCAUCCACUUGCCUCCCGCUCCGGACAUGGCUGGAGAAGGUCGAGGUGAGAUGUGCGGACUUGGGCGCUGGAGCUCGAGUGCACGGAGAUGGAUAAGCAAAGGAGGAAGAAGGUGUAGGUAAAAAAGGUGGAUCCUUAUCCCCUUAUAUAUGGGCGGAUGAAGCUAUGCGUCCCUACUAGCCUGGUAAAACUCACUUAUCUCCCAAGCGCCACAAUCAAUGGCACGGUUGGGUUACCCACGUCCGUACUGAUGGGAAUCCCGGAAUAAGGGGAACACAAUCUUUGCUUCGACAAGACGUGCCAAGGAAACCGCUUCGCUAAACGCGCUGAGGUGGUAUAAUAAAAACGAUUCGAGUAAAAGCUUGGUUGUGGUGUGACGUCAUGCCAUGAAAUACGUCAGCAAAUUGAACUUGUGUAAAUAUUAUUCUCUCUACGGUGGUACGUGGAAUUUAUUUUACAGAGCCGGACACUAUCCUGGUGUUCACAAUCUUCUAUGAAUUAUUCGGAGGAGGAACCCACCUUGCAAUGCCGAAGACAAUAUGCGCGCCGGACUCAUCGUCAUUGAAGCCUGGUUCAGGGGCUACUGAGGGAGUCCUGGACUAGGGGGUGUCCGGAUAGCCGAACUAUCAUUAUCGGCCGGACUCCAAGACUAUGAAGAUACAAGAUUGAAGACUUCGUCCCGUGUCCGGAUGGGACUUUCCUUGGCGUGGAAGGCAAGCUUGGCGAUACGGAUAUGUAGAUCUCCUACCAUUGUAACUGACUCUGUGUAACCCUAGCCCUCUCUGGUGUCUAUAUAAACCGGAGGGUUUUAGUCCUUAGGACACAACAACAACAAUCAUACCAUAGGCUAGCUUCUAGGGUUUAGCCUCCUUGAUCUCGUGGUAGAUCCACUCUUGUACUACCCAUAUCAUCAAUAUCGAUCAAGCAGGGGUAGGGUUUUACCUCCAUCGAGAGGGCCCGAACCUGGGUAAAAACAUCGUGUCCCUUGUCUCCUGUUACCAUCCGCCUAGACGCACAGUUCGGGACCCCCUACCCGAGAUCCGCCAGUUUUGACACCGACAAUUUCCUUACAAGAAAAUUGCAUCAAUUCACGUCCAAAAUCCUAGUCAAAUUCGGACUGGUUUUAUCCGAACUUUCCAAAACUAUUCGGUUUAAACUGACUGUAUCUUACUGGUCCUUUUUGUGAUGGCAAACAACCUCAGAUUGAAACGAGUCAAAAAGCAAUUUUGACCGUUUCGACGAGACGAACAUCUUUCAUGUUGAAUGUUUUUUCAUUAGAGGUCAUCCCAAGGGUCAAAUCGCUCGUGCAAAACAGCACAUUAUUCACGCAUCUCAUCAGACACACCCACAUAUGUGUCUGGUUCCGGGCGUCAUAUUUUGCUCGCUGGAGGGUCUCAUUGUGCGGGCUCUAACUUUUGCAUACGACCUCGGAUUGCGACGAUAUUUAUAUCAAAAUCGAUCAUUUGACGAGACAAAGACAAUUUGUGUAGAUAAUUCUUCCGUACGAGGCCGUCUUGGGGGCUUAAUCACCCGAACAGUGUUCUGAAUACAAAAUCCAGUACUUUGAGCACAACUUCGGCCUUAGAGAUGAGGUCGGAUGGCUAUGACUUAAACAUCAAAGUUGUUCCUCUCGGCGAUGUGAAACUUUCCAUGCUUAUGUCAUGCCAAAAUCUGGUGUCAACACAUGCCCCUCUGUUUUUCGGCAAAGCUUGCACGUCGAGAAAUAAUAUGCACGGUGUUUGUUCUAAGGACGAUGUCAACACUCCAUCGGCCAUUUAUUUUUCUUAGGGCGAUAAUUAUGUAUCGGCCAUUGCCUAUUUAGGCUUCUUGCCACCCACUCGGGUGGUAUUUCUUCAAGUACUUUCCAUUGAGAGCUCGAGGUAACAAUGCCCCUUGUACAGAUUGCACCAAAUAUGAGUUUUUGGGAACUAUUCUUGUAAUCCUAAAAGGACCUUCCCAACUUGGAGACCACUUCCCGAAUUUUUAAUCUCUUGAACCAAUCGGCAGAAUCACUUUCCAGACGAGAUCACCAACUUGAAAAUUAUUCAACUUUAACUUUCUUAUUGUAAGCUCUUGCUACCCUCAACUUGUCUCUCUCUAUGGCCCUCAAAGCAGCCAAAUGUUUAUCGGCAACUUCGUCAAUGUUGUCCAUCAUUAAGUUAUAAAAGUCUACUGCCGAUAAAUCAUUUUGCUUGGCAAUUCUCAAAGCAUUCAAAUUUAGUUCCACCGGUAAAAUAGCCUCUUGACCAUAUACUAGCUCAUAUGGAGUCACCUUCGUAGCACCAUGCCUUGAGAUCCUAUGUGCCCACAAAGCCUUAGACAACAACUCAUGCCAUCUCCUUGGAUUAUCCUCAAUCUUCUUCUUGAUGAGUUUGAUUAAAAUUUUAUUGCUAGACUCAGCUUGUCCAUUGGCUUGGGCAUAAUAUGGAGAGGAAUUGAGCAACUUUAGGUUGUAAGAUUCGGCAAAUUCUCUGACUUGGUGUGACAUAAAAGAUGAGCCUUGAUCUGUAGUCAACGUUUGAGGAAUGCCGAAUCUAUGAAUAAUGUGCUCGGUUAUGAAUUUAAUUACCUCCGCAUGUGUCAUGUUCUUGAGAGGUACUGCUUCAGACCAUUUAGUGAAAUAAUCGGUUGCCACCAAUACGAACCGAUGCCCCUUUGCGGAAGACGGAUGAAUUUGUCCAAUAAAGUCUAAACCCCAUCCUCUGAAAGUCCACGGCUUGAUAAUGGGAUGUAACAUAGCAGCAGGAGCCAACUGAAUAUCACCAAAUUUUUUACAAGCUUCACACCCUUUGUAAUAUCUGAAGCAAUCAUUAAUCAUAGUCGGCCAAUAAAAUCUAGUACGUCGUAGCAACCAUUUCAUCUUGGGAGCCGACUGUUGAGUGCCACAAAUACCUUCAUGGACCUCCCCCAUAGCAACUCUCGCUUGGUCUUCGUCCAAGCACUUUAGAAGAGUAUCAUCAACCGUUCGGUGAUAGAGACCAUCAUCUCUCAUUGUGUAUUUAAAAGCCAUACACCAAACAUCCCUGUCCACCCUUCUACUAGGAUCACACAAAUAAUCAACAAUGGGUUUCCUCUAGUCUUGAUUUCCUCCUCCAUUGAAUAUUUCAUUGGUGGCCGAAACGGUGGGCUCCGGUUCGGCCUCCCCUAUGUUGGCAAGACUAGACAUCGGCUUUCCAGAAAUAAUAAACAUGCCACGAUCAACAUGAUAGCCGGAUGCUUGCUGUGCCAACUCAUUUGCUUUCCAAUUGUCAUGUCUAGAUAUAUGAGCAAUGCUAAAAUAAUCCAAAGUAGAAAUUAUAUCUAGACAUUUAUCAAGAUAAACAUUAAGUGAUUCGUCAAAGCAUUGAAAGACUUUGGAUAUUUGUUGAACUACUAAUAACGAAUCACCAUAAGCCUCAAUAUGUACAGCACCUAUGGCGACAAAAAUCUCCAAACCGAAUAAAAUUUUAUAUUCGGCUUUGAUCACUGUGCAAAAAUAUUUUAAGUGGUAUGAGGCUUGUUUUGGUCUCCUAUUGAACUAAGGACGAUGUUAGGAUACUACACCGGCCAUGCAUUGGCAUAAUCUUAGGACGAUAGAUAAAUAUCGACCAUUACCAUCUAAACUUUAAUCAAAGCACAUAUAGCUGAAAUAAACAAAUGAAAUGACAAAUCAAGUAUUCGGCCCUUUGGAUCAGCAACAAACUUGUAGCUAGUCAAACGUAUAGUGAUUUGGUAAUACCCUUUCAUGAUGUAAGAAAUUAUAUUGCAUCCAUGGAUUAAAAUAAGCCCAUUGAGGGUUACCAAUCAUACCUGAUGACGAAUUCCAUGGCAUAGGCGUUAAUGGCAUAGUCCUUCAUAGUUUUCACUAUUUUCCUUCUUCACCUUUGCCGCACUCCUUGUAAUGGAAACUUGCACAUAAUUCUUAUUUUGAGUUCUUCCUUUGGGAACCCAUGCCAUGUUCCUUUCCUCGAGUUCUUGUGCACUAAGCUUUUGUAACUCCUCCUUUUGCCAAUACGAUAAGCCGAGUGAGCACCUCGACUGUGAUCUUGGUUCAACCAAUGGCAACUCUUUUUGGGCCUCGUGCACCCUCAACUUCUUUUCUUGAGAUUUGGCACUCUGAUUUUUAUCAAUUGAUUGCUUCACUUCUUUGCCUUUUGUAGCCAAUGUCAGCACUUUAAUUGGCUCUUUUUAAUUUGAGAUCAAAUCUGAAGUGGCACACUUACGACCAUCUCUUUUAACGUGGUAAACUUGCUUGACUACCUCUUUCUUCUUCCUUGAGCUCCGGACCGAUUCCUUAUGAUUGAAACGGUCUUUAACAUGUGAUUGUUCAAAUGUUGUUUUUCUAGGAGCUGCAUAAUAUUGGCGAGAUGGUCUAAAAUAAGAUGAAGAAUGUGCCCUUGUAUCAUACAUGUCCCAUGAUGAAUAUGGAUCUAUAUGAACAUAGGGAGGCAUCCACAGCAUUGGCAUUGGCAGCCAAAAAUAAGGAUAUGAAUAUGUUGCAUCUAAAUUAUCACUUUGCCAAUACCAAUCCUCAUAUUUGUGCCUUGGGGUGAUCUUGGUUUCUUUGCAUGAUUUGGCCGAUAAGUAUUCUUCUCUUCACUCUUCUUUUGAUAUUUAUCUAAUAGUUCAGCGAAGGUGAUUUUUGAUCUCUUACACCUGCGCUUAUUUCGGCCUUUGUUUUCUUUUGGUUUGCUUUCAUCUAUCAUUGGAUUUGCUUGCUGCCCCCCAGUCAGCUUCAAUGGAAUUUUUGCCCUCAAGAUUAUGUUCAUUAUGCUCUUCAACAACUUCUUUACUUGAAAGCUUGAUCCCAUCACUUGCAGCUUUUACAUUCUCUUUAAAUGGAUCGGCUUGAAGCCGCCGAUGCAAAAACUUUUUGCCAUCGGGACUAAUCGGAAUAGACUGGUCAUCUCUUGGUUUUUCAACAAACUUCAAUCAUCCUUUUUCAAUGGCCGAUUUAACUAUUUGACGAAACAUGUUGCAAUCCUCAAAAUUAUGCUUGGACGAAUUAUGCAACUUACAAUACAUUCAUCCUUGGAUUGAUGGCUUAACAUGGUGAUCAAGAAUUGUAAUGUAAUUAUUUUUCAGCAACAAAUCAAAUAUUUGGUCACACAUGCUUGAAUUGAAGGUAAACUUCUUGCUUUCUAGCCGAUCUUGCUGUGUGAACGGCUUUGAAGAUAAGCAAACAAAUGGUUCAGAUUUGGAAUCUUCCCAUUCGGCUAUACAUUGUGUUUUCCACUCUAUCUCCGGUGUCUUUGCAUAAGAUAUAAUAUUAGCAUCGGAUUUCUUAAAAGAAUUUAACCUUGGCUUUAUAUUUCUGAAAAUGAAAAUAGCUAGAACACAUAUGUCUCAAGUGUAAGCCAAGUAAGAAAUAAGCGAAGCUACCCAACUAGAUAUGAACUUUAGAGAAAGCAAUGGGAAAAGCUUUGGCUAUAACAAUAAGUCAUUAUCGGUCUUUAUAAAUGGCGCAAUGGGUUGACCGAUAUGUUCCAUAACAAUUUUAUUGCUAACAAGUAAAUUACCCUUAUUCAUUGGUCUUUCAAAAUUACUUAUGAGAAUAUUUCUUAUAGAUGCAUCAAUAAUGAAGUUGCGACCAAAUCUGAAAAUAGGUAAAUUACUCGCUAUGCAUACCUCUUCAAAUAUGUUGGUAGAGCAUGAUAGUGGUUCCAUUUGAAGAACAUCUUGCUCCGUCUUUGGAUGGCUCCCCAACACCUUGUCAUCAUCUUUUUCUUGAAUCCGUGCAUCAUUGCUUUGAAGAUUUUUUUUCGGCCGAACUUUGUUCGGCUACUUGUUCUUGUCCUUGAAGCUUGUCAAUUUCUACGGCACGGAACUCAUAGGGAAGGAAGAAGGUUUUCCUAUGCUUGCCAUGCCCUUUCUCAAUAAUGCUUUCCUCGUUGGAUUUGAUGGAUUUAGAAUAUAUACUACUUGAUUCGGCUUUUUCAACCGAAGCAUUUUCAUGUUCCAAAUCAUCCUUCUUUUCAUUGAUACUAUCAAUUGGCAAUGCUUCUUUUAUCUGAGCCAAUUCUUUUACUAUUUGUUUCUGACGGCGAGCGGCAAAAUUAGCUUUAAGCUUUUUCUCAAUUUCAGCCCACUCCGGAUAUGAUUGCCCCCCCCCCCAAUGAUUUUAGAUUCUUUCGGCAAUGACACAUGGGUGUUGCCGAAAUUUUGCAAUUGUGUAGGGGGUGUAUAAUAUGAUGUAGUACUAGGUGAAGGCAUAUGCAUUGUUGUAAGACCAUACUUUUGCUCGCCAAUUUUAUCAAUUGGCAAAGAUUCAUCUUCUUGCAAAACUCUAGCUUUUAUUGCGGCAUAAUCAGGAAAUAGCCCCUUUUCAUGUUGUUCAAGGCAAAGAGCACUAAUUCUCUUAUUUUGGGCUAAACUCUUCAAUGCAGCCACCACUACCUCAUCUUCUACAAUGUUGGGCACAACCGCUCCUGUAAAAUUUACAUUCAUUCGGCUAUAACCAGGAAGGUGUGAAGCCGAAUUAUGAGCAUCUACAGUUGUGUAUGGUGCCGAAGAAUUAGUAACAUGAGGUGUAGCAUAUGACGGUUGAGAGUAACUGGCUGAAUAGACACUAGUAGCAUGGCCAAUUCUCUCAUUCAUCGCCAUGGUUGGAUUACUAUAUUGCACAUUAGCUGCCGAUGAACAAAAGGGUGAAACACUUUCUUGUAUGGCAUUGGAAAUUCUAACUUGGGGUGUUUCAAAUUGAUUAAUCGAACUCAUCAUGUUGCUCAUCGGCAUAUGAAUUUGCUGGGUUGACGAUGCAUGUGAGUUGGGAUACAUAUGGUGCAUGUUACUAAUAUCAUAAGAAGUUGAAGUAUAUAAAUUACUUUGAAUCGGCCCUUGCACGUAGUUAGUUCCAUGAUUGAAAAAACUAGGGUUGGCCUAUAGAGUAUACUCAUUGAACGAUCUAGUAACACCAUAUGAAUUAUUUGCAUCUACAUAAAGGGAUUGGGUAUUCAUAUUACCUUUGUAGACUGCAAACCCUAGAUGACGAUCUCUUCGUAGCAAGAACGGGCCGGAGACCGUUCAAAGCUUCGUCCCCAGCAGAGUCGCCAAAAAGUGUGUUCGCACACGAACACGUCACCGUGUACCCUUGACACCGGGGGUGAUGCACCGUAGCUCACGUCGAAGGAGACCCGUCCGGAAGCGCGGUACGCAGGCAAUCCGACGGGUGCUUUUGAGAACCCGAUACCCCACACGCCCGGGAGGGACCCCGUCAGGGCGCGCGGCGGCUAUGGUCUGCCCUAGGUCGACCUGAUCGCCCCUAGGGCCUCGAGGUUCGCCGCCCUGCAAAAGAAGAACAAACGAAGAACAAGGAAGAAGAAGAACUAUGGUUAAGGAGAAAAGAUAAAAGAUAAAAAGUAAAAGGUGGUAAAUGAUUUGUUCGAUUGUGUGUUGUUCAAUCGACCGUCACCCCUAACAUAUAUAAGAGGCGGUUGGACUUCCAGUACAAGAAAAGGAUUCAUCUAGGCUUUCCUUACAAGAAAAUUGCAUCAAUUCACGUCCAAAACCCUAGUCAAAAUCGGACUGGUUUUAUCCGAACUUUCCAAAACUGUUCGGUUUAGACUGACUAUGCCUUGCUGGUCCUUUUUGUGAUGGCACACAACCUCGGAUGAAAACGAGUCCGAAAGCAAUCUCGACCGUUUCAACGAGAUGAACAACUUUUAUGUUGAACGAUUUUUCAUUAGAGGUCAUCCCGAGGGUCAAAUCGCUCGUGCAAAACAGCACAUUAUUCACGCAUCUCAUUAGACACACCCACAUAUGUGUCUGGUUCCGGGCGUCAUAUUUUGCUCGCUGGAGGGUCUCGUUGUGUGGGCUCUAACUUUUGCAUACGACCUCGGAUUGCGACGAUUUUUAUAUAAAAAUCGAUCGUUUCAACGAGACGAAGACAAUUAUUGUAGAUAAUGCUUCCAUACGAGGCCGUCUUGGGGUCUUAAUCAGCCGAACAGUGUUCUGAAUACAAAAUCCAGUACUUUGAGCACAACUUCGGCCUUAGAGAUGAGGUCGGAUGGCUAUGACUUAAACAUCAAAGUUGUUCCCCUCGGCGAUGUGAAAUUUCCAUGCUGAAAACCCUCUCACUCGAAGCCAUCUCAUUUUCUUUUUAUGUCAUGCCAAAAUCUGGUGUUAACAGUUGGGUUACCCAUGCCCGUAUUUAUGAGAAUCGCGCAAUAAGGGGACACGAUCUCUUAUUUGACAAUACGUGCCAAUGGAACUGCCUCUCGAAAUAUGGAUGUAACGCCCCAAAUCCGAUGCACCAGGUGUUUUCCAGAUAUUCGCCGUCGUUGCCAUGUCAUCUGCUUGCGUGUUACACUUUGCCAUGUCAUCAUCUCCAUUUCAUCUGCAUGUUUUUUAGAACUUGCAUCCAUCCGGAUCCCCCCAGUUCUCUCCGUUGUCCGUUCUGAGCCCAACCACACUCGCAUGCACCCGUCGCCCUUCUCAAACCUUGUUUCCUGAGCGGGAGAAAAAUGUUCUCGGAAUGGGCUGAGAUUUGCCGAGUGGCCUUGGUAUAUCACUGGUAGACCGCUUGUCAAAUUUCGUUCCAUUUGGAGGUCGUUUGAUGCCCCCAAUGGUUAACCGAGUUAACAGAAACCCCUCUCUCCUUGCAACCCAGCACCCCUUCACAACAGCCCACUAGCCCAUCUAACUCCCCUCCAUGCUCUCUGUCGUUCGAUCACGAUCGUGUGGGCAAAAACCGCACCUCAUUUGGCCACUCCUAUCUCUUCCUGCUUAUAAAAAACACCUCCCUCGUCCAAAUCUAAGAAGGAAAUCGCCUCUAACCCUAAUCCCCUCCUCCUUCCUCGGUUUCCGUGCCCACAAAACCCGCCGCCAGCACUUGUCGCUGCCAGAGGCACCCGCCCCUGCCGCCACGUCAUCGCUGCCGCCUCCCGCGCCAAACCCCGCCGGCCACGUCGCGCCCCUGGCCUCCCCCCGUAGCCGCCGACCCGCGGAGCCCGUCGUAGGCCCGCGCAGGCCUGGUCUGCCGCCACCGUGGCCCACGCACGCCCGCGCGAGCCCGCUCCUUGCCGCCCCGCGCUUGGCUCCCGCGCCGCCGCACUGGAGUNNNNNNNNNNNNNNNNNNNNNNNNNNNNNNNNNNNNNNNNNNNNNNNNNNNNNNNNNNNNNNNNNNNNNNNNNNNNNNNNNNNNNNNNNNNNNNNNNNNNNNNNNNNNNNNNNNNNNNNNNNNNNNNNNNNNNNNNNNNNNNNNNNNNNNNNNNNNNNNNNNNNNNNNNNNNNNNNNNNNNNNNNNNNNNNNNNNNNNNNNNNNNNNNNNNNNNNNNNNNNNNNNNNNNNNNNNNNNNNNNNNNNNNNNNNNNNNNNNNNGCCGCCUCCCUUCGCCCGCGCUCGGCCCCGCCGCCUUGAAGCGCCAUCCGGCACCGCCGCCCCCGCAACUCCUCGCCGGUGACCCGACGCGCCCUAGGCCGCCUCGCCCCGCCGCGCCGCCGCUCUGGGAUGUCCGAGCGCCGUCCUCCGCCUCUCCCCGUCACCCUCUGCCAUCCUCUGCCGCCGAGAUCAGGUGGAUCCGGCCUAGAUCCACCGGAUCCGGCCAUCUCCGACGCCGCAUCGGUCUUCUCCUUCGUACCCGGCGAGCUCGGUCGCUGCGUCGAUUUCCGUGCCCGGGUCAAACUUGGCUCCGGAGGUGAAAUUUUCUUCCAAGUCCCGAAAUUCCUAUCUCAUGUGCACCUCUUUGACUUGUCAUAACUUCGUGCAUAGUGCUCCGUUUUGCAUGUUUGAUAUGUCAAAAUGUUCAUCUCUGGAUGCUCUUCAUGAGUGGUUUGCAUGCAUGUUACUGUUAAUCUUGAUGCCUUAACCUUCAUUGCAACACUGCUAAGUGAUAUAAACUGUUGGAAUCUGAUGUCUGUUAACAUCAUGUGUGCAUCUUGUGAGUGUCAUAACUUUGUCUCUGUUGAUCCUAUAAUGAUGAUCUUGAUAUGCACAUCUUCUGAUCUUCAUUCUCUACAUGGUGGUCUGCUUUGCAUUCAUGCUAGGGUGCAUUGUGAUAUCUUAAUCUCUGUUGCAAUAGUGCAUGUUGCUGUUAACUGCUGAAAACUGCUGUAACUUGCCUAUUUGUCAUUUUUAUAUCUUUUUGUGUGAUUUUCUUUUGAGCAUCAUGUCUACAUGUUUUAGGAGCAUAAUCAUGCCAUAUUUACAGGGGUGCAAUGAACGUAUUUUGAUAUUCCCUUUAGUGAGCGCAUCAAGCUUAUGAAGUGGGCUACUUGAUGUUAAUGUGUUGUCAAGUCUGUUUCUGCCAUAUCAUGUUGCUAUGUUUGCAUGAUGCUACCAAUUAAUCCAUGCACAAUCUGGAGAUGCUUAGUUGACAUGUUUUGUUGCCCAUGUUAUGAUAUUUCAUGCCAUGCCUUUUUAUGCCUCAUAUAUGUCAUGUAGCAUAUGUUGUCAUUGCCAUGAACAUGCCUACAUGUUGUUCCAAUUUUCUGUUAACUUCAUUAUGGCAUGUUGUGAGCUUGUUAUUGAGUGAUCCAUGCCUCUUAUGGAGAUGCUCCAAUUACAUGUUUUUAAGUAUGCUAUGAGUACUUUGUUCACAUGCCAUAGUUAUUAAUUUUGAAUAUCAUAUGCUUCUGUUCCAUACUUGCAAAUAUCCUAUGAUAAUGUUGAUGUUUUAUACUUGCUGAAACUGUUCCAACAUUCAAUAUUGUCUUGUUGGUUCCUAAUGAUACAUGAACCAUAUGUAUAUGAUGCCAUAAUAUUAUUUGCUCUUUGUUUUGUUUACUUUGAUGAAAUACCCUUGGUUGCCAUGUUCAUUUGUUGUAGCUUGUCUCUUUCUUGCUCUCAUGUUGCCAUCAUUUUAACUCUGCUCAUGCAUAUGCUCCUGUGUUAUAAAGUUGCAUUUUGCAUUGCUCAUAUUGAUUUAAUAUUGAUGCCUAUGAGCCUGAACCCUAAUGAUAUUUGAAGUAUGUUAUCUGUACAUGAAGUGCAUGUCAUGUUUGUGCUCUUAUGAUUCCUGUAGCAUGUUGUUUUGAUGAUUGCAAAGUGCCUAGUUGCUGUUUUGGGCAGAUUGUUGUUGUAUCUUGUUUGGAGUGUAUGUGUUGCUCCGUUUUGAGCAUGCUCUAUAUUGAACUUGCUUAGAAUUGAAUGUAGUUUCAUCAUGUCAAAUUUAAUCCUUGUUUUGAGAGUGUUUUAUUGAUGUUUGAAUGCAUUUUGCAUCAAUGCCAUGUUUAACUUGUUUUGCUCAUAUCUUCUAGGUCGUAGCUCCGAACUAAAUGAACUUUAUAUGUAACUUGACUAGAUUUUCGUGUAGAUCAUCUUGGUGCAUCUUAAAUUUCUGUCUAACAACUUGAACAUAAAGUUUGUUUAGAUCUGGACCAAUUUCGAAAUUAGCAUAUGAGGACUUACCAGAUUUGUUAUAUGUUGUUUCCGGCCUCAUUUAAACUUGCUUUGGUCUUUGUUCUUGUAUGCAUCAUCUCUUGCCAUGAGUAGCAUCAUAUAGCCUUUGUCAUGCAUCAUACUUGAUUGAGCAUCAUGUCAUGUUAAUGUGUUGUGUGUUUACCAUGUUGUUUGCUGCUUUCCGGUUGUGCUUCUUCUCGAUAGUUCCUGUUUUGUUGUGAUCAUGAGGAUUCGUUCCAAUAUGCUUGGUUCGUCUUCGCCCAUUCAUCUUCUUCAUGGACUUGUUCUUCUCCUUGCAGGAUUUCAGGCAAGAUUACCGUUACCCUGGAUGUCACUACUGUCAUUGCUAUGCUAGUUGCUUCGUUCUAUCGCUAUGCUACGCUACCUAGCACUUGUUUAUCAAGCCUCCCAAAUUGCCAUGUCAGCCUCUAACCUUUUCACCCUUCCUAGCAAACCGUUGUUUGGCUAAGUUACCACUUCUGCUCAGCCCCUCUUAUAGCGUUGUUAGUUGCAGGUGAAGUUGAAGAUUGCUCCAUGUUGGAACAGGAUUAUUUUGGGAUAUCACGAUAUCUCUUAUUUAAUUAAUGCAUCUAUAUACUUGGUAAAGGGUGGAAGGCUCAGCCUUUUGCCUGGUGUUUUGUUCCACUCUUGCCGCCCUAGUUUCCGUCAUACCGGUGUUAUGUUCCUUGAUUUUGCAUUCCAUACGCGGUCGGGUUUAUGGGAACCCCUUGACAAAUCGCUUUGAAUAAAACUUCUCCAGCCAGGCCCAAUUUUGGUUUUCCAUUUGCCUAACAACCUAUAACCCUCCCUUGGGGUCUGCAGCCCCGAGGGUCAUCUUUAUUUUAACCCCCCCUAGGCCAGUGCUCCUCUGAGUGUUGGUCCGAACCGGGCAACCUACGGGGCCACCUCGGGGAAACUUGAGGUCUGGUUUUACUCGUAGCUUGACUUAUCCAGUGUGCCCUAAGAACGAGAUAUGUGCAGCUCCUAUCGGGAUUUGUUGGCACAUUCGAGCGGUCUUGCUGGUCUUGUUUUACCAUUGUUGAAAUGUCUUGUAACCGGGAUUCUGAGUCUGAUCGGGUCUUUUCGGGAGAAGGAAUAUCUGUUCGCACACGAACACGUCACCGUGUACCCUCGACGCCGGGGGUGGUGCACCGCAGCUCACGUCGAAGGAGACCCGCCGGAAGCGCGGUACGCAAGACAAUCCGGCGGGCGCUUUUGAAGACCCGAAACCCCACACACCCGGGAGGGACCCCGUCAGGGCACGCGGCGGCUAUGGGCUGUCCUAGGUCGACCUGAUCGCCCCUAGGGCCUCGAGGUUCACCGCCCUGCAACAAGAAGAACAGACGAAGAACGAGGAAGAAGAAGAACUAGGGUUAAGGAGAAAAGAUAAAAGAUAAAAAGUGGUAGAUGAAUUGAUCGAUUGUGUGUUGUUCAAUCGGCCGUCACCCCUUAUGUAUAUAAGAGGCGGCUGGACUUCCCGUGCAAGGAAAAGGCUUGCAUUCACGUCCAAAACCUUAGUCAAAUUCGGAUUGGUUUUGUCCGAACUUUCCAAAACUGUUCGGUUUAAACUGGCUGCACCUUGCGGGUUUUUUUGUGGUGGUUAACGAUCUCGGAUGGAAACGAGCCCAAAAACAAUCUUGACCGUUUCAACGAGGCGAACAAAUUUUAUGUUGAACAUUUUUUGAUUAGAGGUCAUCUUGAGGGUUAAAUCGGUCACGCAAAACAGGCUAUCCCUCGCGUUACCCAUCAGACAGGGUGUCUGGUGGGGCGCGCCAGUUUUUGCCUCCUGACAGGGCUGUAUUCCGAUGGCUCUAACUUUUGCAUACGAACUCGGAUUAGAACGUUUUUUAUAUCAAAAUCAAUCGUUCGACGAGACGAAGACAAUCUGUGUAGAUAAUUUUUCCAUUUGAGGUCGUCUUGGGGGCUUAAUCAGCCAAACUGUACUCUGAAUAUAAAAUCUUAGUACUUUGAGCAUAGUUUCGGCCUUCGAGAUGAAAUCGGACUGCGAUGACCCAAACUUCAAAGAUGUUCAUAUCGACAAUACGGAACUCUUUCAUGAAGAUCACUUCUCCAUUUGAGGCCAUCUUAAAUAAGUUAUUGACCGUGCCAAAAUCUGGUGUCAACACAUGCCCCCCUGUUUUUCGGCAAAGUUUGUGUGCCGAAAAAUAACUUCCGCAUAGCUUGUUCUAAGGACGAUGUCAACACUCCAUCGGCCAUUUUGCAUGUUCUUAGGACGACAAGUAUAUAUUGGCCAUUGCUUGUUUGAACCUCUUGAUGCAAACUUGGGUGAAAACUUCUCAGCUUCUAUAACAAGCCGGUGAUAAGGUUCCAUAGAUCAAAACCAUCCUCCGAACCAUAUUGUUCACCCUUUCGCUAGGAUUUUGCAGAUAAUCAAGAAUGAACUUCCUUCAAUCCUUACUUCUCCUGCAUAAAAGUUUCAUUAGUGGCCGAAGCGGUGGACUUCGAUUCAGCCUUACCUAUGUUGACAAGACCUAGCAUCGGCUAUUGAUAGAAAUGCAAUACACCAUGGUUAAUAUAGUAGCCGGACGCUUGCUGUGCCAACUCUUUCGAAUUGUCAUGCCUAGAUAUAUGAACAAUUUCAAAGCAACCCAAGGUAAAUCUUGCAUCUAGACAUACCAAAAGAUAAACUAUAAGUGAUCCGUCCAAACAUUGAUAACCCUUGGACAUUUGUUGCACUACUAAUAAUGAAUCACCGGAAGCCUCAAUAUGUAUAGCACCUAUAGCAAGGCAAAGCUCCAAUCCGAAUAACAAUGCAUAUUCGGCUUUGAUCAUUGUGCAAAAAUAUCUUAAGCGGCAUGAGGCUUCACAAACUAGCUCCAUAUGGAGAUAAAUAAACAACACCAACACUUUGGCCAUUGCUAUAGAUUGAACCAUCAAAAUAUAAUCUCCAUAGUACUAGAGAGAAAAAGCUAAUAUCACUUAACAUGUACCUUGUCUCGGUUCCAAUCGAAGUAAGGACCGUGUUAGAAUUCCACACCGGCCAUGAUCAGAUAGUUUCUUAGGACGACAAGUUAAGUAUCGGCCAUUACCAUGAGGUUCAUGUAGAAUUCAUCCAUUAAAACAUGUAUAGCCGAAAUAAACAAAUAAAAUAGGAAUAAAAUAUUUUGGCUCCUUUGUCUAGCAACAAAAAUGUGACUAACCAAAUGUAUAGUGAUUUGGUAAUACUCUGUCAUCAUAUAGAAAAUUAUGUUGCAUCCAUGGAUCAAAAUAAGUCCAUGGAGGGUAACUGAUCAUACCUGUGGAUGAAUUCCAUGGCAAAGGCAUCAAUGGCAUUGUUGAAGAAAAUGGAUGAUGUGCUAACCGAAGAUUUUGAUGUUGUGAUGCACACCUUCGGCUUAAUUGUUUGUUGCUUCCAUCAUUCUCCUUCUUCAUUUUUAUUGUACUUGUUGCAAUUGAAGCAUGCACAUCGUUUUUGUUUUGAUUGAUCCUCUUGGGAACCCAUGCCAUGUUCUUCUUUCUAAGCUCUUGUGCACUAAGAUUUUGUAAUUCCUUCUUUUGCCAAUACGAUAAGCCGAGUGAGCACCUCGACUGUGAUUUUGUUUCAACCAAUGGCAACUCUUUCUGGGCCUUGUGCAUCCUCAACUUAUUUUCUUCAGAUUUGGCACUCUGAUUUUUAUCAAUUGAUUGCUUCACUUCUUUGCCUUUUGUAGCCAAUGUCAACACUUUAAUUGGCUCUUUGUUUUUUUUAGAUCAAAUCUGAAGUAGCACACUUACGACCAUCUCUUUUCACGCGGUAAACUUGCUUUACCAUCUCUUUCUUCUUCCUUGAGCUCUGGACCGAUUCCUUAUGAUUGAAACGGUCUUUGAUACGUGAUUGUUCAAAUGUUGAUCUUCUUGGAGCUGCAUAGUAUUGGUGAGAUGUUCUAGAAUAAGAUGGAGAAUGUGCCCUUGUACCAUACCCGUCCCAUGAUGAAUAUGUAUCUAUAUGAGCAUAGGGAGGCAUCCACGGCAUUGGCAUUGGCGGGCCAAAAUAAGGAUAUGAAUAUGUUGUAUUAAAAUUAUCACUUUGCCAAUACCAAUCCUCAUAUUUGCGCCUUGGGGGUGAUCUUGGUUUCUUUGCAUGAUUUGGCCGAUAAGCAUUCUUCUCUUCACUCAUCUUUUGAUAAUUAUCCAAUAGUUCAGCAAAGGUGAUUUUUGAUCUCUUGCACUUGCGCUUAUUUCGGCCUUUGUUUUCUUUUGGUUUGCUUUCAUCGAUCAUUGGAUUUGCUUGCUGCCCCCCAGUCCUUGGCGUCUCCAUUGUAGCUUCGAUGGAAUUUUCGCCCUCAAGAUUAUGUUCAUUAUGCUCUUCAACAACUUCUUUACUUGAAACCUUGAUCCCAUCACCUGCAGUUUUUACAUUCUCUUUAAAUGGAUCGGCUUGAAGCAGCCGAUGCAAAAACCUUUUGCCAUCGGGACCAAUCAGAAUAGACUGGUCAUCUCUUGGUGUUUCAACAAACUUCAAUUGUCCUUUUUCAAUGGCCGAUUUAACUAUUUGCCGAAACAUGUUGCAAUCCUCAAAAUUAUGUUUGGACGAAUCAUGCAACUUACAAUACAUUCGUCCUUGGAUUGAUGGCUUAACAUGGUGAUCGAGAAUUGUAAUGUAAUUAUUUUUCAGCAACAAAUUAAAUAUUUGAUCACACAUGCUUGAAUUGAAGGUAUACUUCUUAUUUUCUAGCCGAUCUUGCUGUUUGAACGGCUUUGGAGAUAAGCAAACGAAUGGUUCAGAUUUGGAAUCUCCCCAUUCGGCUAUGCGUUGUGUUUUCCACUCUAUCUCCGAUGUCUUUGGAUAAGAUAUUGUAUUAGCAUAGGUUUUCUCAAUAGAAUUUAACCUUGGCUUUAAAUUUCUGAGACGAAGAUAUUUAGAACAUACAUGUCUCAGUUGAGACCAAGUGCAAGCCAAGUAUGAAAUAAGCAAAGCUACCCAACUAGAUAUGAACUUUAGAUAAAGCAACGGGGAAAGCUUUGGCUGUAACAGUAAGUCAUUAUCGGUCUUUAUAAAUGGCGCAAUGGUUUGACCGAUAUGUUCCAUAACAAUUUUAUUGCUAACAAGUAAAUUACCCUUCUUCAUUGGUAUUUCAAAAUUACUUAUGAGAAUAUUUCUUAUAGAUGCAUCAAUAAUGAAGUUGUGACCAAAUCUGAAAAUAGGUAAAUUACUCGCUAUGCAUACCUCUUCAAAUAUGUUGGGAGAACAUGAUGGUGGUGCCAUUUGAAGAACAUCUUGCUCCGUCUUUGGAUGGCUCCCCAACACCUUGUCAUCAUCUAUUCCUUGAAUCCGUGCGUCAUUACUUUGAAGAUUUUUGUCGGCCGAACUUUGUUCGGCUACUUGUUCUUGCCCUUGAAGCUUGUCAAUUUCUACGGCACGAAACUCAUAGGGCAGGAAGUAGGUUCCAUUAACUUCAGAAAAAUCAAGCACCGUUGUUUUCCUAUGCUUGCCAUGCCCUUUCUCAAUAAUGCUUGCCUCGUUGGAUUUGAUGGAUUCAGAAUAUAUACUACUUGAUUCGGAUAUUUUAACCGAAGCACUUUCAUGUUCCGAAUCAUCCUUCUUUUCAUUGAUACUACCAAUUGGCAAUGCUUCUUUUAUCUGAGCCAAUUCUUUUUCUAUUUGUUUUUUACGGCAAGCGGCAAAAUUAGCUUUAAGCUUUUUCUCAAUUUCAGCCCACUACGGAUAUGAUUGCCCCCCAAUGCUUUUAGAUUCUUUCGGCAAUGACACACGGGUGUUGCCAAAAUUUUACAAUUGUGUAGGGGGUGUAUAAUAUGAUAUAGUACUAGGUGAAGGCAUAUGCAUUGUUGUAAGACCAUCCUUUUGCUCGCCAAUUUUAUCAAUUGGCAAAGAUUCAUCUUCUUGCAAAACUCUAGCUUUUAUUGCGGCAUAAUCAGGAAAUAGCCCCUUUUCAUGUUGUUCAAGGCAAAGAGCACUAAUUCUCUUAUUUUGGGCUAAACUCUUCAAUGCAGCCACCACUACCUCAUCUUCUACAAUGUUGGGCACAAUCCCUCCUGUAAAAUUUACAUUCAUUCGGCUAUAACCAGGAAGGUGUGAAGCCGAAUUAUGAGCAUCUACAGUUGUGUAUGGUGCCGAAGAAUUAGUAACAUGAGGUGUAGCAUAUGACGGUUGAGAGUAACUGGCCGAAUAGCCACUAGUAGCAUGGCCAAUUCUCUCAUUCAUCGGCAUGGUUGGAUUACUAUAUUGCACAUUAGCUGCCGAUGAAGAAAAGGGUGAAACACUUUCUUGUAUGGCAUUGGAAAUUCUAACUUGGGGUGUUUCAAAUUGAUUAAUCGAACUCAUCAUGUUGCUCAUCGGCAUAUGAAUUUGCUGGGUUGCCGAUGCGUGUGAGUUGGGAUACAUAUGGUGCAUGUUACUAAUAUCAUAAGAAGUUGAAGUAUAUAAAUUACUUUGAAUCGGCCCUUGCACGUAGUUAGUUGCAUGAUUGAAAAAACUAGGGUUGGCCAAUAGAGUAUACUCAUUGAACGAUCUAGUAACACCAUAUGAAUUAUUUGCAUCUACAUAAAGGGAUUGGGUAUUCAUAUUACCUUUGUAGACUGCAAACCCUAGAUGACGAUCUCUUUGUAGCAAGAAUGGGCCGGAGACCGUUCAAAGCUUCGUCCCCAGCGGAGUCGCCAAAAAGUCUGUUCGCACACGAACACGUCACCAUGUACCCUCGACGCCGGGGGUGGUGCACCGCAGCUCACGUCGAAGGAGACCCGCCGGAAGUGCGGUACGCAAGACAAUCCGGCGGGCGCUUUUGAAGACCCGAAACCCCACACGCCCGGGAGGGACCCCGUCAGGGCGCGUGGUGGCUAUGGGCUGCCCUAGGUCAACCUGAUCGCCCCUAGGGCCUCGAGGUUCGCCGCCCUGCAACAAGAAGAACAGACGAAGAACGAGGAAGAAGAAGAACUAGGGUUAAGGAGAAAAGAUAAAAGAUAAAAAGUGGUAGAUGAAUUGAUCGAUUGUGUGUUGUUCAAUCGGCCGUCACCCCUUAGGUAUAUAAGAGGCGGCUGGACUUCCCGUGCAAGUAAAAGGCUUGCAUUCACGUCCAAAACCCUAGUCAAAUUCGGAUUGGUUUUGUCCGAACUUUCCAAAACUGUUCGGUUUAAACUGGCUGCACCUUGCGGGUCUUUUUUGUGGUGGUUAACGAUCUCGGAUGGAAACGAGCCCAAAAACAAUCUUGACCGUUUCGACGAGGCGAAAAACUUUUAUGUUGAAUGUUUUUCGAUCAGAGGUCAUCUUGAGGGUUAAAUCGGUCGUGCAAAACAGGCUAUCCCUCGCGUUACCCAUCAGACAGGGUGUCUGGUGGGGCGCGCCAGUUUUUGCCUCGUGACAGGGCUGUAUUCCGAUGGCUCUAACUUUUGCAUACGAACUCGGAUUGGAACGAUUUUUAUAUCAAAAUCGAUCGUUUCGACGAGAUGAAGACAAUCUGUGUAGAUAAGUUUUCCAUUUGAGGUCGCCUUGGGGGCUUAAUCUGCCAAACUGUACUCUGAAUAUAAAAUCUUAGUACUUUGAGCAUAGUUUCGGCCUUCGAGAUGAAAUCGGACUGCGAUGACCCAAACUUCAAAGAUGUUCAUUCGACAAUAUGGAACUCUUUCAUGAAGAUCACUUCUCCAUUUGAGGCCAUCUUAAAUAAGUUAUUGACCGUGCCAAAAUCUGGUGUCAACAAUAUCCUUCGUUGAUCAUGAGAGCUUGUGAUGGGCUAAGUUGGGACACCCCUGCAGGGUAUAAACUUUCGAGAGUCGUGCUUGCAGAUGGGAGUUUCUUAAUAUCCGGUUGUAGAGAACUUGACACUUGACUUAACUAAAAUGCAUCAAUCGCGUGUGUAGCCGUGAUGGCCUCUUCUCGGCGGAGUCCGUGAAGUUAACACGGUUGGUGUCAUGUUUGGACGUAAGUAGUUUCAGGAUCACCUCUUGAUCAUUACUAGUUUGCGACCGUUUGCGUAGCUUCUCAUCUUAUUCUUGUAUUCGUAAGUUAGCCACCAUAUCAUGCUUAGUCGCUUGCUGCAACCUCACCACUUAUCCAUUCCAUACCCAUUAAGCUUUGCUAGUAUUGAUACCCAUGGUAAUGGGAUUGUUGAGUCCUCAUGGCUCACAAAUUACUACAGCAACAGUUGCAGGUAUAGGUAAUGUGAUGAUCAUGACGCGAGAGCGAUGUUUACUUGUUUUGGCGUUCUUCUUCUACUUCUUCUUCGAUUAGGGGAUAGGUUCUAGGUCGGCAACCUGGGCUAGCCGGGUGGAUGUCGUUUGAGUUUCUGUUUGUGUUUCAUACGUAGUCGGAUGUUGCUCCUAUGUAUGAUGUUGUUGUAUUCAUGUGGCAUUGUAUGCCUUUUGUAUGUAUCCCUAACUAUUAUGUAAUGGUACGAUGUAAUGAUAUCCACCUUGCAAAAGCGUCUCCAAUAUGCACUUCUAUACUUGGUGGGACCUUAGAGUUCCUUUAGGAUAGGGUCGCAUAUUGGGCGUGACAAGUUGGUAUCAGAGCCUCGACCAACCAUAGGAGCCCCCCUUGAUUGUUCGUAGUUUGGUCGUUGUCGAGUCUAGAAGAAAACUGUUUUCGGAGUCUAGCUAUAUCGGAGAGUAGGAAUUCUUUUUACUCCUCAGCCCCUUCGUCACUCUGGUGAGGAAUCUUGAUGUAGGUGUUUUGAAUUACUCCUCUUCCCCUUCAAAUUUUCUUUAGGAUCACUCGGUUAGUUUUCCGUUUGUUGGUUCUUAGCUCUUUUCAUCUGGUGCAUUUUCUCGUCAAGUCAAUUCGACCCUCUUUGUUUUUGCAAGAUCAAUCCUCAGUUGUUUUCUUUUCCCAACCGCCCACCUUUUUUCUUCUUCGAGCCGGAGUCCAUAAUCGAGUAUCCAUCCUACUCAUGAGAAGCCUUUGCAUUCUUUCCUCAAUUAUCUCGACCGGUGCUUUUCUCUUCAAGUUAUUCGUCGAUUCCCCCUUCCAAGUUGUCUUUGUUUCCCCGCCCUCCCACCCCUUUUCUUCCCGGAGUCCGAGUCUCUUUCGACUGUCAAUUUCAUUCGUGUGGAACCCCUUCAGACUUUCGUCAAUUGUUUCAACCGGUGAUUUUGUGUCUAGUGCGUCAUUAUUCAUCGUUUUUUCUUUUCCGGUGGAUUCAAUUCAAGUUUUUGGAUUGAUCAUAUUCUUUUCCUUGGAUAAAGUGUUUUCCCUACUCAUUCGCCUCUCGCCAGUUUAUCCUCCUGGAGUGCUCAAGAUAUCUCAGGAGAUUUGUCUGUGUUUCGAUUAAUUUGAGGUUGUCACCUCAUUCAAAUUAUUUCAAUUGUUCCGGUGCACCAUCUAUCUCUUCAACAAUCCUUUUCAACGGUGUUUUCUCUUCAGUGGGCCCUAACCCACAGGUCUUUUCCCAGGAUCUUACCUAACUCUUCUAAUUAUUCCGGAGCCAUUCCUAAUUCUUUUCGAAGUUUGACGUAAGAAUGAAUUUCAUCAGUCAGAUGCCUUUCCAAGAUAGAUUUCAAAUCAUUUCAUUGUUGGCUCAACCUCUUUGCUUUUCAUUCUCCCGGAGUAUCUCAGUAAUUUCGGUGGCGUUCCUCGUUGUCAUUUGAAGAUAGAAGAAGAGUUUCUCUUAAAUCUUGCCUGUUCUCCCAAAGAUUCGUGGUUCCAGAUUCAUGUUAUCCUCUCAAAUUAUUCCAUUUGUCACAUAUUAUUUUCUUAACCAUCCGGAGUAUGUCAGGAGUUCUUUGUCUGUUUCUUUUCACCAGAGGCCAUCAUUCCAGAAGAAUUCUUCAUCCUCACAUUCCAGCUGUCAUUAUCCAAUUAUCCCAGCGCAUCUGUCAAGUAUUCAAGUAUUCUUUAAUCAGCUCGUGAUCUCUUUGUUCUUUUGCAUCUAAAUCCCCUCAAGUAUAUUUGUUAUUCUAAUUCUUCCUAGUGAUUCAUUAUCUGUCAUCAGUCAUUUUCGAAUUCUUACGAUGGUUCCUUCAGAUUCCUUUUCCUUUGUUAUCAUAUUAAUUCAUUCGUUCUUUCAAAUCCUACCGCUGGUUCAUUGAAGACCUUCCUCAAGGUUGCGCCAUAUACCCCUCAAUCCUUUCCAACAAGAAUAAGUAGUAUGCAAAAAUCCGUUGCUUGUCAUCAAUUUAAUUUGAUGAAGGAAAAGUAUACAAUAAAUCUUAUUCUUAUUUCCUACAAGUAAUUAAUCUCUUCCUUCGGAGUUUGUUCAUGAUGAAUAAUUUCGCAGUUCAAAGUGUUUUCAUCUUUUCUUUUCCGGAGUUCAAAUUUCCUCGGCCAUUUUGUCGGAAGCUCCAUAUAAAUCACCGCAAGGUUUAAUCUUAUUCUUUCAUCCUUCAUUCUAUCUCAUCAUCCUUUUGUCACCGGAGUUCUUCAUGGUGGUUAUUCAUGAUUUAAUCCAUUCUUCAAGAGUUCAUCAAGAUUUUGUUGGAGGAGUUCAAGUAUCUUUUCUUCUCGCGUCUCGAAGUGCAAAUAAUUCCCCGUUUUCUUCUAAAGUGGAGUUUUGCAUUCCUUCGUUCCUCUCAGCUAUUCAGACUUUUGGGUGGUAUAAUUUCACCUCAAGUUUUGAGAUGUUUUUGAUAAGUCCACAACAAGCUUAUUCUUUUGUUGUUGAAUAUCUCAACAACUCCGUUCUAUCUUUCCUCUAAGGAUGCUAUCGAAUUCAUUCGUGGUGAAAGAUGUUUGUUCUCUCAUCCGUUCUUUCCAUGUGGGAUUCUUUCAAUUCUUUCGGAGGCAUUGUGUUGUGGCUCUCGUCAAGUGUCAUUCCAUCUUGUGAAGUUCAUGUCUCCAUUCCUUCCAUUUUCAGUCGGAGUGCUGCACAAAUUCUUUCAUUAUAUUCCUUUUCUAUCUUAUUCUAACUAGAGUGGUUUCAUAGUCUAUCUUGUUUCUUGAUCUUUGGAUUCUCGUCAUAUUCGUCGUUCCUCUUUUCUACCCGAGUGCUAUCGACUGUGUUCAUCUUCUCUCUUGCGUUCUUACUUCACCUCUUCCUCUUUCUCUUCCAUCUUGUUCCUAAGAUUUGUCAGCGGAUUGGACUCGUAAAAUAUUAUACUCUCUGCGGUUGUGUGUGGAAUUUGUUUUGCAGAGCCGGACACGAUUCUUGUGUUAAAAGACUAUUUUGGAGUAUUCGGAAAAGGAACCCGCCUUGCAAUGCCGAAAACAAUUCGCGCGCCGGACACCUCAUCAUUGAAGCCUGGUUCGAGGGCUACUAAGGGAGUCCUGAAUUAAGGGGUCCUCAGAUGGCCGGACUAUGUAGCGUGGGCCAGACAGUUGGGCUGUGAAGAUACAAGACAGAAGACUUCUUCCCAUGUUCGGAUGGGACUCUCCUUUGCGUGGAUGGCAAGCCUGGCGUUCGGAUAUGUAGAUUCCUUUCUCUAUAACCGACUUUGUACAACCCUAUUCCCCUUCGUGUCUAUAUAAACUGGAAGGCUUAGUCCGUAGAGGCAAUCAUAAUCAUACAGGCUAGACUUGUAGGGUUUUAGCCAUUACGAUCUUGUGGUAGAUCAACUAUUGUAAUACUCAUAUUCAUCAAGAUCAAUCAAGCAGGAAGUAGGGUGUUACCUCCAUAGAGAGGGCCCGAACCUGGGUAAACAUAGUGUCCCCCGCCUCCUGUUGCCAUCAACCUUAGGCGAACAGUUCGGGACCCCCUACCCGAGAUCCGCCAGUUUUGACACCGACAGUCGGCUCGUUGCUUUCUAGCAACAAUACAUCGCACACUUUGCGCAAUCUUUCCGACCUCCCUGGUUCCGGUGCCGCUUCCACUACGGGUUCCCUGACUGACUCCGGUAUGAUCUCGUCACCAGCCGAGCGAUCCCCGAGUGGCCCUCGAAUUUCUUCGAGUCGGACCGUCCUCCCACUGGCCUCCCGACUGAUAAACUCUUUCUCAAGGAAAACCCCGUUCCGAGCAACAAACACUUUGUUCUCUUCCCGGUUGUAGAAGCUAUAUCCCAAGGUUUCCCUCGGAUAUCCCACAAAUAUGCACUUAUCUGACUUGGCUGUAAGCUUGUCUGACAUAAGUCGCUUGACAAAUGCUUCACAACCCCAAAUCUUUAGAAAAGACAAACUGGGACUCUUCCCGGUCCACAUCUCAUGCAGUGUCUUGUCUAUGGAUUUUGAUGGUACCCUAUUAAGUGUGGAAGCUGCAGUUUCUGGAGCGUAUCCCCAGAAUGACAAGGGUAAAUCUGAUUUGCUCAUUGACCGGACCAUGUCCAACAAGGUCCUAUUCCUCCGUUCUGACACGUCGUUUCUUUGUGGUGUACCCAGAGGUGUGAGCUAAGGUAUUAUACCUCCGCUUUUCAGAUGAUCAUCAAACUCCUGGCUCAUGUACUCACCUCCACGAUCUGAUCGCAGAAGUUUUAUAGUCUUGCCGAGCUGAUUCUCAACCUCGUUCUGAAACUCUUUGAACUUUUCAAAAGUUUCCGACUUGUGCCUCAUCAAAUAGAUAUAUCCAUAUCUACUCAAGUCAUCGGUAAAAGUCACGAAGUACUGAUAGCCACCUCUGGCAGUUGUGCUCAUUGGACCACACACAUCACUAUGUAUAAGUUCCAACAGUUCGGACGCCCUCUCGCAACUCUUUGCGAAAGGAGACUUAGUCAUCUUGCCGAGCAAGCAUGAUUCACAUGUCUCGAACAACUCAAAGUCGGACGAAGUUAGGAGCCCAUCAUCAUGGAGCUUCUUCAUGCAUUUCAGACUAAUGUGUCCAAGCCGGCAAUGCCAUAAGUAUGUCGGAUUUAUCUCAUUAGGCUUAUGCCUCUUGACAUUCAUGUUAUAGACCGGUUACUGUUCCAAAUUCAGUAUAAAUAACCCAUCAAUAAUGGGUGCAUAGCCGUGGAACAUAUCAUUCAAAUAAAACGAACAACCAAUGUCCUUUAAAUUUAAUUCAUAACCCUGACUCAUCAAGCAUGAGGUAGAAAUAAUGUUCUGACUAAGUGCAGGAAUGUAAUAACAAUUAUUCAAUUCCAAAAUAAAUCCAGAAGGAAGAUGGAGCUGCCCUCCAACGCAGCAAUUCUUGCUUUGUUGCCGACCUUGAUGUCAAUCUCCCCUUGUGCCACACGCCUAGUUCUUACUAGCCCCUGCAUCGAGUUGCAAAUAUGAACAACCGAUCUGGUAUCAAAUACCCAAGAGCUACUAGGUAUGUCAGCAAGGUAAAUGUCUAUAACAUAUGCUCAAUGUGUACCUUUGCCCGAAGAAGCAUUUCUGGCCUCCUUGCCAUGCUCUACAAGCCACUUGCUACAGUUCCUCUUCCAGUGACCGGUCUCCUUGCAGUGAUAGAAAACGGUCCUUGAGUCCGGUCCAGACUUCGGUGCAGCGGCGGAGGUUACCGUCUUCGUGCCCUUUGCCCUAGCCUUUUUCUUGGACCAACUCUUCUUGAACUUAGCUGAUUUUUGCACCAUCAACACUUGAUGCGUGCCUUUCUUAAUAUCCUGCUCUACCACCUUGAGCAUCCCAUGCAAUUCAGUGAGCUUCUAAUCCAUGCCAUGCAUAUGCUAGUUCGAGAUGAACGUCCCAUAGCUAGACGGAAGAGAACCCAAAAUUGCAUCUGUAGCUAGCUCAUCCAAGAGCGGGAAGCCUAACCGAUCCAAAGCUUGCACAUAUCCGAUCAUCUUGAUCACAUGCGAGCUCAAUGGAUCACCUUCCUUUAGGUUACAAUCCAUCAAGGAUUGCCAGACGUUGAACCUUUCGAUCCUAGCCAGCACCUGAAACAUGCUCUUGAGACUCUCGAUCAUAUCGAAAGCCCCAACAUCUUCGAAAUGCUGUUGCAAAUCAGGCUCCAUACAAACCAGCAUGAGGCAGCUGAUCUCGUUUAAUUCAUUAACCAGUUUCUAGAAGGCAUUCCUGGUUGUGGUACUAGCAUUAUCGACAGGUUCCUGUGGAAGUGGAUCCUCUAGAACAUGUUCCUUUUUAUCAUGCUUGAGAACAAUUCUCAAAUUUCUAUACCAGGUGGUAAAGUUUGUUCCAUUCUGUUUAUCCUUUUUCCAGAAUUGAUUUCAAUGCAAAGUUGGGUUGAGCAGGUGGUGCCAUUGAUCUACAACAGAAAAUAUGCAAUCACUAAGCAAUCUGUUUAUGUAGAGUAAUUCAAUCCUAAAUAGAAAUACUCCCACUGAAGUCAGCAUCCCUACGCAAACUCUCAGUGAUUCAGGAUCCGACUAGUGCUUGCGACUAGUGAGCUUUAGCAUCACUGCUAGCCAACAUACCUAUCCAGUAAGCAACUCCUUGCUAAUCGUAUCUCUAUACGACUCUUGCUGGUCGGGAAGGUAUCUCAUACCCCGGCUCCCAACCUUCUUUGCCAUAAGGCCCAAAACCAUUUUGAUAGCCUUGUCAAGUUAACCUGAUGCAGUGCAUGUCCGUGUCCGACACGAACCCUUCAGUUCAAGGACACCCAGCAGCACCCCAAUUUUACGAGCCCACUACUAGACGUACUUGACAUGCGAAGGUGCAACAUCGGGGAUGGAAAUUCGAUUGAUAUUCAUGAGGGAUCAUUCUACCAUUCUAACAUGCAUAGAAAUAAAGAACCAUAACAAUCACAAAUAAACACAUUCUUCAUGGACGUUCUUCCAGGUCGGCUCCGACUCCGAUGACUAUCUAGGAGCUCCAUCCUGUUUGUCACGCCGGGACGCCAAGCCACCAACCUGAUCUCUAUUAUCCAACUACUACAACUAGUAAUGAAUUUUACAUAGCGUCACAAGUCGACACGCAGGUCGUUAUACAUUAUAAUGACAGCACUUUGGCUCCUGCCAGCUGACAAACAUGACACGCAGGCCAUGUAUAAAUUACACACAUGCAUCACAUACACGUGAGCCAUACUAUUCACAUCAAACCAAACAGAGUUACUCACAUUCUACCGGUUUGAGUGAUUGUGUACGAAAUUCAAGGCACUACGCACACGGUGCUACGAAAUACCGGUUUGAGUGAUAGGAAAUCACAGAUCACAUCUGAACUCUGAUCACGCCGAAUUUUCUGAUCUGACCGAUCUUAUCGAUCAUCGCGAGUGUGGUUCGUAUUUACGUUUCACUGUUAACCCCGAUGGCGGAUACCGACCGUAGGGGUAGGUUGUGUCACGACCUCAUCAACUCCGAUCAUUAGAAAACAUAGCCACUUCAAUCCCCAUGUGCAAUUGAUCUCAUCAACUAUGCACAUAGCCGAUUUCACAAACAACAACAGAUCUCAUCUGUCGUCUCCACAUAUCUAAUAUGCAUAUGAUCUGAAUCCCAAUCCUAUAGCAGAGGCUCUGAUACCACUGUUGGGAUCUACGGUAGGGAGCGUCGACUGCAAAUUAAAAAAAUUCCUAUGCGUAGAACAACCAGGAACAUGCUACGGGAAUGGAUCACAGAUUGUUACCACUAGAUGCGCAGUGCCGUGCAGCGGAAGUAAAGUUGAGGCAGCGUGUUCCCGGAGUCGCCUCGCGUUCCCUGAGUCGUCUCCUCCUUGCCGGUAUCCCAUGCAGAUGAGUGGAUCCCGCAAACAGGUUUUCCGGAGCGGCACAAGUGCACCGCCUCUAACAGUAUCCGCGCGUGCAGGAGGAACAUCGUGCGGCGGACUGCUAGGUCCAAUCACACAACCGGCGGUGAGUGGAGCUGUCUAUUCGCAACACAUGCAAACCCUAGUGACAGUGCUGAAGCGAUCAACUCAAUAAUUGUGCCGCACCUCCAAUUUAUAUAGGUGUCGGUCGCGGGCUCAACACUUGGGCCUCGGAUGGACCCUAAAGCCCACAAGUCUACUCGGCCACAAUCCGAAUAUAGCUCGGAUCACAUCUGACUAGUGUCCUCAGAUACGACCUCGUAGGUUCCUUCCCUUAAGCGCGCAACCCGUUAGGUUCAAGCCGGCUUGGUCGCAGUUCGGAUCAGCUCCGGACUGCACGGUGGGUAGCGGCCUGUAGCAAGGCAUGCCGAACACCAAGCAGGCUAUGAAGCUGGUUAGGCGAACAUGUAUAACAUGUCACACUUCUGUUCCCUUUGCCACACGAUAUAUGUUGCCGGUCUCAAGGCGAGAUUGUCAUCCUUGUGCUAGCCCUACCUCUUUCUCGUUCCAGUGAUACCGACCACAAACUGGAUUAUAUCAGAAUCCUUGUCGCAUGGCCAUGCUCAUCCUGGUCAGAUCAAACGAGGGCCCAGAGUAUAUCUCUCCUGAUCGAAGGAGCAAAUCCCAUCUUGCUCGACCAUGUCUCGUAGCAUGGGACUGGACAAACCCGAAACCUACCUUUGUAACUACCCAGUCACGGAGUAGCGUUUGGUCGGCCCAAAGCAAGUCUGUCACCAUCCCGAGUACAUGGUUCAGCUCAGGUCUUAGGACAUAAAACAUAUGUUGUACUAGAGACUCACAGAUGACAUAUCGCUAUGUCUCAUAGUUGGAUCUGUUCGACUCGGACUUUAUCUCGACUCGAAUUUGACUACCUCGAAUCCGACCAGAUCCUUCCGAGUCCAUAUUAUCCGGUUAGCAUCCGAUGCUCCAUGGCUAGUGAGACCGUGCCAUCCACCAUGUCAUAUGCCAAUCUAGUCCGACGUGUGCGCACACAUCACUUGCGACAAGGGACAAUUUAGGAUGUAUCAUACAACACAAGAUCUCACAGACAAGUCACGUACUUGCCAACAAGUAUCAUUGAUUACAUCCAAGGACUAUCUUUAUUCAUAAACACAUAGGAAAUAUCAUCAUACAUGAUUGCCUCUAGGGCAUAUCUCCAACAUGGGACCCCCUAUCUGAGAUCUGCCGGUUUUGACACCGAUAAUCAUCUUAUAAUGCUACUGCCGAAUUAAGCAAAAUAAGAUGCAUGAAAAAUAAACAUCACAUGCAAUCAAAAUAUAUAACAUGAUAUGGCCAUCAUCAUCUUGUGCCUUUGAUCUCCAUCUCCAAAGCACCGUCACGAUCUCCAUUGUCACCGGCUUGACACCUUGAUCUCCAUCGUAGCAUCAUUGUCAUCUCGCCAACUAUUGCCUCUACGAUUAUCGCUACCGCUUAGUGAUAAAGUAAAGCAAUUACAUGGUGAUUGCAUUUCAUACAAUAAAGCGACAACCAUAUGGCUCCUGCCAGCUGCUGAUAACUUUGUUACAAAACAUAAUCAUCUCAUACAACAAUUUAUCUCACAUCAUGUCUUGACCAUAUCACAUCACAACAAGCCAUGGAAAAACAAGUUAGACGUCCACUACUUUGUUGUUGCAAGUUUUACGUGGCUGCUACGGGCUUCUAGCAAGAACCGUUCUUACCUACGCAUCAAAACCACAACAAUUUUUCGUCAAGUGUGUUGUUUUAACCUUCAACAAGGACCGGCCAUAGUCAAACUCGAUUCAACUAAAGUUGGAGAAACAGACACCCGCCAGCCACCUGUGUGCAAAGCACGUCGGUAGAACCAGUCUCAUGAACGUGGUCAUGUAAUGUCAGUCCGGGCCGCUUCAUCCAACAAUACUAACGAAUCAAAGUAAGAUGUUGGUGGUAAGUAGUAUGACUAUUAUCGGCCACAACUCUUUGUGUUCUACUCGUGCAUAUCAUCUACGCAUAGACCUGAUUCUGAUGCCACUGUUGGGGAACGUAGCAUGCAAUUUCAAGAAAAUUCCUACGAUCACAAAAGAUCUAUCUAGGAGAUGCAUAGCAACAAGACGGGAGAGUGUGUCCACGUACCCUCAUAGACCAAAUGCGUAAGCGUUAUGUUAACGCGGUUGAUGUAGUCAAACGUCUUCACAAUCCAACCGAUCUAGCACCGAAUGUACGACACCUCCGAGUUCAGCACAUGUUCAGAUCGAUGACGUCCCUUGAACUCUUGAUCCAGCAGAGGGUCGAGGGAGAGUUUCAUCAGCAUGAUGACGUGAUGAUGGUAUUGAUGAUGUGAUCUGGACAGGGCUUUGCCUAAGCACUAUGAUGAUACUAUCGGAGGAGUAAAUGGUGGAGGAGGGCACCACACACGGCUAAGACAAUGUUGUCCUUUGGGGUGCCCCCCUGCCCCCAUAUAUAAAGAAGGGAGGAGAAGGCCGGCCACCAGGGGCGCGCCAAGGGAGGGGGGAGUCCUACUAGGACUUCACUCCUAGUAGGAUUCGCCCCCCUUCCUUUUUUCCUUCUUACGAAGGUGGAAAGGGGGAAGGAGAGGGAGUAGGAGAAGGAAAGGGGGGUUGCGCCCCCUUUCCCUAGUCCAAUUCGGCCUCCUCCCUUCAGGGCGCACCAGACCCUUGUGGGCUGGUUAGCCUUCCUCCCAUGGCCCAUAUGGCCCAUAUCUUCUACUUGGGGGGGGGGGUUCUGGUAACCCUUCCGGUACUCCGGUUUAUACCCGAUACACUUCGGAACCCUUCCGGUGUCUGAAUGCCACCUUCCUAUAUAUCAAUCUUUACCUCUCAACCAUUUCGAGACUCCUUGUCAUGUCUGUGAUCUCAUCCGAGACUCCGAACAAACUUCGGUCAUCAAAAACACAUAACUCAUAAUACAAAUCGUCAUCGAACGUUAAGCGUGCGGACCCUACGAGUUCGAGAACUAUGUAGACAUGACCGAGACACAUCUUCGGUCAAUAACCAAUAGUAGAACCUGGAUCCUCAUAUUGGUUCCUACAUAUUAUACAAAGAUCUUUAUCGGUUAAAAGGCACAACAACAUAUGUCGUUCCCUUUGUCAUCGGUAUGUUACUUGCCCGAGAUUCGAUCGCCGGUAUCAUCAUACCUAGUUCAAUACCAGUAAGUAUCUUUACUCGUUCCGUAAUGCUUCAUCCCACAACUAACUCAUUAGUCACAUUGCUUCCAAGGCUUAUAGUGAUGAGCAUUACCAAGAGGGCCCAAAGAUACCUCUCCGAUACACGGAGUGACAAAUCCUAUUCUCGAUAUAUGCCAACUCAACAAACACCUUGGGAGAUACCUGUAGAGCAUCUUUAUAAUCACCCACUUAUGUUGUGAUGUUUGAUAGCACAAAAGGUGUUCCUCCAGUAUUCGGGAGUUGCAUAAUCUCAUAGUCAGAGGAACAUGUAUAAGUCAUGAAGAAAGCAAUAGCAAUAAAACUUACCGAUCAUUAUGCUAAGCUAACGGAUGGGUCUUGUCCAUCACAUCAUUCUCUAAUGAUGUGAUACCGUUCAUCAAAUGACAACACAUGUCUAUGGUCAAGAAACAUAAAGCAUCUUUGAUUAACGAGCUAGUCAAGUAGAAGCAUACUAGGGACACUUUGUUUUGUCUAUGUAUUCACACAUGUACUAAGUUUUCGGUUAAUACAAUUCUAGCAUGAAUAAUAAACAUUUAUCAUGAUAUAAGGAAAUAUAAAUAACAACUUUAUUAUUGCCUCUAGGGCAUAUUUCCUUCAACUGGGACUUCAAAGACGUUUUGAACGUCAUGGAGCAUAUGAGAUGUUCCAAGAGUUGAAGUUAAUAUUUCAAGCAAAUACCCGGGUUGAGAGAUAUGAAGUCUCCAAUAAGAUGUAUAGUUGCAAGAUGGGGGAAAACAGUUCUGUCAGUGAACACAUACUGAAAAUGUUUGGGUAUGAUAAUCACUUGACACAGCUAGGAGUUAAUCUUCCAGUUGAUUGUGUUAUUGACAGAGUUCUUCAAUCACUACCACCAAGCUACAAAGGCUUCGUGACGAACUAUAAUAUGCAAGGGAUGAACAAAACAAUUCCUGAGCUCUUCGCAAUGCUAAAGGCCGCGGAGGUAGAAAUCAAGAAGGAGUGAUACGUCUCCAUCGUAUCUACUUUUCUAAACACUUUUGCCCUUGUUUUGGACUCUAACUUGCAUGAUUUGAAUGGUACUAACCCGGACUGACGCUAUUUUCAGCAGAAUUGCCAUGGUGUUAUUUUUUUGCAGAAAUAGAAGUUCUCGGAAUGACCUGAAACUUCACGGAGAAUAUUCUUGGAAUUAAUAAAAAAUACUGGCGAAAAAAUCAAGACCAUGGGGCCCACACCCUGUCCACGUGGGUGGGGGCGCGCCUUCCCCUGGGCGCGCCCCCUGUCUUAUGGCCCCCCUGAGGCUCCACCGACCACAACUCCAACUCCAUAUAUUCACGUUUGGGGAGAAAAAAUCAGAGAGAAGGAUUCAUCGCGUUUUACAAUACGGAGCCGCCGCCAAGCCCUAAUCUCUCUCGGGAGGGCUGAUCUGGAGUCCAUUCGGGGCUCCGGAGAGGGGAAUCCGUCGCCGUCGUCAUCAUCAACCAUCCUUCAUCACCAAUUUCAUGAUGCUCACCGCCGUGCGUGAGUAAUUCCAUCGUAGGCUUGCUGGACGGUGAUGGGUUGGACGAGAUUUACCAUGUAAUCGAGUUAGUUUUGUUAGGGUUUGAUCUCUAGUAUCCAUUAUGUUCUAAGAUUGAUGUUGCUAUGACUUUGCUAUGCUUAAUGCUUGUCACUAGGCCCCGAGUGCCAUGAUUUCAGAUCUGAACCGAUUAUGUUUCCAUGAAUAUAUGUGAGUUCUUGAUCCUAUCUUGCAAGUCAAUAGUCACCUACUAUGUGUUAUGAUCCGGCAACCCCGAAGUGACAAUAAUCGGGACCACUCCCGGUGAUGACCGUAGCUUGAGGAGUUCAUGUAUUCUCUAAGUAUUAAUGCUUUGGUACGGUACUCUAUUAAAAGGAGGCCGUAAUAUCCCUUAGUUUCCAGUAGGACCCCGCUGCCACGGGAGGGUAGGACAAAAGAGUCAUGCAAGUUCUUUUCCAUAAGCACGUAUGACUAUAUUCGGAAUACAUGCCUACAUUACAUUGAUGAACUGGAGCUAGUUCUAUGUCACCCUAUGUUAUAACUGUUGCAUGAUGGAUCGCAUCCGACAUAAUUAUCCAUCAUUGAUCCAUUGCCUACGAGCUUUUCACAUAUUGAUCUUUGCUUAGUUACUUUACCGUUGCCGCUGUUACAAUUACUACAAAACUGCUACUAUUACUUUUUCCAUCAUUACCGUUACUUCCAUACUACUUUGCUACUAAAUACUUUGCUGCAGAUAUUAAGUCAUUCAGGUGUGGUUGAAUUGACAACUCAACUGCUAAUAAUUGAGAAUAUUCUUUGGCUCCCCUUGUGUCGAAUCAAUAAAUUUGGGUUGAAUACUCUUGCUGGGUUCAUGUUCACUAAAUACUCUUGCUGUGAUUUCUAUUUCUAUUUCUAUUUCUAGCUCGUUUUGCUGUGAUUUUUGAUCUCCUUGCUCAAAGCUUCAUUCACGAAACUAUUUUGGGGGAUUGUUCUUCGGUAUGUGACUCCUCCAAUGGUCCAAUUAGUUUUUGUUCUAGUGCUUUAUUUAUUGCAAAUUUUUGCUGCUAAGGUGACCCUAUUCUCGAGCUUGCAUGUCAAAUUUAUAUGGUCAAAAGUAGCUUUAAUGCAUGAUUUAGCUUCUAGGCAUUUGUGGGAGUAGUUGCUAUCAAUCUUGUUGAGUUUGGUUCACUAUUAUUUUGAGUCACUAAAAUUUUUAGAAAUUUGUCAGAGAAAGAAAAAUGCAUAGGAAAAUAUACCAAGGUUGUUCGUCAAGGAAUCAAGGACCAAGGCUCGCGAUGCGUGAGCCAGACAAUGAAACACUGAGGGAAGUUCAAGUGCGGCCUUGUGAAUGGCCAUCAGAAGAUUUUAUGGUUCAAGCAGGCAUCAAGGAGGAAUUUGACGUGUAUGUGCGUAAUGCUGAACUUGAGGGCUUUGUGUUAGAUAAUUGCCCCCAAUACUACUACCUAACUAAUUCCUUUGUGAGAAGGUUCAAAUUCACAUCCUCACGCAAUUAUCACACUGUUUUGUCUAAUUUUUAUGAUAAAUCAUAUACCAUGGACCUAGAAGAUUUUAAUGCUGCUUGUAAACUCCCACUGUGGGGCAAUUUUAGUGAACCUCGCAAAUCUGAAUAUGAAGACUUUCUUGCUAGUAUCACUGUGGGGGAAUCUAGAGAGAUCACACAAGCUACCAUAGGGAGCAUUCAUUUUCCUUCCAUACAUUAUUUCGCUCUCUUUAUAGGUAGAUGCAUUAAUGGUAAAGAUGAAGCUUGUCACAUGUGUGUCCCAGAUCUUUGUGUUCCCAAAAGUGCGGUAUUAGGAGAUAAACAAUAUAACUUGGGGGCGACUGUUACACGAAGGUUGCAUCAUAACAGUAUAAGCGGAGAUUUGUUUGGUGGGUUUUAUGACACUCGUUUAGCUAACUAUCUUGAUGUACCCAUACAUGCAAAUGAUAUAGAGUUGCCUCCUGUUUAUUUAGAUUAUAAUGCUAUGGUUCGCCAUCAGUUUAUUGGGAGGAAUGAACAGCCCCUACAGUACCGACUAAUCUUUGACAGACAGCGCGCUGUCCAUAUUGCUCUCCCUGCUCCUACUUUCUUUGACGUUCAGGCUAAAAGGAGAUAUGUUAUAACCAGGGAGGAGGCGAACGAGUAUGAAAGGAGGAUGGAGGCAGCUUGUCAGGUAGUAGCGGCUGCAUCUCAGUACGACCCUAGUUACAACUUUGGAUAUCUGCCAGGCCAUCCAUGGGCAUAGACCAACUUAGGCCAAAAGCCUAAGCUUGGGGGAGUAUGUAUUUCUCACCGACAUUACAUUCAUGCUCACACACUCAUUCUAGUUGUCGGUGCUCAUACUUUUUCAUUGUACUAUCCAUGCUAGUUUAUUCUCUUUUCUAAGAUUUCUUCUUGCGUGUUUGAAAAAACCUUAAGAAAAACCAAAAUAUUAGUUGUAGCUUUUAGCUAGUUUACUUUCCAUGCCUUUAGUAGUAGUAAUUAAAAUAAAACUCAAAAAUAUUUCUCGUUCUUCUUUUGCUUGUUGGGAGCUCUCCCCCUGUAAAUAGUUUUAUUUCUUUUCUUUUCUUUGGGGGUCGAGAGGAGAAGACCAUGUUGAAAAUGUUUAGUGGCUCUCAUAUGCAUUAUUGUUGAUUUAACCAAGAGCCCAUCUUACCUUGUCUUCUCCCUUGAAUUGAAUGCUUGCAGAUUCCAGCUUAGUCCAAUGCACGUGCACUAUUAUUAUUAUCCACACCGUUCGGUCGUGCAAGUGAAAUGCAAUAAUGACGAUAUAUGAUGGUCUAAUUGAGAUUAGAGAAGCUGGUAUGUUCAUGACUGUAAAUAUGAUUAGUUCAUCAUUCCUGAUUCAGCCUAUUAUGAAUGAAACAUGUUUACAAUGACAAUUAGAGAUUAUAGUUGCUCAUGACAUGCUUAAUUAGCUAGGAGUUUAUAAUGGUUUACCUUGCGUGCCAACAUGCUAUUAAAAUGGUUGUGAUAUGGUAUGAUAGGGUGGUAUCCUCCUUUGAACGAUUCGAGUGGCUUGACUUGCCACAUGUUCACGCAUGUAGUUGAAACAAAAUCAACAUAGCCUCCACGAUAUUUAUGUCCAUGGUGAUUUAUAUCCUACUCAUGCUUGCACUCAUAGUUGAUUAAUCUUAACGCAUGUUCAUGACUGUUAUCGCUCUCUAGUUGGUCGCUUCCCAGUCUCUAUCUAGCCUUCACUUCUACUAAGUGGGAAUACUGCUUGUGCAUCAACUUCCAUAAACCCCAAAGUUAUUCCAUAUGAGUCCACCAUACCUUCCUAUAUGCGGUAUUUACCUACCGUUCCAAGUAAAUUUGUAUGUGCCAAACUCUAAACCUUCAAAUGAAAUUCUAUUUUGUAUGCAUGAAUUACAAUGUCUAGUCAGUCCUUGAUCUUCAGAGGUGCUCUGCAUUUAUGUUUUGCGGUCUCAGAAAGGGCUAGCGAGAUACCAUCUUGUUAUGUCAUAUUAUGAUUGUUUUGAGAAAGUGUUGUCAUUCGGGAUUUAUUAUUAUUGCUCGCUAGUUGAUUAUGCCAUUGAUAUGAGUAAAUAUGAGAUCUAGAUGUUAUUGUGAAUGUGGUAAGUUCAUAAUCUUUGCUGAAAACUUGAAUGUUGGCUUUACAUAUUUGCAACAACAAGAGCAAAGUUUUUCUUUAUCACUUUCAGUUUGUCAACUGAAUUGCCUGAGGACAAGCAAAGGUUUAAGCUUGGGGGAGUUGAUAUGUCUCCAUCGUAUCUACUUUCCCAAACACUUUUGCCCUUGUUUUGGACUCUAACUUGCAUGAUUUGAAUGGAACUAACCCGGACUGAAGCCGUUUUCAGUAGAAUUGCCAUGGUGUUAUUUUUGUGCAGAUAUAAAAGUUCUCGGAAUGACCUGAAACUUCAUGGAGAAUAUUUUUGGAAUUAAAAAAAUACUGGCAAAAGAAUCAAGACCAGGGGUCCACACCCUGUCCACGAGGAUGAAGGCCCCGCCUGCCCCCCUGGGCGGCCCCCUAUCUCGUGGGCCCCCUGAGGCUCCAUCGACCUCAACUCCGACUCCAUAUAUUCACGUUCGAGGAGAAAAAAAUCCGAGAGAAGGAUUCAUCACGUUUUACGAUACGGAGCUGCCGCCAAGCCCUAAUCUCUCUCGGGAGGGCUGAUCUGGAGUCCAUUCGGGACUCCGAAGAGGGGAAUCCAUCACCGUCGUCAUCAUCAACCAUCCUUCAUCACCAAUUUCAUGAUGCUCACCGCCGUGCGUGAGUAAUUCCAUCGUAGGCUUGCUGGACGGUGAUGGGUUGGAUGAGAUUUACCAUGUAAUCGAGUUAGUUUUGUUAGGGUUUGAUCCCUAGUAUCCAUUAUGUUAUAAGAUUGAUGUCGCUAUCACUUUGCUAUGCUUAAUGCUUGUCACUAGGGCCUGAGUGCCAUGAUUUCAGAUCUAAACCUAUUAUGUUUUCAUGAAUAUAUUUGAGUUCUUGAUCCUAUCUUGCAAGUCAAUCGUCACCUACUAUGUGUUAUGAUCCGGCAACCCCGAAGUGACAAUAAUCGGGACAACUCCUGGUGAUGACCGUAGCUUGAGGAGUUCAUGUAUUCACUAAGUUUAAUGCUUUGGUGUGGUACUCUCUUUGGUGUGAUCCUAUUAAAAGGAGGCCUUAAUAUCCCUUAGUUUCCAAUAGGACCCUGCUGCCACGGGAGGGUAGGACCAAAGAUGUCAUGCAAGUUAUUUUCCAUAAGCAUGUAUGACUAUAUUCGGAAUACGUGCCUACAUUACAUUGAUGAACUGGAGCUAGUUCUGUGUCACCCUAUGUUAUCACUGUUGCAUGAUGAAUCGCAUCCGACAUAAUUAUCCAUCACUGAUCCAUUGCCUACAAGCUUUUCACAUAUUGAUCUUUGCUUAGUUACUUUACCAUUGCCGCUGUUACAAUUACUACAAAACUCCUACUGUUACUUUUUCCACUGUUACCGUUACUUCCUGUAGGAUCAAAAGUAUGUCUAGAGGGGGGUGAUUAGACUACUUGUCAAUAUAAAAAUUCUGCCUUUUGACAAAGAACAGUUUUUGGCAGAUUCACAAUUAUGAUCAAGUCAAGCAUCACCCUACACAUGCAAUUCUAGAGUAUAGGCAGCGAAAAGUAAAUUGCACAUGUAGUAAAGAGAGGUGGAGAAGAGCAAACGCAAUUUUGGAGACGUGGUGAUUUUUCCCGUGGUUCCGAUAGGUGGCGCUAUCGUACAUCCACGUUGAUGGAGACUUCAACCCACGGAGGGUAACGACUGCGCGAGUCCACAAAGGGCUCCACCCACGAAGGGUCCACGAAGAAGCAACCUUGUCUAUUCCAUCAUGGCCUACGCCCACGGAGGGCUAGCCUUACUCGGGGUAGAUCUUCACGAAGUAGGCGAUCUCCUUGUCCUUACAAACUUCUUGGUUCAACUCCACAUCUCGACGACGGAGGCUCCCAAGCGACACCUAACCAAUCUAGGAGGCACCACCCUCCAAAAGGUAAUAGAUGUUGUAGAUGAUGAUGAACUCCUUGCUCUUGUGCUUCAAAUGAUAAUCUCCCCAACACUCAACUCUCCUCACUGAUUUGGCUGUGGUGGAAGAAAGGAUUGAGUGGAAAGCAACUUGGGAAGGCUAGAGAUCAAGCUUCAUAUGGUGGGAGUGGAGCAACUUGAUCUCAACACAAGGGUAGGUAGUUCUCUUCUCAGAAAUGUAAGGUAGGAGUGGUAGUUCUUUAUGAUGGCUCUCUCCACGAAUGAAGAGGGGGUGGAGGGGUAUAAAUAGCCUCCACACAAAAUCCAACCGUUACACACAUUUGAGCAAUCUCGGUGGGACUGAAGUGGACAACUCGGUGAGACCGAUAGUUCAAAUAAUGUGAACAUUGGGAUUUUCGGUGGGACCGAAUAUACAAUCUCGGUUAGUCCGAUUCGUGCAAUGACACUAGCAUGCCAGUUUUGGUGGGACCGACUUCAUCAUCUCGGUGACACCGAUUUGAUGACAGAAGGUUACAGAACCUUGGCAACUCAUGUUUCGGUGAGACCGAGUUCAGAAUCGGAAAAUCCGAGUUUACUAGGGUUUGGCUUAUGGCUAAGGUGGUUCAUCUCGGUGUGACUGAGUUUGGAAUAUCGGUGGGACCGAGACUACUUAUGAGUGUCUAUGGCAGUGAAAGUUGCUGAUAGUUUAGGAGAUGUAUCACUAAGCACUUGAGCAACCAGAUCAUCAUCAUAACCUCAUGCCCUUUUAAUAGUAUUGGCUUUUCCUAUGGACUCAAUGUGAUCUUGGAUCACUAAACCAAAAAUGGAGUCUUGAGCUUUUGCCAAUGCUUGCCUUAGCAUUUUGGGGGGUCCACUUCUUCAGUCCUUGCCAUACCCAUAUCACUGAACUCUCUGAAAUGAUUCUCAAGUAACUAUUAGUUCAAUGAUAUAUAUGUUGUUAUUAGUUACCAAAACCACCCGGGGAUUAGUUGCACUUUCAAUCUCCCCCUUUUUGGUAAUUGAUGACAACAUAUAGAUCAAAGCUUCGACAAAGGAUAUAAUCAAUGAAUAAUAUCGUCGCUUUGAGAAGUAUGUGAUAAGCAAGAGCUCCCCCUAAAUUUGUGCAUUAUUUAAGAUUUGCGUUUGAAUGCAAAUGCACAAUCGAUUAGGAUCAUGGGUCACUCUUCCAUGUCACAUACAUCUUGGUGGAGCAAACAAAAUGAUAAGAAUGAACAGCAUGCACCCAAUCACCAAGACAUGAGUAAAUGGUCAUACGAGAUAGGAAUGUCAUAUGAUAAGCAUUAAGCACACAUUAAAGCAUAGUAAGACCAAGCACUCAUUAAGGUAGAAUCAAACGGAGUAUCAAACACACUGAAUGUCUCGAAAACCAAAAGUAUCUCAAACAAACCGCAAAAGAACGAAAGAGCAAAACCGCAAAGACAACAGCACUCUCUCUCUCUCGAAGCCCUAUGAUCUAUACAAUUUCUCCCCCUUUGGCAACAAGUUACCAAAAAGUUCGAAAAAGCAUAGAGCUAAGCGUCACUGUGGACUCUGCUGGCGGCUCCCGUCUGGGUUGAUGUCGGAGUGGAUAUGACAGCAUCGGCAAAGACUUCAGCUGAUGUCUGUGCUGGAGGAGUGGACACUGGAGCUGGAGCUGGAGUAGGAGCAACUGCUGGAACUGUGGGAGGUGCUGAAGCUGUAGUCCUGGUGUCAGUCACUGGAAUAGCAGCUGAUCGGGAUCCUUUGGGAACUGGAGCAGUCUGUCGAUGAGAAUCCUGGACUAAGUCAUCCUGCAACUCACGCAUAAGCUCUGCCUUGUCCUGCUUUGCUUCCUCAAUGUCUGCCUCGAGCUUGUUGACGGUCACUUGUACUUCAGUCAGCUUCAUGUCCAGAGCGUGGAUCUUCUCGUCAACAAUCCUCUCUAAGCUCUCCUGAGACUGUUCAAUGCUGGCCAGGCGUUGUUCAAUCCUUUGAGUAGCUUCAAGAAUUUGCUCUCCGAAACUCUUUGGUUUAGCUGCUGCUGCUGCUGCUUCCUUGUCAGCUUUGGCUUUCUUAGCAGCUGCGAUCUUGGCUUGACCUUCAACAGAUGUCGGAUCCUCCUCAUCCAUCACAACAACAUUGUCUUCAUGCUCUGGCUGCAACGGUAAAUGUUCUCUAUCCAACAAGAAUGUGCCCGUGCCAAACUUGGCAUUGAUAAGCAUAUGAAUCUGCGGGGCAAAUCCACACGACCUUUUGUGAUCAGCUGCAGUCCUCUUAAUGGUCUCUACCAUCAAGUUCAUCACCUUGAAAGGUGCUCUCUCAUCAAGUAUGUGCAGCAUGUUGAUAGAGUAUCCUCUGAUCAUGCGAUCAUCUCCAGAUUUGGGCAUCAAGGUAUGCCUCAAAAUGGUAUUAGUUGUAGGUAAGCCUACCUGGAGAUGGUAGACUGAGCCGAGCUUCCAGAUUUGCAAAUCCUCUGCUGGAACCUCUUUGUACAUGUUUUUCAUGGAUUCAUGAUUCUUCUUUGGAAUCCCAUAUACAUCAAUAUCAUCUUCUCAUUGCAUUGGAGCAUUCAGAAUUUCUGCCCAUUCUUCAACAGAAGAAGAAAACCUUUGACCUUCAGUCAUCCACAUAAUCUUUCCAUCAGGGUAGAAGUGAGCUGUGGCGUAAAAUUGCAUUAUCAUCUCAUCGUUCCAACUGGUCAAUUUCUGACCUACAAAAUCUGCAACUCCACAUGCAGUGAAACUUUCAUGCACAUGUGGAAAGAAAUCUCUGUGCUCUUCGCUGUCAAUGUACUUCCAGUCAACAUAUCUGGUGUCUGCGACUAUGGGCUUCUUGUCCAUCAGCACGGUCUCAUAGAAGUCCUGCUGCUCUCUGGUGUGAAAUCUGGGAUCUACAGCAGUUCUUCUCCUCACGGCAUAUGGGUCAGUUGGUCUCCAUAGCCUGAGACCUUUAUCUUUCCUUGCCUUCAUAUCCUCAGCUUGAGGAUGAGCAUCAUUAUGGAGUGGCAGUUUUGGACGAAGUUUCAGCAAAACUGGUCCUUCAUCGUCAAACUCAGCUAGUGGCACAUCAUCCUUGUUCUUUUCAGACGCUGGAAUGUUUCUGAUGGUCCUCCUGGGCUUGGCAGCAGGCUUUGCUGGAGCUGCCUUAGCUGGAGCAGAUUUCUUGGGCUUUGAUGUGGCUCCAGCCUUAAUGGCAUCACCCAUGAGCUUCGGCUUCUGAGGAGGAGGCUGGGGUGCUUCCUCAUCCUCAUCCUCUACUGCUGCAUCUGCAUGCACUAUUCUCUUUCUCUUGGUGGUUUUCUUCACUUUGCUUGCAGCUGCCUCUCCCAAAUUCAGCUUCUUAGCAACAGUUGACUGCUUGACUUUGCUGGUGCCCUUCUUAGAUUGUUGAUCUUGUUGCUCUUUGGCAACAACCUUCCUUUUAGGCUUUGAGGUCACCUCUUCCUCAACAACAAAAUAUGAAUCCUCAUCAUCUGAAUUCCUCUUCUUUCUAGCUCUGGUGGCUGCAGGAGGCAUGCCACUUGGUGUACUCCUCUCACCAUCAUCAGAUGAGCUACUAGGAUCAGGACUAGUGCCUGCCUCUAGAAUGUCUGCAAUGGGUGUCUCUGACCUGUUCUCACUGUCACUGGCAUCUGACAUGGCUGACAACCUGUGAAUAGAUAAGGUGUAGGCAGAGAAGAAGAGUCAUCACAAACUGCAGAAGUUUUUGCAAAAAAAAUGAGUUCAAAUUCUAGUAUUAAGUUUUCACAGAAGACAUUUCGGUCAGACCGAGUUUAAGGUUCGGUGAAUCCGAAGUGUUAAAUAGGAGCUUGGCACACCACUUUCGGUUUGACCGAAGUGGGUUUCGGUCCUGCCGAAAACACUAGGGUUUCACAGAAUCUUCAUUUCGGUCACACCGAUUUUGCACAACUCGGUUGGACCGAAGGGUGCAGUGCAAUGGCCAUAGGCCAAAUCGGUCAUACCGAAAAUAUAAAAUAGGUCUCACCGAGAUGUGUUCCGCGGAAACCUAACCCUAAAACUUUUACUCGAAUCUAGUUCAAACGAACCAAUCUGGUGUACAGGAGGAUUUCAAUCGUGGCAAGAUACUAGGCAAUCCAAACGUGCAUUGAAUCGGAGAUGGGAGCACGAGUGGGAUCAAAACUCACCCUAACUUGGUGGAGUUUUUCUACGGCGGCAACGGCUCGGAGGAGAUGGCCGUUGACGGCGACGGAGACCUGCGGCGAGGGCGCACAUGCGACGACGGCGACGAUCCGGAGACCAAGGCGACGGCAGCAAGGCGUGUGGGGGCGAAACGUUUGAAGGAGGAAUCAACGCGCGCGACCCUCGGAAUAUAUACCCCUUCGCUGUCAGUGGGACCGAGUUGUAAAACUCGGUGGCACCGAGAUGGAUAACUGCUAGGCAGUUAUGCACUUCGGUCACGCCGAAAAUCACAACUCAGUUUCACCGAGAUGAAAACCUAGAUCAGUCUAAAUGCUUUCGGUUCGACCGAGUUUGAGUGAGUUGGUCUGACCGAAAUCAAUUAGAAGGUUUUGGAAAUUAGCCCUUGACGGAUCGGUGGCUCCGAGUGCUCCUCACCCGGAGGGUCCGAAAAUGACUUGUUCAAAAUUUAUGAUGUAAGCAUGAAUAGAAUUUGAGACAAGAAAGCAUAGAUAGCUAGGGGAGGUACUUAGGCAUUCUUGUCCAUCCAUUUGGUCAGAAAAAUCAAAACGACCAAAACAACAAAUGGAUGUCCUCGAAUGGAUAAAAUCAUGCAUCCAACAUGCUCACACAAUAAGAUAGCAAAUGAAAUAUGUGUCAAACAUGCACAACCAAAACUCUAGCAACUAACACACAAUUUGUCGAUGACUAGGUCAUCUUUAUAUGAGUAUAUUGACUUAGGAGCCAAAUGAGAACAUUUGAUCAUAGGUCAUACUCAUCGUUUAAGCACAAGUGGGGUUACCACUUUUACAUAAAGCAUUGAUGUGUUCACAUCAUUUGAAGAUGCUUUAGCUCAAUUUUUAGAGCAAAGCUCCCCCUAGAUGUGAGAACCCCUUUUAAAGGGUCAAACUAACCUUGGGUUGUCGUAGAAGACUUCAUGUAGAUGUUGAAGAUGUGGAUGCUCAAUGUUGAUGGAGAUCAUCAAGAGUUGGGAGCUAUCCUUUGGAUUCGGGCACUUUCAAUACCUACAUGGGUUAGUCCCACAAGGAACAAACAAGGAUAUCCAUGGACAUAGAUUGAAGUUCACAAUAGAUGAUGUCCAUGAAAGCAAUGAUUACCUUGUCCCUUGACUUACCAACAAGAGGGUUUGUGACUCCAUGAACUAGUGCACGAUGUGGAAGUUGAUUGCACAAGUUUUUACCAAAAUGAAUGUGAGUGAAGUAUGUUGGCGGAGUCACCCUCAAGAACUUUCUAGUUCUUCUUCUUCGGGAUCCACAUCAUCUUGAUGGGAAUCCUUGGGGUUGUAGUUGAGCUUGACGAAGUAGAACUUGACGUUUCCUUGGGAACCCACUUGACCAUGGCUUGAGGUGCUUCAACAAAUGCAUCAAUCUCCUCUUGAAGCUUGUCCUUGCCUUUUAGCUUGUGGUCUUGUGGUGGAAGGUCAUCUUGAGCUUGUUCCACAUUGGAAGAAGUAGGAUCAUACUUCUCCUUUUGAGGAACAAACUGUGGAGUAGGAUAUUGACCUUCUUCCCACUCAACGCCUUCGGCGUUGAACUUUCGCUCAAAACCAAUUCCUUGAUUCUUCCGGUGCCUUCCUUGCUUGCGAACAAUUUCCUCAAAGUUCUUGCUUCCGGCAAGGCUCUUGUAGACACCUUUCUCUAUGAUCCCUUUCAAUAAACUAUUCUCUUGCUCAAGUGUAACUUGGCUUGAAACAUUGUUAGUGGAAUCAAGAGAACUACUAGAAGCAACAACAUUGGAUUUAGCAUGGUUAUUGUUACUGCUAGAGGAAGAAUUUUUCUUAUGCUUGUCAUGCUUAGUCUUAAUGGGUGGCAAGAAAUUAGACAAGAGAAGUCGUUUGGCAAGAUAUGAAGAACUCUUCUUUCGAAGAUCGUCAUUGAUUGCUUUUAGAAACUCAUGUUCUUGCUCUAGAGUGAGCUUCUCGAAGCGUAGCUUCUCAUGAGAUCUUAGGAGCUCUCUAUGAUCUUCUUGAGUUGUUUCAUGAGCUAACUUAAGAGUGUUUAGUUCUUUAGUUAGACGCUCAAUCUCCUUCAUAGCAUUGUCAUUCGACUCUUCUCGACUAUAAAGACUACUAGCAUGUUCAUCGUUACUAGGCUCACUGGAUUUAUCAUGCAAGAGCUCAUCUUCACCAAGCAAGUCAUCCUCAUCACUAUCGAAGUCAAUGAAUUCAGGGUGUGAUACCUUGGGGCCUUUAGCCAUGAAGCAUCUUCCAAUUCCCUCAUUUGGUGAAUCAAAUAAGUCGUAGGAGUUCGAGUUGGAGGAUACGAGAGCAAGACCGGCAACACCUUCAUCUUGACUGUAGUCGGAGUCGGAGUGAUAGCUUCCUUCGGAUUGAUUGUCGGAGUCGGAGCCGGAGACCCAUUCUCCUACAUGAGCUUGAUGUUUUCUUCUUGUGUAGCUCCUUGAUGACUUGUCUUUCCUCUCCGAAUCCUUGCUUCUCCGAGAGGGUCUUCGUUCAUAACGAUCAUCUCUGCUCCUUCUCUCUUUCCGAGGUGACUCAUCUCUUGAGCUUCUUCUUCUUGGAGAUUCUUCUCUUCUCUUGUGGGGAGCCGUACACUCAUUUGAGUAGUGUCCGGGUCUUCCACAAUUGUAGCAGUUUCGAUCACGACUAGAAGAUCUCUUUUCAUCAUAUGAUCUAGACUUUGAGCUUCUCUCUUUGCCUCUAUUCUUGUAGAAUUUGUUGAAGUUCUUGACCAUUAGGCUUAUCUCUUCAUUGGAAACUAACUUGUCACUUGAGGUUGUGGGAGCAUCACUUGUAGCUUUGUAAGCACCACUUGACUUGUUGUGAAGCUCAUCCUUAUCCUUAAGUGUCAUCUCAUGAGCAACAAUUCUUCCAAUGACUUCAGUUGGCUUGAGAGUCUUGUAGUUUGGCAUCAUUUGGAUCAAAGUGCACACGGUGUCAUACUUUCCAUCCAAAGCUCUGAGAAUCUUCUUGAUGAUGAAUCGGUCGGUCAUUUCUUCGCUUCCUAAGCCGGCAAUCUCAUUUGUGAUGAGAGCAAGCCUAGAGUACAUUUCAGCGACUCCUUCACCAUCCUUCAUCUUGAACUUGUCAAGUUGACCUUGAAGAAUAUCUAGCUUUGAUUCCUUCACGGACUCGGUACCUUCGUGCAUUUCAACCAAAGUAUCCCAAAUCUCUUUUGCAUUCUCAAGACGGCUGAUUUUGUUGAACUCCUCGGGACACAAGGCAUUGAAGAGAAUGUCGCAAGCUUGAGCAUUGUUUUGCAACAUCUGCAAUUCUUCCGGUGUAGCUUCGCGAUCCGGAACUUUUCCUUCCUCGAAGAAUUCACCUUGCAUACCAACACAAAUAAUGCCCCAUGCGGCUGGGUUAUGACCAAGAAUAUGCAUUUUCAUUUUAUGCUUCCAACUAGCAAAACUUGUACCAUCAAAGUAAGGACCUCUACGAAAAUUACCCUCACUAGACGCCAUACUCUCCUAGGUUGUGAAACCAAGCUUAUGGAGUCCAAUGCAAUGGAAACCAAUACAAUGGAGACCAAAGCUCUGAUACCACUUGUAGGAUCGAAAGUAUGUCUAGAGGGGGGGGUGAUUAGACUACUUGUCAAUAUAAAAAUUCUGCCUUUUGACAAAGAACAGUUUUUGGCAGAUUAACAAUUAUAAUCAAGUCAAGCAUCACCCUACACAUGCAAUUCUAGAGUAUAGGCAGCGGAAAGUAAAUUGCACAUGUAGUAAAGAGAGGUGGAGAAGAGCAAACGCAAUUUUGGAGACGCGGUGAUUUUUCCCGUGGUUCCGAUAGGUGGCGCUAUCGUACAUCCACGUUGAUGGAGACUUCAACCCACGGAGGGUAACGGCUGCGCGAGUCCACGGAGGGCUCCACCCACGAAGGGUCCACGAAGAAGCAACCUUGUCUAUUCCAUCAUGGCCUACGCCCACGGAGGGCUAGCCUUACUCGGGGUAGAUCUUCACGAAGUAGGCGAUCUCCUUGCCCUUACAAACUUCUUGGUUCAACUCCACAUCUCGACGACGGAGGCUCCCAAGCGACACCUAACCAAUCUAGGAGGCACCACCCUCCAAAAGGUAAUAGAUGUUGUAGAUGAUGAUGAACUCCUUGCUCUUGUGCUUCAAAUGAUAAUCUCCCCAACACUCAACUCUCCUCACUGAUUUGGCUGUGGUGGAAGAAAGGAUUGAGUGGAAAGCAACUUGGGAAGGCUAGAGAUCAAGAUUCAUAUGGUGGGAGUGGAGCAACUUGAUCUCAACACAAGGGUAGGUAGUUCUCUUCUCAGAAAUGUAAGGUAGGAGUGGUAGUUCUUUCUGAUGGCUCUCUCCACGAAUGAAGAGGGGGUGGAGGGGUAUAAAUAGCCUCCACACAAAAUCCAACCGUUACACACAUUUGAGCAAUCUCGGUGGGACCGAAGUGGACAACUCGGUGAGACCGAUAGUUCAAAUAAUGUGAACGUUGGGAUUUUCGGUGGGACCGAAUAUACAAUCUCGGUUAGUCCGAUUCAUGCAAUGACACUAGCAUGCCAGUUUCAGUGGGACCGACUUCAUCAUCUCGGUGACACCGAUUUGAUGACAGAAGGUUACAGAACCUUGGCAACUCAUGUUUCGGUGAGACCGAGUUCAAAAUCGGAAAAUCCGAGUUUACUAGGGUUUGGCUUAUGGCUGAGGUGGUUCAUCUUGGUGUGACUGAGUUUGGAAUAUCGAUGGGACCGAGACUACUUAUGAGUGUCUAUGGCAGUGAAAGUUGCUGAUAGUUUAGGAGAUGUAUCACUAAGCACUUGAGCAACCAGAUCAUCAUCAUAACCUCAUCCCCUUUUAAUAGUAUUGGCUUUUCCUAUGGACUCAAUGUGAUCUUGGAUCACUAAACCAAAAAUGGAGUCUUGAGCUUUUGCCAAUGCUUGCCUUAGCAUUUUGGGGGGUCCACUUCUUCAGUCCUUGCCAUACCCAUAUCACUGAACUCUCUGAAAUGAUUCUCAAGUAACUAUUAGUUCAAUGAUAUAUAUGUUGUUAUUAGUUACCAAAACCACCCGGGGAUUUGUUGCACUUUCACUUCCAUACUACUUUGCUACUAAAUACUUUGCUGCAGAUAUUAAGUCUUUCAGGUGUGGUUGAAUUGACAACUCAACUGCUAAUACUUGAGAAUAUUGUUUGGCUCCCCUUGUGUCGAAUCAAUAAACUUGGGUUGAAUACUCUACCCUUGAAAAGUGUUACGAUCCCCUAUACUUGUGGAUUAUCAAGGAGCAUCAAGUGUUGAUGGUUAACAAGACCACUAGUUUCAAGAAAAAUGGCAAAGGGAAGAAAGGGAACUUCAAGAAGAACGACAAGCAAUUUGCCCUCCCGAGAAUAAACCCAAAGCUAGACCUAAGCCUAAAACUGAGUGCUUCUACUGCAAAGGGAGUGGCCACUGGAAACGGAACUACCCCAAGUAUUUGGCGGAUAAGAAGAAUUGCAAAGUGAACAAAGGUAUAUUGAAUAUACAUGUUAUUGAUGUGUUCCUUACUAAUGCUCGUAGCAGCGCGUGGGUAUUUGAUACUUGUUCGGUUGCGCAUAUUUGUAACUCAAAACAGGAGUUGUGGAAUAAAUGAAGAUUUUCUAAGGACGAGGUGACGAUGCACGUCAGAAAUGGUUCCAAGGUCGAUGUGAUCGCCGUCGGCAUGAUACCUCUACAUCUACCUUCGGGAUUAGUUUUAGACCUCAAUAAUUGUUAUUUGGUGCCAGUGUUGAGCAUGAACAUUAUAUCUGAUCUUGUUUAUUGCGAGAUGGUUGUUCAUUUAAGUCAAAGAAUAAUGGUUGUUCUAUUUAUAUGAAUAAUAUAUUUUACGGUCAUGCACCCUUGAAGAGUGGUGUAUUCUUGUUAAAUCUUGAUUGUAGUGAUACACAUAUUCAUAAUAUUGAUGCCAAAAGAUGCAAACUUGAUAAUGACAGUGCAACAUAUUUGUGGCACUGUCGUUUUGGUCAUAUUGGUGUAAAGCACAUGAAGAAACUCUAUGCAGAUGGACUUUUGGAAUCAAUUGAUUGUGAAUCAUUUGAUACUUGCGAACCAUGCCUCAUCGGCAAGAUGACUAAAACUCUGUUCUUCAGAACAAUGGAGCGAGCUAAUGAAUUAUUGGAAAUCAUACAUACAGAUGUAUGUGAUCCGAUGAGUGUUGAAGCACACGGCGGGUAUCGUUAUUUUCUCACCUUCACAGGUGAUUUGAGUAGGUAUGGGUAUAUCUACUUGAUGGAACACAAGUCUGAAACAUUUGAAAAGUUCAAAGAAUUUCAGAGUGAAGUGGAGAAUCAUCGUAACAAGAAAAUAAAGUCUCUAUGAUCCGAUUGCAGAGGCAAAUAUUUGAGUUACAAGUUUGGCCUUCAUUUAAAACAAUGUGGAAUUUUUUCACAACUCAUGCCACCUGGAACACCACGGCGUAAUGGUGUGUCCGAACGUCGUAACCAUACUUUAUUAGAUAUGGUGCGUUCUAUGAUGUCUCUUACCGAUUUACCACUAUCAUUUUGGGGUUAUGCAUUAGAGACAGCUACAUUCACGUUUAAUAGGACAACAUCUAAAUCCGUUGAGAUGACACCGUAUUAACUGCGGUUUGGCAAGAAAACUAAGUUGUCAUUUCUUAAAGUUUGGGGAUGCGAUGCUUAUGUUAAAAGGCUGCGGCGAGAUAUGCUCAAACCCAAAUCAAGGAAGUGCGUCUUGAUAGGAUACCCGAAAGAAACUAUUGGGUACACCUUCUACCAUAGACCCGAAGGCAAGAUCUUUGUAGCUAAGUUUGGGUCCUUUCUAGAGAAGGAGUUUCUCUCGAAAGAAGUGAGUGGGAGGAAAGUAGAACUUGAUGCGGUAAUUGUACCUUCUCUCGAAUUGGAGAGUAGCAUAUCACAGAAAGUUGUUCCCGUGAUGCCUACACCAAUCAGAGAGGAAGCAAAUGAUAAUGAUCAUGAAACUUCAGAUCAAGUGACUAUAGAACCUCAUAGGUCGACCAGGGCACGGUCCACACCAUAGUGGUACGGUAAUCCUGUUCUGAAAGACAUGUUAGUAGACCAAGGCAAACCUAUGAACUAUGAAGAAGCUAUGAUGAGCCCAUAUUCCGACAAAUGGCUUGAGGCCAUGAAAUCUAAGGUAGGAUCCAUGUAUGAGAACAAAGUGUGGACUUUGUUGGAUUUGCCCGAUGAUCAGCAAGCCAUAGAGAAUAAAUGGAUCUUCAAGAAGAAGGCUGACGAUGAUGGUAAUGUUACUAUCUCCAAAGAUCGACUUGUCGCAAAAGGUUUUCGACAAGUUCAAGGAGUUGACUAUGAUGAGACUUUCUCACCAGUAGCGAUGCUUAAGUCUGUCUGAAUCAUGUUAGCAAUUGCUGCACUUUAUGAUUGUGAAAUAUGGCAAAUGGACGUGAAAACCGCAUUCCUCACUGGAUUUCUUAAAGAAGAGUUUUAUAUGAUGCAACCAGAAGGUUUUGUCGAUCCUAAAGAUGCUAACAAAGUGUGCAAGCUCCAGCGAUCCAUCUAUGUACUGGUGCAAGCAUCUCGGAGUUGGAAUAUAUGCUUUGAUGAAGUGAUCAAAGCAUAUGGUUUUAUACAGACUUACGGUGAAGCCUGUAUUUACCAGAAAGUGAGUGGGAGCUAUGUAGCAUUUCUGGUAUUAUAUGUGGAUGACAUAUUAUUGAUUGGAAAGGAUAUAGAAUUUCUAGAUAGCAUAAAAGGAUACUUGAAUAAGAAUUUUUCAAUGAAAUACCUCGGGGAACACUACAAAAAAAUACACUUCCGUGAUGAUACGUGUUUGUCACAGUAGGUCGUGUUUUUUGUCAUGCAUGUACAUCCAUGACGAUUUUAUGACAGAAUCAAGAUAGUCAUACUUGUGCUGUCGUAGAAGUGUUCCAUGACAUUACCAAAAUUAUCAUCACGGAAGUGUCCACUUCCAUGACGAUAAAUCGCGCAUCACAGAAGUGCUUUCGUCAAGGGUGACUGACACAUGGCAUCCACCGUAACGGAACGUCGUUAAGCUAUCGGGUCGGUUUUUGGAUCCGAUAACCCGUUAACAGCCCCGACCAAUGGGGAUUUUCCACGUGUAAAAUCAUCAUUGGCUAGAGGAAACAUGUUUCGGCUCAUCGUUGGGAUAGAUGUCAUCCACUCAUUGGACAGAAGGCGCCUAUGAUACAUCCACACGUGGCACGGCCCAACAGAGGCCCAUUCCUAUGAAAAGGCCCACCCGUUUGACUUGGUCAAAAGGUGGCGGGCCGGCCCAUGGAAAGCCUGUUAACGGCCUGUUCGCAUAUAGCCCAUUUACAACCCGCUAACCCAAGGCCCAUUACGCCCUAUCCGAAUUAGGCCUAGUAGCGUCAUUUGGGCCAUCCAAUAUGAUUCCAGUCCGGUUUCACUUUUAGCCCAUGUGUGGCCCAUGACGUCUUUCGGCCCAUAUGAGGCCCUAUGUAACUCUUGGCCUAUUAACGGCCCGUGGUGAAACUAGCCCGCAAUGAACAGUGUAUCACUUUACACCCAUUACCGGCCCAUGGUGAAACUGGCCCGUGAUGAACAGUGUAUCACUUUAUACCCAUUAAGGGCCCGUUAUUCAGUUGGGCCUUUUCCAGCCCAUGUUAUCUUUCGGCCUUCUCAGUGCCCAUUUAUUCUUGGGCUCAUUUCCAGCAUUCGUUUACUUACGGCCCAUUACUGUCAUUUUCUUCUUGUGGGCCAAAUUCAGCCCGUGGUUACAAUCGACCCGUUUGUGGUCCGUUAAUACAUUGGGCCGUUUUCAUAGCGCCAUCCAAUACGGCCUAUUAACGAUGGCCCGUUAUGGUCGGCCCAUUACGGACGAUUCCAACUCUAGCACGUUUACAGCCAUAAUGCGGUCUGUUAUUGGCCCAUGUUUGGCCAAUCGAUCAUACGGCCCGUAUAAGGCCCAUUGAUGAUAUGGCCCGUAGAAGGCCCAUUGUUUCUACGGCCCGUAGAAGGCCCAAUGUUUCUACGGCCCGUAGAAGGCCUACUGUUUCUAGGGCCCGUAGAAGGCCCACUGUUUCUACGGCCCGUAAGAGGCCCAGUGUCACUAUAGUAAAUAUUAGCCCAUCGUUAUUGUGGCCUAGUUUUAAAAAAUAGGUUAUUGCAGCCACUAGCAAACCGCAGAAAAAGAACUGCACUGACUACAAUCAAACAAAUAAACAAGACAACAAGGAAAUAAAUAAGCAAGCAACUUAUGCUAGGCUAUCAUGGCUCUUACACAUAUUACAUCCGCUGGGCAUCAAAGUUCGCCACCAGUGCAAAUAUAGGGAACACAGCAGCAUAUAAACACCGCAGCAAAACAAGUCUAGAACUGAAACCACUUCAGAAUAGUUCAAGAAACAAUAUCCUGUGUACCCAUAAUGCUGGCAAGAUGCUUAGCAAGCUUAUUAACUUUCUCUUGUUUGGCGCUUAAAUCCUCCAGCGCUUGUUGUUGCACAAGAAAGUAUGCAUCUGAAUUCGGUAGGGACUUCCUCAGUCCUUCGGCUUCUUGCCGCAGCACAGCUGACUGAUGCCUUUCAGCUUGUAGCUGAGACUGAAGAUGCCGUAUUGAUUCAGGCAGCAAGUUCGAAGAGCUUGUGCCAGCGGUACUGGCCAGUAACUCAAACACUACAUCAACGUAGGACUGUGGGGUUUUCUCACUAUCUACAAGAUCGUUUUUAUCACCUUUCUUGGAGACCAACAGGGUUGUCUCACUAUCUUGAACCUUAUCCGCAUUACUUUCUCUACCAUUGCAUAGUGGGGUACUCUUCUCCAAUAUUCUGUUUGCAUACUACAAGAGAAACAAGCAGACACAUCACAGGUUUAUCUUGUAGUAUACCAAACUCAUUUUGGUAAACCGGUUCAGUAGUAAGGUGGACAGGAUAAAAGCAUGAAACAAACAUAUAUCUAUGUACUAUGGUCACUGUAUUGUCCAUAUCAUUCUAGUUUAUGUUCCCUAAUCAAGAUAGAGACACGGUUCAACUCAUAUAUUUUUAAGACACAGCAGCAUAGACAGAAUAUAAGUGUGAGAAACUACACAACAUUGGCAGCACUUGUAAUGUGCAUCACAUGAGAACAUAAUCGUUUAUACAACUUAAACUGAAAUCAACAUAGAGCAAGAAGUUAGAACAGCAAUCCAGUUAAGGAAAUAGGUUUAAAACAUACCUGUUGCGCCAUUGGAGUUUCAAUUGGAUCCUUCAAAUUCGAAAGUAGUUGGUAUGAGUAAAUACAGUGAUGCAACAGCAAAGGAGUAUGGACCAUAGCUACGGAAUCUGACCUGAGAACAGUUGCUCUUCUGCUUUAAACGUGGAGUUUGGGUUAGCUGUGGUGGUCUUCGUGCUUUGGGCACUGCAGUAGCUUUAGAAACUGCUCGUGUGGGGGUACUCUGUGGUGGACAUGGUGCUUUGUCAACUAUAAGUGGGUUACUAUCCGCUGGGGUUGCAGUCAGAUGGGUUAUAGCUGGUUCUCCGCCCAACAGUGUAAGUGUCCACUUUGGAAGAGUCUCGAUUAUGUGUGGUGGUUUUUGCUCCCUUAGAUACUGCCAUCACCCUCUCCAAUUCAAAUGGCUGAUAAAAAAGAAAAGAAAUUGAACGUACAGACAUUGUAUGAUAGACAGAUGUGGUAAUUCACAUAUAUGUUGUCUAACCAAACAGGACAGCAUGUCACAAUUUCACAUAUAUGAUGCCUAACUAAACAGGAUAGCAUGACAUAGUUUCAGAUAUAUGAUGGAUAACUUAAUAGGAUAUAAUGGCAUAAUUCCACAUAUGAUGAGUACCUAAAUAGGAUGACAUGACAAAACUAUAUGAUGUCUUUCUAAAAUAUGUUGGGAUGAAAUAAUUCACAUACAUGUUGUCUAAGUAUACAGGAUGGCAUGAUAUAAUUGACAUAAUUGAUUGAUAUACUAAGCAGCUGGCACUCACAUGUAUGAUCUCUAAACUAAGCAGAUAGAAUUCAAUAUUGUGCAUAUGAUGUCUAAACUAAGCAAUGCAAGACACCAUAUGCAUCAUAUGAGAAAUAUAAACAUUGCAACUUAGAGCAUACACCUCAGGUGGGAUAUAGGACUGGUCAUCUGUCUCGGAAUCCUCCUCUGAGGAGCUCCCUGUAACCAUUGAGAUAUAUGCUUCAACAGGUACCAUUGCCUGCUCUGAAGACCUUGUUUUCACUCCAGAUUUUUCCAUAAUCGGAUCAAAUGGCUGAUACACAUGAAGAGUAGUUCAAUAUACAUAGAUUGUCGACAAAUGGAAUACGUAAUGAAAAAAAGAUGGCAUGAGAUAAUUCACAUAUAUGAUGCAUGGCUCCAUGGCGGUGCAUAAUUCACAUAUAUGAUAACUGGCUGAAAAACAUGGCAUUGCAUAAUUCACAUAUCUGAUAUAGAAAGCAAAUAGGAGGCAUUCACACAAAGCAUCUCUAAUCUAAGCAGAUGGCAUGGCAAUGCAAGACACCAUAUGCAUGAUAUUAGCAAUAUAACCCAGCCAAGUUAGAGCAUGCACCUCGGGGGGAUACGACUGGUCAUCUCUCUCUGAAUACUCCUCUGAGGAGAUAUUUGGAACCAGCAAGAAAUCUGCAUCGACGGGUAGCACUGACUGCUCAGAAGACCUUCUUUUCACUCCAGAUUUUCCCAUGACCGACUCAAAUGGCUGAUGCACAGGAAGAGUAGAUGAAUGUAUAAACAUUGUUGACAAAUGGAAUACAUUAUGGAAAAAAAAUAUGGCACGAUACAAUUCACAUAUAUGAUGACUGGCUAAACAGGAUGGCAUUGCAUGAUUCACGUAUAUGAUGCCUGGCUAAAGAAGAUGGCAUUGCAUAAUUCCCAUAUACUCCCUCCAUUCCUAAAUAUUUGUCUUUUUAGAGAUUUCAAAUGGACUACCACAUACGGAUGUAUAUAAACAUAUUUUAGAGUGUAGAUUCACUCAUUUUGUUCCGUAUCUAGUCACUUGUUAAAAUCUCUAAAAAGACAAAUAUUUAGGAAUGGUGGGAGUAUGAUAUAGAAACCAAACAGGUGGCAUUCACAUAAAGCAAAUCUAAACUAAUCUGAUGACAUAUAAGAUGUAUAAUGUAAGCAAUGCACGGCGCCAUAUGCAUGAUAUGACCAACAUCAGCAUGCCAGGUUAGAGCAAACACCUCAGGUGGUAAACAGGCCUGGUCAGCUCCUUCUGAAUCUCCAUCUGAACAGUUAUCUUCCUCUAGAAUACAAUCUGGAAAUGCAGGAGAGGGGGGGCACUUCGCCCACCAUGGAGCAGCAUCUGCAUGACAUUAUAUUCGCACGCAAUGGUCUUCUCUUUUUAUCUACAUGUUCAGUACGAUUGUGUACAAUAUCUGACAUGCAUAAUAAAAAAUAGUAAGAUUUUGUAAGGCCUAAGGGGUGCAUGCAAAAAUCAAGACUGAUGGUAGCAAACGAGUGGAUGGAUCCGAAAUUAAUGAUAGCAGGUAGAUUAUAGCUUCAGUUUAAAAAUAUAGACAAUGGAUCAUCUGUUGUUUGUUGCCCACCCAACAUGAACCACAUAGAAGACCCCAGAUGAACCAGAUAGUAGACAGAUACUAUUCAUUGCUGGCUCGAUAUGAGACCCAUGGGCAAUUCUAAACUCAAGAUUGAACGAUAAAAUAGCAGGUAAUAAUAACCGAUGUAUAACGUAAGCAAACACGAAAGACUGCGACCUCUCUUCCGGAACUGUGUAGUCCUCAGGUUCAUCUGAUCAGUCGAUGAUGGUAAUGCAGUUGGCGUGGCUGCCGGCAACGGGGAAGAUGAUCUGAAGCGGCCAAAGAAAGUCUGUAGGCGGAAUCUCUGCUGCAGUGAACGCUUCUGUCGAUGGUGCACCUCAGGUGGGGUGGAUGACGGCACGGCAGGAGCAGGACAUAACACACAGAUUUUUCUUUGACUCCAAUCUGAAAAUGAAGUAAAUCUAUAUGGGCUCCUUAGAACUGGAGGAUUCUAUAAACACAGGGACAGGAAAAACACAGGAAUAGGAUAGGAAUGCACGUGCAAAACAGAGCAUUUGGAAACAUAGGAUUUCAGUCAACCUGGGUGUUUGGCUCACAUGAAUUGGAAGAAAAGAGGAAUGGAGAAACAAAGUGAUGCGACGAGUGUACAACCUCUUUGGCAUAGCCUUGUGGAGCUCAGCAUCAUUGGGUUGGACGUGGAGGAUGGUGAUGAUACAGGUGUGACUGUCGGAGGCGGGGAAGAAGAUCCGAGGCCUCUGGAAACGGCGCCGAGGGUACUGCUCCGUUGUGAUGGACGGUUCCGUCGUUGGAGCAGCUCCGCUAAGGUGUACGGCGACGAGGCUGAAGCAUGACAAGACAAACAACGUUAAUUUGAAGUGGGACCCUAAUAUCAUCUGCAAUAGAUGAUGUAAAAUACAUCACCAAAAAGUGCUAGAUGUAAAACGCAUCAGCCGCGCCACGGCCACUCUGAUAGAUGCUGUAAGUACUGUUCACUCUGAACUUAACUGAAGAAAAUGAACUUCACAGUCGAAACUGAAUUUUACUGUCGAAACUAAUUGAACUAGUAAUAGAGCAUUGCAAUAGAUGUUUAGGGCAUUCGAGCACUAGUAGCAGAGAAGCAGUGAUCUAAAUCAGCAGACGCUCGAGCUGGGAACACACUAGCAGAGAGCAAGUUGUGCGGUAGCACUGCGAGCGAGUGCUAAAGCAGCAAAUCCUGUAGCUGCCGUAGGUCAUGCAGCAGCAGCAGCAGCAGCGCAAGCGAGAGCAAGAGCAGAGCAACAACACGAAUGAAAGCAGGAGCAGUGUAGCAGCGCGACCGACUGCAAGAACGGAGCCGCAGCGCGAGCGAGAGCCGGAGCAACUGCAGCUAGUGCCGUUGUGGAAGUCGCCGAUGAGGAAGCAACGGCAUGGGGGAGAGACACCGUGGAUGAUGUGGUCAGCGACGGCGCCGUCGAUGGUGACGCCAUGUCUGCUUGGUAUCGAGCACCAGCAGCCCCGUGAGAUCGAAUAAAAGAUAAAAUGCAGCGGUGAGUGCAGAACCUCCUUGGUGGCGCCGAGUUGGCCUCGGCUUCAUCGGAGGAAUUGGUGAGGUUGCUGCGGUUCCGGUGGGGCAGGUCAAGACGGCGCUGUGGGCAUUGAGGUGGCGUGAUAGACGAGGCGAACGUCGGGGCAGCUCCUCAACUCCUCAUCCACAAAAAACAAAUCAAUUCCCACCAAAGAAAGAGUAAUGUCCCUUUUUAUAUGAUUACAGAUGCCAUGAUCUCGAAUUUCAAUUUUUGAAUCCACAUUAUGUUGAAUUUGAAUAUAUCAUUAGGUGACCUUGCAGUUUAUAAUCGAUGUAGUCGUACAUUUUAUCUUCCAUCAUAUAUGAACAUUUUACUCCACCAUGUGAAUAUAUAUAUUGUCGUCUACCAUAUGGACUAAAUUUGAAGCAAUUUUCCUUAUUUGAAUACGAUUGUUGUCAAGUUAUACAAUAAUUUAAAUAUUGUCUUGAUAACAAAAAGACAUGCAUAUAGCAGUAAUCAUAUUUCACUAUGAACUACAUGUACCAUACGCUCUCCAAUUCAAAUAUUUGUAUCCAUUUUAUGUUGAAUUCAAAUCAUAGUACAUUAUUAGUCUAGGUAGCGAGAUGUUCGGGAUAAUCUAAACCCUGUUUUCAUACGUAUAAUUUUUGGCUGAAUUGGGACAAGUUUUGGUAUAUGCCUCUUGCAAAACCGGAGAUUCUCUCAACAAGCCUCGUGGUUCCGAGAGGGAAUGUGUCACCUUUGUGUGCGAAACGGUAUACGCUGCCUCCCACCUGAUUUUAUUUACAGAGGCAACAUAGAACUAUAUGAGUGCCCUGUUAAAUUUUGGAAUUAUUUCGGGUUCAUUUGGCCUUUUUAUACAUUAAUUGAGUUUCUGGACUUUUAAUGUGCAUAAUCUAAAUAUGAAUUGCAUGCACAUGCUCCGGUGCACCAAAGUGGGUUGAAAAAUCACAUGUGUGUCCUUGGUUGAAUUUCUAGGUCCCAUGGAAGAAAUGAGACUGAAAUUCAAACAUCUGGGCGUCAUGACUCUACCGAGAACAUUGAGAAACUUAGAUUUUAAAUUCAUGUAAAUCCAACACUCGGCUGGAAAUCAUGAAACUUGGCAUGGUGUCAUGUCAUGGCACUAACAUGUUGUGGUAAAAAAUUGGGCCGAUUUGGAAGCUCGUGGUUCUAAGAGGGAACGUGCCACCUUUGAGUGUGAAACGAUAUACGCUGCCCCCCCCGCCCUUGAGUUUCUUAACAAAGGUAACAUAGAACUACAUUAGUGCCCUGUUAAAUUUUGGAAUUAUUCCGGGUUCGUUUGUCGUUUUUUGUACAUUAAUUGAGUUUCUGGUCAUUUAGUGUGCAUAAGUCAAAUUUGAAUUACAAGCACAUGCUAUCGUGCACCAAAGUUGGUUGAAAAAUCACAUUUGUGUCCUCGGGUGAAUUUCUAGGUCCCAUGCAAGAAAUGAGAAUAAAAUUAAAACAUCUGGGCAUCGUGGCUCGGCCGAGAACAUUGAGAAACUUGGUUUUAAAAUUCUUGUAAAUCCAAAACACAUCUGAAAAUCAUGAAACUUGGCAUGGAUGUCAUGUCAUGGUACUACCAUGUUGUGGUAAAAAAAUGGCCGAAUAGGAACAGAUUUUGGUAUAAGCUUCUUGCAAACUGAAGCUUCUCUCAAGAAGACUCGUGGUUCUGAGAGGGAACGUGCUACCUUUGAGUGCGAAACGAUAUAUGUUGUCCCCCUUGAGUUUAUUUACAAAGGCAACAUAGAACUACAUGAGUGCCAUGUUAAAUUUUGGAAUUAUUCCGGCUUCGUUUGGCCUUAUUUACACAUUAAUUGAGUUUUUGGUCAUUUAAUGUUCAUAAUUCAAAUUUGAACUACAAGCACGUGCUCCAGUGCACCAAAGUUGGUUGAAAAAUCACAUUUGUGUCCUCGGGUGAAUUUCUACUCCCUCCUUCCAUCUGUAUAGAUCCUAAUGCAUUUUUCGAGGCUAACUUUGACCAAAUGUUAGAGCAAUAAUAUAUGACAUGCAACUUACACAAAGCAUACCUUCAAAUUUGUAUGUCAAAGGAGCUUUCAAUAAUAUAAUUUUCAUAGUAUACAUCUCAUGUGCUAUUAAUCUUGUCAAUAGUCAAAGGUUGUCUUGAAAAACACAUUAGGCCCUAUAUAGAUGGAAGGAGGGAGUAGGUCCCAUGCAAAAAAUGAGAAUAAGAUUCAAACAUCUGGGCAUCGUGGCUCGGUCGAGAACAUUGAGAAACUUGGUUUUAAAAUCAUGAAACUUGGCAUGGUGUCAUGUCAUGGUAGUACCAUGUCGUGGUAAAAAAAUUGGCCGAAUAGGAACAAAUUUUGGUAUAAGCUUCUUGCAAAUCAGAGCUUCUCUCAAGAAGGCUCGUGGUUUUGGGAGGGAACGUGUCACCUUUGUGUGCAUAAUUCAAAUUUGAAAUACAAGCACAUGUUCCAGUGCACCAAAGUUGGUUGAAAAGUCACAUGUGUGUCCUCGGAUAAAUUUCUAGGUUCCAUGCAAGAAAUGGGAAUGAAAUUCAAAAUUCUGGGUGUCGUGACUGGGUUGGAAACAUUGAGAAACUUAGUUUUUUAAUUCCUGUAAAUCCAAAACACACAUGAAAAUAAUGAAACUCGGCUUGGUGCCAUGACAUGGCACCAACAUGCUAUCGUAAAUUUGCAGUCCGAUUUGCGUAGGCGCAAACAUUAACAAUUAGCAAAGUCAUUUUGGAACAAGUGUUGUCACGUUACAAUCGGAAACACAAGUAUUAUUGAAACCGUGGGCAUUCUACUUACUAGUACCAUUUACGUGGCUCCAUGCAUCCCCAUUUUUUAUUAGCUAGGAGGCACCAUGCAGGGUAGCUAUUUGAGUACGAGAGGCGUGCGAUCAGACCCCUGCGCGUGCUUAUCGAGAGGAGAGCCUUUUGACCUCCAUCUGCCGUCCACCUCUCUCCCGAGGUCUCCAUUAAUGGCGCCUGAGCCUCUUUCUAAUGGCGUGGCUAUGUCUCACUCGACUGAGAUUUAAGAGAGAAAAAAGAAAAUCUGAAAGCACGGAUCUUGAUGUAAGAUCUGACGGACCUAUAUAGCAUCUACUGCGACUUAUAGCAAGACUGAUGAAUAUAUAAGGACGAUUAUUUUUUUUAUCAAAGAAGGGCUUGCCCCUUCUGAUUUUCAUUACUGAAAACCACCACAAUUCACAAGAAGUUCAGCACAACUCUAGCCUAACACGAAGGACUAAAAGCUACCAGCUUGAAAUUGCAAGAUCCCAAGAGGCCAACAAAGGCCAAACAUCUGUGCUAGAACCCAACAUUUCAUAACCGACGACACAGUCCACAUCCUAAACCGAUUAUUACAUCAAAAGAAACCAGGAAACUGAAGGAAGCCCAGCAGCAACUAGAAGAACAGCAACGCCAGGGUCGCCACAGCAAGAGUUUUCUUCAUUCCAACCUCGCAACAUUGAUCAUCUACAGAAAGAUAACGAUGAUUAAUUGUCUUACAUAAUUAGAAAGAUAAUUAAAAAAGCAACAUGCGGCCACGCCCGAAAUACACAAGGGAAAAACAAGAAGGAAGACAAGGAUCUGGCUCGCUGAUCUCUACUUUCUUGAUGCGUUGCUGCAGGCCGUGGGAACUAGUCUCCGCGGCGAGCGGCGAUGAGCUCUUUCGUGUCCUCAAGACGCUGCUUGAGAACAUCCACGGAUUCCUCCACCAGCCUUUGGCGCUCAUUGCAGAGCAUGUCAUUCUCGUCCAUAAGUUUCUUGACGAUGACGCCGGUCCUCUUCAACAAGGCAAUGGUCUCCUUCUGCUGGUCUGCACUUCGGAUGAUCCCGGAGCCUCUCAUUGCCCUCCCUUAGUUGUUGGAUGACGCUGGUAGACUGUUCAAAUGAGGCUUUCACGUCGUCCUACAACCUUGCCAAGCCGGAGAUCUAAUCCAUCUGGCUAUGGACGAUCGCAUGCAUGCGCCUGUAACAGUCGUCACCUGCCCGCGAGAAAUUUCUCAGGCCGCCGCGGUGUGGCGGGACAUCUCUGCUGCAUUCGUGGUGCGACAGGACAUUUCUGCUGCUUCCGCGGCACGGCCGGACCAGUCUGCUGCAUCGACGGCGCGCGGGACCUCCGUGCUACUUCAGCUGCGCGGCGGGACCUCUGUGCUGCUACUUCCGCGCGGCGGGACAUGUCGGUUGCUCUCGCAGCGAGGCGGGACAUCUCUCGUGCUUCCGCUUCCAUGCUCGCCUCUCGCUGGUGGCAAUCUCUCGACCCAGAACUCACGCUGGCCAUGGCAGACGCAAGGGAAGGAUGCUGAAUGACUUGUUUGUUUUUGUGGAUGAGGAGUUGAGGAGGAUUGUGCAGUCAUCUUGGCAUACUAGUAUUUAUAACCGAGUACUAAUACGCUCCUAAGUGGGAAACCGUUUUGGUUGUGAUCGGUGUGAACAGGUUUGGAAUUCAAUAUAGCGUGGUUCUAAUACGCUCCUAAGUGGGAAACCGUUUAGGUUGUGAUCGGUGUGAAUAGGUUUGCAAUUCAAUAUAGCAUGGAGUAAUUUGGAAUGUGACGAGGCGCAAGCUCAAAAUUUAUUGACGGUUCUAGUUUCGAAGUGCGGCACUAUUCCCGGAUGGAGUACUUCUUUUUCUACUCCCUCCUUUCCGGUUUUAUAGGGCAUAUCUCAAAAUUUUUGUUUUUCCAUUUUAUAAGGCUCAAUUUGGUUGUUCCCCAACACAUGUUCAGAUUCCAAGCUGCAUUAAAUCAUUGCAUGCAAGUAUUAAGAGAAAAUUGACCAAUGCAUGUACUUUAUGCAUGCAUGCAUUGCAAUUAAUGCAUUGAUAAACAUAAUUUUUUGAGAAAAACAAGAACAUUAAUUAGGUGCUUUUGCAAACUACAAAAAAUAUUCCACCACUCACCAUAAACCGGAAAGGAGGGAGUACUGCUGUGUACAUGCAAUAACUGGCACCGUCGUAUACAUAUCUUACGGUUAAUGGGGCGUUCGACAGGAAUAGCCGUGUGGCGAGCUCUAGGCUAGUCCUUUUUUCAGACGCAUUAAACCAAUCUCUCGGGACUUCUCGCACGCACCAUCGUGCCACCCACAAAAACUUGUACUCUGAGUUUAGUAGUAUGUUAUACAGGAAGAGAAGAGGUGCACGCACGCACGCACUCAUCCUCUCACCCAUGUGUCUGUUUUUUCUCGAAAAGGAGGAUGAUGACCCCCGGCCUCUGCAUCUGGGAGUCACACACGCAUCUGUAGCUACGAAUUGUAGUGUUCUCAACCAUCCGAUUGGCUCUAUCAUGGAUGUACCUAUAUACUAAAACAUGUCUAGAUACAUCUAUAUUUUGACAAAUGGAGGGCAUGUAUUGUGGAACGGAGGGAGUGCUUGUCAUCAAAAUGGAUAAAAAUGGGCGUAUCUAGAACUAAAAUACGUCUACAUACAUCUCCUUUUAUACAUUUUGGUGACAAGUAGUACUUCUUACCCAAAGGAACUUUAUAUCCAAUAGACACAAAAUAUUCGUUCGACUAUUGGAAAUUACUGAUCUGAUGUCGAAGUAAUUGCUGCAUCGCCACCAAAACCCACCAUUUCUUAAGCUAAAGUUGACCAAGGUAAUCCCUAUAUUAGCAUAUUACUAAGAUAAACAGAAGGCACUGUCGAAACAUUUAGGACGUGAGCUUGUCAAUCUGAAUGUGGAGGGACACAAUCUUAGCCCCGGCCAGUAGCUUGGGCGGAACUGUCAAGAAGGUCAGCUCCUGCACGUCGACGUCGCCGGGAUCCUUGCUGCUUGUCACCUCCAUUUCCACCUUGACAGCGUCGGUCGUGCCUUUGGGCUCCCCCGGCGGGCCGUUCUCCCACAGCUUGGCAAAGUAGUGCAGCAGUGGGGACGCCCCCGCUCUGAUGUAGACGACCGAAAUGGCGAUAGGCGCGCUGAUGUCGAGCAUGCCGUCGACCAAGAAAAACGGACGACGGUUGUCGGUGUCAAAACCGGCGGAUCUUGGGUAGGGGGUCCCGAACUGUGCGUCUAGGCAGAUGGUAACAGGAGACAAGGGACACGAUGUUUUUACCCAGGUUCGGGCCCUCUCGAUGGAGGCAAAACCCUACUCCUGCUUGAUUGAUAUUGAUGAUAUGGGUAGUACAAGAGUGGAUCUACCACGAGAUCAAGGAGGCUAAACCCUAGAAGCUAGCCUGUGGUAUGAUUGUUGUAAUGGUUGUCUGUCCUACGGACUAAAACCCUCCGGUUUAUAUAAACACCGGAGAGGGCUAGGGUUACACAGAGUCGGUUACAAUGGUAGGAGAUUUACAUAUCCGUAUCGCCAAGCUUGCCUUCCACUCCAAGGAAAGUCCCAUCCGGACACGAGACGAAGUCUUCAAUCUUGUAUCUUCAUAGUCUUGGAGUCCGGCCGAUGAUGAUAGUCCGGCUAUCCGGACACCCCAUAGUCCAGGACUCCCUCAAUAGCCCCCGAACCAGGCUUCAAUGACGACGAGUCCAGCGCAUAUAUAUUCUUCGGCGUUGCAAGGAGGGUUCUCCUCCAAAUUCCAUGUGUUUGCCGAAUAGUGUCCGGCCCCCUCACAAAUGUUGCGCUCCUUGGCUUCCACGCCCAAUAAUGGCCCUCUUCCACGCGUCGCACGAAUGCGAAAAGCCUGGGUAUCUUUUAUGUUUUACCCCUAGCUGCGCAAAUAAUCUGCCUAUAAGAGAGAUAAGAAUCCAGAUCCAAAUCACACCAUCUUCCCUCUGCGAGUACUCACCGGAGCGCUUCUGACCUAAAACCCAUUCCAUCAUGGACCAUCGACGCGGCUCCUCCUCUCGCGCUCCCAGCCCUCUGCCAGGAGAUUGGAGGAGAUGCUCGGUUCCGCACAACGAGCUGGUGAAGCUUCAAGUGGAGGGAUAUCUUCCUCCGACCUUUAUGGUCCCGGUUCGAGCCGGCUGGCCACCUACAAAGGUGGGAAGCAAGCGGAGGCCACCCCUAGCCCCUCCAAAGGAGAGCGGGUGUGCUUCGUCCCCUAUCUGAUAAGCGGGUUCGGAUUUCCUGUACAUCCGUUCCUCCGCGGGCUCCUGGAGUUCUACGGACUCCAGCUCCAUCACCUCACGCCCGCCUCUAUUCUGCAUAUCGCGGGUUUUAUAGCUCUUUGCGAGCUAUUCCUGGGCAUCGAGCCCCAUUUUGCACUGUGGAAGAGGCUAUUCUGCCUAGUACCCCGUUCUCACGAGGGGUCAAUAUAUCAAGUGGGCGGUGCCGAAAUAUGGCGCAUCGCCGGCACCGGAUACCCAUCCGGAACCCCGAAGAAGGCGUCCGAAGACUGGCCUUCGGAAUGGUUCUAUGUAGAGGACGCUCCACUGCCGGACCCAAUUCGGAUUGGCCUCCCGGAGUUUAGUGGGGCUCCUCUGAAGAAACGCCUAAGCUGGCGCCCGUGGAGCCCUCAACUGGAGGAAGACAAGGGCGUCCAUUAUCUGAUGGCCGGAUAAGAUUGCUAGCCCAUUCUGGAUUGACCAUGAUUGGAGUCAUGGCCACGUGCAUAAUGCCGGGGGUGCAGCCACUGCAAUACAGGGGCCACCCCAUGUGGGAUUUCAAUGGGGAAAAUGAUGCCACCCGUCAUGGCCGCAAAGGGCCGGAGUCGGCCGAAGAUCUGAUGAAGAUUCUGUCCGGCCUGUAUAAGGGGGAGAAGGAAGACUUCCUCCAGACGAGCCCAUUGAAUGGGUUCUCAAUGAAUAACCCUCGGAGCUGGGUAAGCGGACGUUCAUUUAUUCGACCCGUGCUUUCAAAGUUAAGUACCUUACUUUAUGGAUUUGACGCAGGAACUGCGCCGGACUGUGGAGAGCAUACAUAAUCCGGCCCCACAACCCGAGGAUCCGGGAAGAUCCCUUGAUCCGGCCUCCGAAGAGGAUCCGGACAUAAAGGUGGAGCUAAUUGACGGGGUGUUCCACCAACUCAGCAUGGACAAUGCUUUAUUCGCCAUCACGGCUGACUACCCCGGCCUAACCCCGGCUUCCCAGGAGAAUAUGACCGAAGUCCUGACACCAUCAUUUCGUCCUUGCGCAUUUCUGACCACCGUAUAUAAUGGUGUCUCACAGGAGGUGCCUUCAAGGCAGGAAGCCGAGCCCACGGCGGCUAACCAACAAGGGUCAGUCCGACCCCGCAGGGGGAAGAGGAGUGCAGCGCGGGUCGAAACGCCACCGCAACGGUAUAGCCUGCGUCUUGUUAUUUAGGAAAAGGAUUUCCAGGCGGCGUAUUAACGCUCAUGACCUUUCCAGGAGAAAGAGCACUCGUCGGGCGGUGUCCGGAGAGGUUGCCAACCAAGCCUCCGCCCGCCAGGCUCCAACACCUGGUCCGGAGGGGGAGGCGAGCGCAAGGCGCGAGCCGGAUUCUCCUCCAGUGGAGGAUGCCGACCGGCUGUCCGCCACCAGGUCUGAGGUGGAGAGCGCCAUGAAUCAUAGGCGUCGCCGGACAGUUCUACGUGACGCGUGUUUCUCCCCAGAGGCGUUGAAUGCCUUUAACGCGGGAGACGCGCACCUCCGUGCUGCUCGAGAUGGUUUAACCAGAGCCACGGAGCAAUAUGUAAAAGACAUACGGGUAAGAGAUUUUAAUGGUUAUAUAUGCCAGUAGCCCCCGAGACUUAAAGUAGUUAAAGUAACUGAUUUAAGGAUCAUAUAAUUUGUAGGAUCUUACAGAGAAGAAUGCCCAAUUGUCCCAGGAGUUGCAAGAGUGCAAGGCCCAACUUGAGGCCGCACUCGCUGCCGCAGGAGGAGACACAGAGACCCCUUGUCAGGACCCCGACUCAAUGCCACAUCGAUCUAGCAUGUAACACCUCAUAUCACUUUGCGGCCUCACGCACGGUAUUCCCACGGGUGUCGCCUUACCUUUGCCCGGGACCGUUUGCGCCUUUUGGCACACGUAUAUGAUAGUGUCGCUAGCAUCCAUAUGAAAAGGAGCCCGGGCUGACAUGGCUAGUCGUAAACCCAAAGUGGCACAGACUUACAGGGACAGGCAUCCAUGACCCAGCAUCGAACGUGUCGGUCAUCAGCGAAUAAGUUCCGGGCUGUAGCACUGGGCUAGCAGGACUCUGGUAAACCGGGCUGUAGCGGGCUAACAGGACUCCGGUACUCAACGCGUGACAUUUCCCCGAAGGGACAGACACAGGAACGAAGAAGGACACAUGCCGGCCAGCCUAAGUGUUCCGGAGCAGUAGCAAGCUACCAUGGCUCAGUGGAAACACUAGGAGACAUUUCCCGGUAAGGGAGGCUACUAAAGAUAAACAACUAGAUAGUCAGAUCCCACACAUACCAAGCAUUUCAAUAACAUACACACAAUAUGCUCGAUAUGUGCAAAUACAACAUGGCAUCACAACAUGACUCUACGACUCAAGUAUUUAUUCAUUAGGCUCCGAGGAGCGAGAUAUUACAAACAGGGGUCUCAUGACCCAACAUUCAGAGCAUACAAGUCAAAGCACAAACGGAAGCUAAUAUGUCUGAGUACAGACAUCUACAAAUGAAAAAGGCUUGAAAGCCUGACUAUCUACCAGAUCCUGCCGAGGGCACAAGAUCGUAGCUGAGGUAACAAGCUAAACGUCGAAGUCCACGCGGAAUUACUAGUGAGACUGAAGUCUCUCUGCAAAAACAUAAAAUAGGCAAACGUGAGUACAAAUGUACCCAGCAAGACUUACAUCAGAACUAACUACAUAUGCAUCAUUAUCAACAAAGGGGGUGGUGGGGUUUAACUGCAGCAAGCCAGCUUUGACUCGGUGGCUAUCCUAAACUACGACUGCAAGUAACUCUUUUGAGGUGGCGCACACGAGUCCACAUAUUCACCAUAUCAAUACACCACUAUGGAUCCGCACCCGUCUCCCUACGAGUACGCCAUCCAUAGCACUCACGCUUAUCUUGCGUAUUUUAGAGUAUCCACUUUCACUUGUCUAUGAACUGUACAGGCAACCCAGAAGUCCUUUACCGCGGACACGGCUAUUCGAAUAGAUGAUGUUAGCCCUGUAGGGGUGUACUCCUUCACACACGCUCUCACCACUUACCGCCGUUUACACGACAUGUACUCGGCAAACUUCAAGCGUAAGCCCAACGAGGGUGUCGGCCACGGCCUACCUAAACACUCAAGUCUCUAGUCCAGGUUUAUCGCCUAUUCGGGUUCCAUCCAUGAGGAGAUCCGGCCGAAGUUUCGCUCACAGCCCCAAACGAUGUGUACAGGGUUCCGUGACACCAAACGGGCGCCCGGUUUACCCGGCCACGUGCCUACCGCAUCACAGCCCACCCCUACGGUCAGCGCUGCGCACGGCCUCCAGCAUACUACAAACACCAGAAACUACUUGCAACUCCUGGACAGAGGACAAGGGUGAUUAAGAAGCCGAGAGGGUCCAUUGGUUUCGGGCCCAAUGCGUGGUAGUAGCUGAAUCAUGGAUCACAAACACAGAACUCAGUUCCUGAGGACGGCUGCAAUGAGACAACCCACCAUGUACUCCUACAUGGCCUCUCACCGCUACCUUUACCAAAUCGUGUUCACACACUUAGCUCACACACAGUAGGACAUGUUCACACACCUCUGAUUCACCCCCAAUGAAUCAGACCGGACUCAACUCUAAGCAAUAGCAGGCAUGACAAACAAGCAUGAAUGAGUAGGCACAACAGGGCUCAAACAACUCCUACUCAUGCUAGUGGGUUUCAUCUAUUUACUGUGGAAUGACAGGUCAUGCAAAGGAUAAAGGGGUUCAGCUACCGCAGCAAGUAACAGAUGAAUCGUUGUUGUCCUAAUGCAAUAAAAGAGAGCAGGAGCGAGAGAGUGGGAUUGUAUCGGAAUGAACAAGGGGUUUUUGCUUGCCUGGCACUUCUGAAGAUAGUAUAUCUCUUCAUCGGUGUCAUCGAACUCAUCGUCGAAACAUCGUCUACCGAGAGGGAACAGUUACCGGCAAACACAGAAGAACACAAUCAAUGCAAUGCGACAAUAUGAUGCAUGCUAUGACAUGGCAAUAUGCUGUGAUUUGGGCUAAUGCAGCUAAGAACAGAAAGGUUUGAGCUUAUUUGAACCAAAGAUUCAAAUUCAAACUCAAACUAUGAAUUCAUAAAGUGCAUUAUCAUGUUUUGAUAUGAACAGCAAGUUUAAGUUGCUUAAACAUGCAUGAAACCAGUGCAGAUGGAUAGAUUGUAUUUUUUUGAUCAUUUUUCAUAUAUAACUUGUUUCAUUUGGAGUUACAGAUUAAUUUCUAUGAAUUUUAGAAGUUAGCACUAUUUUCUGGAAUUUCCUGUAUAAGAAUAAAUCCAGAAAAUAAUUAUUGCGUCAGCAUUGCGUCACUAUGACGUCAGCAGGUAAACAGACGCUGCUGUAGGUCAAACCUGACGCUGGGACCCACUGGUCAGUGACUAGGCUAAUUAACAGGGAGUGUUAGUGCUAAUUUAAUCCUAACUAAAGUGUCAGUGGGGCAUGGGCCCACAUGUUAGUGGCUUAAUUAAUUAACUAAAUUAAUUAGUGAUAAUUAAUCUAACACCUAAAUGAAUAGUGCCUGGCCCACACGUCAGCGACCCAGGGGUCAACCUGGGCCCGCAAGUCAACGGUCAGCGGGUCAAACCCGCCGGCGUCUAGCCGCCGGCGAGUCCAGAUGCGGCGGAGCGGCACGGGAUUCGCCUACAGGGCGCCGCUUGGCGCGCGGAGCACAGCUACGGGAUGCGGAUGCUCGUCCGCAUCCAACCGUGGUGGUGGCUCGGCCGGGGAGUGGCCGGAGUGGCGCCGGUGACGAGCGAGGCGGCGGCCGUGGUUCGGGCGUGCUCGAGGACGGCGAUGUGGUGUGCAAACGUGACGGCUGUCGCGCUAGUUUUGCUCUAUGGAACGUUGCGAGUGCAUCAGACGCACGCGUGGGAACCAAAGGUCACCGGGGCUUCGCCGGCGACGAGCCCGUGCGGCAGCGCAUUCGGUCGCAGGUGGCGCGGUGGCUACGGCGUGCAAACGAGGCAAGGGAGAGGGGUGUCCGGGACAGGAGCUCACGGUGAUCACGUUGGGCGGGUCGACGAGCUCGGGGAAGCACCGGAGCGAGCGGAGCAGCGAGGGGGAUCUUCGGCAGCCGGCGAUGAAGACGUUGAAGAUGUCGAUGUUGUGGGGCGUCCGGCGGUGCGUGUGUCCUCGAGGAGGCACAGACGACGGAGGCGGAUCUCCUGGACAUGCUGGGGAGGCUAGGCGGUGGAUGUGGCCGCGGCGAACGGCGUCGGUGGCGGCGGCUCCGUUCGGUGGCUGCGCGCAGGAGAGCGAGGGAGAGGAGGGGAAUGGCACAGAAGGGUGAGAGGGUACGCGGCGGUCGAGGGGGAGUGCGUGGCGACGCGGGAGAGAUCCAGGGGACGAGGAGGCAGGCAGGCAGGGUGGAGGUGGCCGGGGCGCGUGCCGGCGUGCUGCGGCCACACGCUCUGCCUACUGGCGCGAAGAAGACGACAGGGGGGGAGCCUAGUGGGCUGGGCUGGUGGCUGGGCUGCCAGCUGGGCCGGCCAGGUGAGGCCCAGGUGGGCUUGGUAGGCGCCAGGUAAGCUGAGGUAAGCUCUCUCUCUGCUUUUAUUUAUUGUUUUCUAUUUUGUUCUGUUUUGUUUUGGUUUAGUAAAAAUACUAAACCAUUUUAUAAAAUCCUGAAAAUAAUUAUGUGGCUAGAACUAAAAUAUACCAAACCACAUAAAAUGUUCCAGAAUUAUUGGAUAUAUAUUAAUUAUAUAUAAUAUAUAUAUCCAAUGCAAAUAGUUAUUGGAUUAACUAAAAGGCCCAAAAUAAAUGUUUCAGUCACUCCAAAAAUAUUGGUUUGCACUUUACCUCAUGCCAAUAUUUCUACGGAAUAACAGGAACAUUUUCUUGGACUCACUUGAUGAGAUUUAAAUGUUGGUUAUUUUUAGGGGUUUUCUGAGGCUUUUGAAAAUUCCUCAAUUCAAAUUUCAUUUGAAUUUAAACAUGAUGCACACAUGGAAGCUAGCAUAGGUCAGGCCAGAACUAGGGACGUGACAACUCACCCCCACUAAACAAGAAUCUCGACCCGAGAUUCAAGCGUAGGGUAAGAUGAAAGGAAAACGCAAACUAAUAUAAUCUUCACGAUCCAAGUUGCACUUCAAAUGAACGUUGAUUCGAUCACCAUCAUUGUCUCGAAGUCUUGCUCUGAGAAUUCCAACUAACAUGACAAUUAGAGCAAAAGGAAACUCUAAAAGAAUCGAUCUUCUCGGAGAUCAAACAACUUAGGAUCAACUCAUGGGGUGAGUCAUAAAAAUAUCUCUCGAGCUGAGACACGAAGCACGCAUCUAGAGGAGUGGAGUGGAACAGACGACGGAAGUUCACUAGGUAGAAAACAAUUUCACACUUAAGAAGGUUGUGAAUAGUUGUCAAUGUAGCGAGGAGUUGAGUUGCCAUGAUACCAUAACGAUGCACUUUAGGGAAGGUGACUCGUAGAAAUAUCCCCUUAAGUGGCAAAAGAAUUACCUUUGAUUCAAAGAUCAUUGAAACUCUUUAUACCAGCCUAAGGCAAUUACAAUCGAUCAUUUGGCGGGGUUCAGAGAAUGACAUAUCUGGAAUCGAAUGGAUGAUGUGGAUUACCUUGUUGAAAACAACAUAAGGGUUGAUUUUAGUAACUGGGGAGAAGCUCAACAGUAGAGAGUGAGUCCACUGUUGAAAGGGUUAUAGCAUAACCGAGGAAACUGAGAGCAAUCCCAGUUAGUGCCGAUGAUAACACCUAGCGCUUGCGCGUGCUCUCAAGAACUCGAACAUCUCCAUAUUCAUCAAGGUUUUACCAAUAUCUGUGUCAAGGAUCCUGGCAACACAACAUACUAACAUGAUGGAUAUUGGUGGAGGAUGCAGAUGCAAAGGAAGAUAACACUUUCUCAGAUUUCACCUUAGCGAGGCCAAGAACAAAAUCUGGAUGAUCGACCGAGAGACAUUUAGCACUCCGCUUCUAAUGUUCUCUUUGAUGUACUAGCGUAUCCCAUUCAUGGAAAUGGUCUGGUAUCUAGAACAUCAAGUAAAGGUCGAACUUCGGAAACACAAAAAUCAUAAGGCACACAAAUAGGGAAUAAUUCCUACGAAGUCCUUAUGGAGAGGUGGCCGACUUCUUCAAUCAAGAUAUUACAAUAACAGGUCUUCCGGCUGGGUGUGUUGGCCACGACAUCCAUUUUACCGGGUUACAGAGAGACCAAUAAUAUAAUUCUUGGGAAACGUUCCAACCAUCAUAUCUGCCUGAGAUUCAGAUCUGGUUGGUGUCAGAAUAAUCUAGACUCAUCGAGUCUAGAAAGUAAAAUGAAAGUUUGCAACUCAAAUUGACGAGAAGACGUUGCGAGAUUCUCGGGAAUGGACUACGGUAGUAAGCUCCAAAACAUGAGCUAGUUCUGCUACAAACAUGUGUGAACACGCUGUCCAAGACAAGCACGACCACCUAGUAGUCUUAUAAUAAAACACUACCGAGUUCAGGUUGGGAACCAUCAUCGAGGAUAACGAAGUCCUAACAUAAGUCAUGACUAGUUGUUAUGAAGGAACUUCUUCUCCUUGAACAAAUCAAUCAGUGGCUUGGUGUGCUAGGGUUACAUAUAGAAUGGAGGUUGCAAGUCUCCGAACCACAGAAUACUUCGCACGUAUGCAUGACCGAUUUGGGGAUGAUUCCAAAGGAAGCAACAUUGACUUUCUCAAAUCCACGGCGGCAACUUGCAUCAAAUGCACAUGAACUAGAGGAAAUCACUUCUUACAUCCGAACAUAAGCUUCGCGAGCUAGCAUGAACAAAUGCUUUAAAAAGUUUCCAGUACUAGCUUGAUGUUUAAAAAAAUUAUGGAGAAGGCAAGUAUGUUGUCGAUGGGCUCAACAACAAUUCAUCCAGAUUCCCAUGGAGAUGGAAUUCCAUAACUAUGUGAACAAGGUGAUAGUAUUGGUCAGACCCAAAAGAUAUAAUGGUGUAUGCUCGAGGAAAAUCCACGAGUAAGACAACAUUACGAACAUCGUUGGUUCUGAUUCGAUUUGAGAAUAGCCCACACUCAAAUCAAAGUUUUUGGCAAGACAAUAGCUCCAACAACUAGUCACGAGGAUCAAUCGAUGAAGAUACCAUCUUUCUUCAACACACACACACAAAAACAUCCCUUUGGAAUGAGCUAAGUCGGACAAGCUUUUAUCUUCCAACUCUCCAAGUUGUUGUUUAUCUUAACCAACUAGCUCAGGGGUAUCCAGCACAGAUUCUUGGAGAAGGGAAUGGUUUAUAUGAAACCAACUUGAUCACGAACUCAACAUAGCGGUCAGGUGGCAACCUGAUAAUACUUCCGAGAAGAUAUUCGGAACAUCACGAACCACCGAUAUGUCACUAAGCUCGAGAACAAUCUUGCUUUUCAGGGCAAGAUGAUAUGAUCAAAUAAGCAAGGGACCGAAAAAUCCGAACUCAUUGAUCAAAGGGUGCACCGGGAAUAAGGACUAGGUAGCACAAUCAACCUUAGGGUGACGAUUCAAUAGUCAACACGCUAAGAAUGAAAUUAUUGUCCUUUAACUGCCAAGCAACGAGGUUGCUAGGAGUAUUGAUUUCACACAUCACAUUCCAAUUGUCGGUAUUCCGGUUACAAUAACAUGGAAAACCGAGGAGUGAACAAUGAUGGCAAGAAGUAUUACUGCGUCAAGAAUUCAUAAGAGGUAGUGCAAUUCUCAUGAUAUUCUUAAUAUCAAGAUGGUAAUACUCUAAGGUAGAACAGAGCAAAAGCUAGAUUAGCAAUUUGAUCUGCGAAUUACAAUUGCUUUGACCCAAUCCUAGAUAUGGAUGAGGUUCUGGAAUUUGUUUCUCCUAGUCAUUCUGGAAUAGAAUGGCUUGACGGACCACAAGAAUAAUAGGCACCAAUAAAUGAAUGCACACAUACUCUUGACUAUCAAUUGACAGACGAGGGUCAGGACACAACUAAAGAGAACAACUCAAAGGAACAUAUGAUUUUCUGAGUUGUGGAUGCAUAGAUUAGUAUGUCGAACCAAGUUCAACAAAUUUCUUCCGGAUAAUCCAUGCGGAAAGGUAGAACUGGCAGAGUCACAAUAUAAAAUGGAAAACUCAUCAAGAGCACACCUGUUGUGAUCUUUUGAUCCAACAAACUUCUUCCAUAAAUGGUUCAUAGUAUUUGGAAGAAGGAAAUACCACGGACUUCGAGGACUAAUGCAAAGGUUACUAAUAACCUAAAGGAACUAGCAACACUAUCAACACGAGGUAAGUAGAGUGAACCUCGGGUUCAAAACCCAGAAGUAGAUUACCUACUAACUAAAUGGCAUCACGGGAUGCUUUCGAGAAUGAUGGCCAGAAUCAUCACACUGGGAACACAAAACAUGGCUAGAUUACUAGAUGAUCCCCUAAGACACCUAGGGUCAUAAUAAUAAUUCCAACAUAUAUGUCGAGGCAAUAGAGUACCUCAACUCACCGAUUAGUGUGCUUAAUCUGGCCUAAAAGGACAUCAGGAACGGGAGGAAGGGAUUUGCAAAUGCAUCAGACUGUUUAGAUACCUGGGAUGACUCGGACAGCAUAACGGUUGUAAAUGCUCAAAAGAAUUUAGCCAUGCUACAAAAAUGGUGGCAUCGCCACUCAGAAGCACAAUAUCAAGGUUUCGAGAUCAACAGUUAUGAACAUACGAAAGUAGUAAAACUGAGCUGAGAUUUGAAACUAACAAUUCUAUAAGUCUAUGGAUUAGUAACACGUCAUCCUGAUAGAUAGAUGAGAAGGCCUAGUUCUUAAACCCCGUAGAAGAGAAAAGGUUGACUCAGAUCAGAAGGCCAUGAGGUAUAAGGAGUAAAAAGAGCCUUACGUUCCAUCCCACAAUCAAUUCCCUUACAUAACUAAAGCAUUUCUAGACACAACUUCGACCAGUUUGGCUUGGUAAUCCUACAGGCAGUCAGGCUCUGAUACCAAAACUGUCAGGACCCCGACUCAAUGCCACAUCGAUCUAGCAUGUAACACCUCAUAUCACUUUGCGGCCUCACGCACGGUAUUCCCACGGGUGUCGCCUUACCUUUGCCCGGGACCGUUUGCGCCUUUUGGCACACGUAUAUGAUAGUGUCGCUAGCAUCCAUAUGAAAAGGAGCCCGGGCUGACAUGGCUAGUCGUAAACCCAAAGUGGCACAGACUUACAGGGACAGGCAUCCAUGACCCAGCAUCGAACGUGUCGGUCAUCAGCGAAUAAGUUCCGGGCUGUAGCACUGGGCUAGCAGGACUCCGGUAAACCGGGCUGUAGCAGGCUAACAGGACUCCGGUACUCAACGCGUGACAUUUCCCCGAAGGGACAGACACAGGAAUGAAGAAGGACACAUGCCGGCCAGCCUAAGUGUUCCGGAGCAGUAGCAAGCUACCAUGGCUCAGUGGAAACACUAGGAGACAUUUCCCGGUAAGAGAGGCUACUAAAGAUAAACAACUAGAUAGUCAGAUCCCACACAUACCAAGCAUUUCAAUAACAUACACACAAUAUGCUCGAUAUGUGCAAAUACAACAUGGCAUCACAACAUGACUCUACGACUCAAGUAUUUAUUCAUUAGGCUCCGAGGAGCGAGAUAUUACAAACAGGGGUCUCAUGACCCAACAUUCAGAGCAUACAAGUCAAAGCACAAACGGAAGCUAAUAUGUCUGAGUACAGACAUCUACAAAUGAAAAAGGCUUGAAAGCCUGACUAUCUACCAGAUCCUGCCGAGGGCACAAGAUCGUAGCUGAGGUAACAAGCUAAACGUCGAAGUCCACGCGGAAUUACUAGUGAGACUGAAGUCUCUCUGCAAAAACAUAAAAUAGGCAAACGUGAGUACAAAUGUACCCAGCAAGACUUACAUCAGAACUAACUACAUAUGCAUCAUUAUCAACAAAGGGGGUGGUGGGGUUUAACUGCAGCAAGCCAGCUUUGAUUCGGUGGCUAUCCUAAACUACGACUGCAAGUAACUCUUUUGAGGUGGCGCACACGAGUCCACAUAUUCACCAUAUCAAUACACCACUAUGGAUCCGCACCCGUCUCCCUACGAGUACGCCAUCCAUAGCACUCACGCUUAUCUUGCGUAUUUUAGAGUAUCCACUUUCACUUGUCUAUGAACUGUACAGGCAACCCAGAAGUCCUUUACCGCGGACACGGCUAUUCGAAUAGAUGAUGUUAACCCUGUAGGGGUGUACUCCUUCACACACGCUCUCACCACUUACCGCCGUUUACACGACAUGUACUCGGCAACCUUCAAGCGGAAGCCCAACGAGGGUGUCGGCCACGGCCUACCUAAACACUCAAGUCUCUAGUCCAGGUUUAUCGCCUAUUCGGGUUCCAUCCAUGAGGAGAUCCGGCCGAAGUUUCGCUCACAGCCCCAAAUGAUGUGUACAGGGUUCCGUGACACCAAACGGGCGCCCGGUUUACCCGGCCACGUGCCUACCGCAUCAUAGCCCACCCCUACGGUCAGCGCUGCGCACGGCCUCCAGCAUACUACAAACACCAGAAACUACUUGCAACUCCUGGACAGAGGACAAGGGUGAUUAAGAAGCCGAGAGGGUCCAUUGGUUUCGGGCCCAAUGCGUGGUAGUAGCUGAAUCAUGGAUCACAAACACAGAACUCAGUUCCUGAGGACGGCUGCAAUGAGACAACCCACCAUGUACUCCUACAUGGCCUCUCACCGCUACCUUUACCAAAUCGUGUUCACACACUUAGCUCACACACAGUAGGACAUGUUCACACACCUCUGAUUCACCCCCAAUGAAUCAGACCGGACUCAACUCUAAGCAAUAGCAGGCAUGACAAACAAGCAUGAAUGAGUAGGCACAACAGGGCUCAAACAACUCCUACUCAUGCUAGUGGGUUUCAUCUAUUUACUGUGGAAUGACAGGUCAUGCAAAGGAUAAAGGGGUUCAGCUACCGCAGCAAGUAACAGAUGAAUCGUUGUUGUCCUAAUGCAAUAAAAGAGAGCAGGAGCGAGAGAGUGGGAUUGUAUCGGAAUGAACAAGGGGGUUUUGCUUGCCUGGCACUUCUGAAGAUAGUAUAUCUCUUCAUCGGUGUCAUCGAACUCAUCGUCGAAACAUCGUCUACCGAGAGGGAACAGUUACCGGCAAACACAGAAGAACACAAUCAAUGCAAUGCGACAAUAUGAUGCAUGCUAUGACAUGGCAAUAUGCUGUGAUUUGGGCUAAUGCAGCUAAGAACAGAAAGGUUUGAGCUUAUUUGAACCAAAGAUUCAAAUUCAAACUCAAACUAUGAAUUCAUAAAGUGCAUUAUCAUGUUUUGAUAUGAACAGCAAGGUUAAGUUGCUUAAACAUGCAUGAAACCAGUGCAGAUGGAUAGAUUGUAUUUUUCUGAUCAUUUUUCAUAUAUAACUUGUUUCAUUUGGAGUUACAGAUUAAUUUCUAUGAAUUUUAGAAGUUAGCACUAUUUUCUGGAAUUUCCUGUAUAAGAAUAAAUCCAGAAAAUACUUAUUGCGUCAGCAUUGCGUCACUAUGACGUCAGCAGGUCAACAGACGCUGCUGCAGGUCAAACCUGACGCUGGGACCCACUGGUCAGUGACUAGGCUAAUUAACAGGGAGUGUUAGUGCUAAUUUAAUCCUAACUAAAGUGUCAGUGGGGCAUGGGCCCACAUGUCAGUGGCUUAAUUAAUUAACUAAAUUAAUUAGUGAUAACUAAUCUAACACCUAAAUGAAUAGUGCCUGGCCCACACGUCAGCGACCCAGGGGUCAACCUGGGCCCGCAAGUCAACGGUCAGCGGGUCAAACCCGCCGGUGUCUAGCCGCCGGCGAGUCCAGACGCGGCGGAGCGGCAUGGGAUUUGCCUACAGGGCGCCGCUUGGCGCGCGGAGCACAGCUACGGGAUGCGGACGCUCGUCCGCAUCCAACCGUGGUGGUGGCUCGGCCGGGGAGUGGCCGGAGUGGCGCCGGCGACGAGCGAGGCGGCGGCCGUGGUUCGGGCGUGCUCGAGGACGGCGAUGUGGUGUGCAAACGAGACGGCUGUCGCGCUAGUUUUGCUCUAUGGAACGUUGCGAGUGCAACAGACGCACGCGUGGGACCAAAAGGUCACCGGGGCUUCGCCGGCGACGAGCCCGUGCAGCGGCGCAUUCGGUCGCAGGUGGCGCGGUGGCUACGACGUGCAAACGAGGCAAGGGAGAGGGGUGUCCGGGAUAGGAGCUCACGGUGAUCACGUUGGGCGGGUCAACGAGCUCGGGGAAGCACCGGAGCGAGCGGAGCAGCGAGGGGGAUCUUCGGCAGCCGGCGAUGAAGACGUUGAAGAUGUCGAUGUUGUGGGGCGUCCGGCGGUGCGUGUGUCCUCAAGGAGGCACAGACGACGGAGGCGGAUCUCCUGGACAUGCUGGGGAGGCUAGGCGGUGGAUGUGGCCGCGGCGAAUGGCGUCGGUGGCGGCGGCUCCGUUCGGUGGCUGCGCGCAGGAGAGCGAGGGAGAGGAGGGGAAUGGCACGGAAGGGUGAGAGGGUAUGAGGCGGUCGAGGGGGAGUGCGUGGCGACGCGGGAGAGAUCCAGGCGACGAGGAGGCAGGCAGGCAGGGUGGAGGUGGCCGGGGCGCGUGCCGGCGUGCUGCGGCCACACGCUCUGCCUACUGGCGCGAAGAAGACGACAGGGGGGGAGCCUAGUGGGCUGGGCUGGUGGCUGGGCUGCCAGCUGGGCCGGCCAGGUGAGGCCCAGGUGGGCUUGGUAGGCGCCAGGUAAGCUGAGGUAAGUUCUCUCUCUCUGCUUUUAUUUAUUGUUUUCUAUUUUGUUCUGUUUUGUUUUGGUUUAGUAAAAAUACUAAACCAUUUUAUAAAAUCCUGAAAAUAAUUAUGUGGCUAGAACUAAAAUAUACCAAACCACAUAAAAUGUUCCAGAAUUAUUGGACAUAUAUUAAUUAUAUAUAAUAUAUAUAUCCAAUGCAAAUAGUUAUUGGAUUAACUCAAAGGCCCAAAAUAAAUGUUUCAGUCACUCCAAAAAUAUUGGUUUGCACUUUACCUCAUGCCAAUAUUUCUACGGAAUAACAGGAACAUUUUCUUGGACUCACUUGAUGAGAUUUAAAUGUUGGUUAUUUUUAGAGGUUUUCUGAGGCUUUUGAAAAUUCCUCAAUUCAAAUUUCAUUUGAAUUUAAACAUGAUGCACACAUGGAAGCUAGCAUAGGUCAGGCCAGAACUAGGGACGUGACACCCCUCCUGGUAACACAUAAUUUCAAAAAGAUAAGCGGUGUGCGGCCUGCAUGUAAGUCUGGCUUUGAUAUUGCAGAUGUUGACGGACUGGAUCCGGACAAGCAACACUUAUUGCGCCAGCUGAAGGCCGGCGAGAGGGUGCUUAUGAAGGUACAGCAGGAGAGGAACAAACUCCAGGAUGCCCACACCCAGCUUGGGGAAGAGCUGAAAGGUGUUCGGGCCGAGCUGUCUGGCUCCGUGAAGGAGAAUCAGCGGCUUCGUCGCGGCAUCUAUCGUAAGUGCUUGAGCGAAUUCUUUUGAAAAGAAGAGUUCAGCGAGGAAGCCUAUUGACAGAAAUAUGCCUUGUAGGUGCACUCACAGGUCGCCCUGCGGAGGAAAUGCCCAUUUCGAUGGGUGACCAACUUCCCGAGCUGGUGCAACUGCUCGAACUUGUUCGGCAGGCGAUGAGUGGCGUCGUCCAGGCCCUAUGGCCAUCCGUCUCCCUACCCGAGGGCCUUGGAGAGCUUGCGGAGAAGCUUCAGGGAGCACGGCAGCGCUUCCGCUUAUGGAAGAUAUCGGCCUGCCGUCAAGGUGCCAGGGAGGCCUGGGCCAUGGUGAAGACGCGGUACAAGAAGGCGGAUCCAAACCACAUGGCCGAGGUCGGACCUGUGGGGCCUGAUGGGAAGGAGAUCCCUGUGAGCUUAGUGUACGGCCAAGUAGAGUUGGCCGCUAAGUAUUCCCAACGGGACUGUAAAUUAGACAGCCUGUUAGACGGGAUUGAGGAGGAGUACAAUCAGUCAUUUUGACGAUGUAUUUAAAAUGACAUGUAAAAUGCCUUCUAGCCGGAUUGUAGAUCGUUUGUGUUUGCCGACCUUUCCGCUUCGACCUCGGGACGCUAGAGUCUGGAGUGUGUCCGAAUACCUUCUCGUUUAUGACAAAACCGGGGCAUGCAUGGAGACCAGGCGUAGGGGUCAUUAGUGCUUUAUCAGACAAGUGCCCAACUAGUUAUGUUAUAUUACAUGGUUAGUAAGAAACAUCUUCCAGGGAGAAUAGUUCCGUUAAGGGUUCCUUUCCCUGGGAGGCAUGCCCUAAAGUGCAUGUCCAGACUGCGAAAAAAAGAGCAGGAAAACAUCUGGGGGCAGAUGGAUAAAUGUUUAAGAAAUCGUCUUUCAAGUCACCGACCGAAUAUUCCCUUAAGAACGCUAGCUUUUGGCUUCACCCAGUCUGAGGUACACAUCCGGCUGACCCGGCAGUAACAAUCGCAGAGGUGCUCCCUUUACCUCCUAGCCGAACAAUCGGGAACGUAGGGGUAAGCACAGGAGCCAGGCAACCCAGCUUGGCCAAAACUUAAGUCAUAUCGAUGCAUAUAAUGGUGAAUAAAAGGUACAUGUGGAAGUUUGACACAUGUGCUAGGCAUGAAGCCCGGAUAAGUAAGCUUCUGGUAAAGAAGCCCCCAGGUAUAAUGAGUGCGGAUAGCACAUCAAGUGUGUGCGAACAAUGCGCAAAUAGGCUUCUAAGGGCUUUUAUGAAAAAAUGUGAGAGAAAAGAGAGAAAUGAAAAGACGGCUGAAGUGUAAAAAUAUGGACGGAGGAAGGAAACGAACUCUUAGUCCGGCGCUAGGCGUAAAAUCUUCGGAGGCGGGCCGCGUUCCAUGGGUUCGGCUCGAGUUGGUUGUCCGAUGCAUUUCGCAGACGGUAUGCUCCGCCGGUCAAGACUUGGUCGAUGAUGAAGGGACCCUCCCAUUUGGGCUUGAGUUUGUCCUUUUUCUGGUCCGGCAGGCAUAGAACUAGUUGGCCAACGUUGUAAGUUUUGGCCCGUACUUCUCUGCUUUGAUAUCUUCGAGCCUGCUGCUGAUAGAAUGCGGAACGGGCCUUUGCCACAUCGCGUUCUUCCUCCAAUGCGUCCAAGCUGUCUUGCCGAUCCAGCUCGGCUUCUCUUUCUUCGUACAUGCGCACUCAAGGUGAGUCAUGAAUUAUGUCGCAGGGCAAAAUUGCCUCUGCACCGUAUACCAUGAAAAAUGGUGUGAUACCGGUAGUAUGGUUUGGCGUAGUCCGCAGCCCCCAGAGCACGGAGUCAUGCUCCUCUACCCAGUUAGUGUUAGAUUCCGUAAGGGACCGCACUAGUCUGGGCUUGAUGACGCUCAUUAUCAGACCAUUUGCGCGCUCAACUUGACCGUUGGUUUGAGGGUGAUAGACUGAAGCGUAAUCGAGCUUAAUGCCCAUAUUUUUGCACAAGAGUUUGACCUCGUUGGCCGUGAAGUUCGUGCCGUUAUCGGUGAUGAUGCUAUGGGGGACGCCAUAACGGUGUACUACCCUGGAUAUGAAGUCUAUCACUGGUUCGGACUCUGCCGUUUUAACUGGCUUGGCCUCUAUCCAUUUGGUGAAUUUGUCCACCAUGACCAAUAGGUACCUUUGCUUGUGGGUUCCCCCUUUAAGGGGUCCAACCAUGUCAAGCCCCCAGACCGCAAACGGCCAGGUAAUGGGUAUAGUUUUGAGGGCGGUAGGUCGCAUAUGGCUCUGAUUAGCAAAGAGCUGACAACCAACGCAUCUUUGGACUAAGUCCUGAGCAUCUUCCCGGGCCGUCGGCCAAUAAAAUCUUGUACGGAAGGCCUUGCCUACAAGGGCCCGAACUGCGGCGUGGUGUCCGCCUAGUCCGGCAUGAAUUUCUGCCAGAAGGUUUCGCCCUUCCUCUUUGGAGAUACACCUUUGAAGGACUCCGGUUGUGCUUUUCUUAUAAAGUUCUCCCUCGUGGACCUUGUAGGCUUUAGAUCGCCGAGCUAUGCAUCGGGCCUCAUUUUGGUCUUCAGGAAGUUCCUGCCUAAUUAAGUAGGCUAGGAAUGGCUCUGUCCACGGGGCAAUUACUGCCAUUAUUUCGUGGGCUGAAGGUGUUAUUUCAUCGGCUGAGCCGCCGAUUAUGUCAGAUUGUUCUGUGUUGGGUAGUGCGGCUGCUUCCGGGUUGUUAUUUCCGGACUCCUCUUCCCAUAGUACAGAUGGCUUAAAGAGCCGUUCCAGGAAGAUGUUUGGAGGGACAGCGUCGCGUUUCGCGCCGAUGUGUGCCAAUACGUCGGCUGCUUGGUUAUUAUCCCGGGCUACGUGGUGGAAUUCGAGUCCUUCGAACCGAGCUGACAUUUUUAGGACAGCGUUACGAUAGGCUGCCAUUUUUGGAUCCUUGGCAUCAAAGUCUCCAUUUACUUGGGAUAUUGCAAGGUUUGAAUCCCCGCGCACCUCUAGGCGUUGAAUGCCCAUGGAGAUUGCCAUCCGGAGGCCAUGUAGGAGGGCCUCGUAUUCGGCUGCGUUGUUGGAGUCCGUGUACAUUAUCUGGAGUACGUACUAGACUGUGUCCCCGGUUGGGGACGUCGAUACGACGCCAGCCCCCAAAUCGGCCAACAUUUGGAGCCGUCGAAAUGCAUAAUCCAAUUGGAGUAUGCGCCGUACUGUUUAGGGAGUUUGGCUUCAGUCCAUUCAGCAACAAAGUCAGCCAAGACUUGCGACUUUAUAGCUCGCCGAGGUUUGUAAGUUAUAUCGAAUGGUAAGAGCUCCAUGGCCCAUUUUGCAAUCCUGCCCGUCGCGUCACGGUUGUUUAUAAUGUCGUUGAGGGGCACUUCGGAGGCCACUGUUAUCGAACACUCUUGAAAGUAGUGUCGAAGCUUCCGGGAUGCCAUGAACACCGCGUACGCUAUCUUUUGAUAGUGCGGGUAACGGGACUUGCAGGGGGUUAAGACAGUGGAUACGUAGUACACUGGUUUUUGAAGACGGAAUUUAUGCCCUUCUGUUUCUCGUUCAACGACGAGCACCGCGCUUACAACUUGAUGUGUUGCCGCGAUAUAUAACAACAUUGGUUUGCCCAGGUUAGGCGCAGCUAGGACCGAAUUUGUUGCCAAUAUGGCUUUUAUUUCUUCGAGUCCGGCAGUGGCAGCAUCCGUCCAUUCAAAGUGUUCGGUGCGCCUGAGGAGGCGAUAGAGGGGCAAUGCCUUUUCUCAAAAACGGGAGAUGAAGUGGCUUAAGGCCGCCACGCAUCCAGUCAAUUUUUGUAUUUGUUUGAGGUCUUUUGGAAUAUCCAGCUGUGACAGAGCUCGGAUCUUGGCUGGGUUUGCUUCAAUUCCUCUACUAGAUACAAUGAAGCCCAGGAGCUUUCCGGCUGGUAUGCCGAAAACGCAUUUUUCUGGAUUCAGCUUGAUGUCAUAUGAUCGGAGGUUGUCGAAUGUGAGCCUCAAAUCGUUUACUAGAGUUUCGACAUUUUUGGUUUUGACGACUAUGUCAUCUAUGUAUGCCUCUACUGUUUUGCCGAUCUGGGUAGCCAGACAUGUCUGAAUCAUGCACCGAUAUGUUGCGCCGGCGUUUUUGAGUCCGAAGGUCAUCGUGUUAAAGCAGAAUGGUCUAUAUGGAGUAAUGAAUUCCGUUGCGGCUUGGUCCGCCUCCGCCAUCUUAAUUUGAUGGUAGCCAGAGUAUGCGUCAAGGAAGCACAAUGAAUCGUGCCCUGCGGUAGCAUCGAUUAUUUGGUCGAUGCGGGGAAGGGGGAAGGGAUCCUUUGGGCAGGCCUUGUUGAGGUCUUUAAAAUCGACACAUACGCGCCAGGAUUUAUCCUUCUUUGGUACCAUUACCAGGUUUGCUAGCCAGUCCGGAUGUUUGAUGUCUCUGAUGAAUCCGGCUUCCAGUAGUUUGGCUAGCUCUUCUCCCAAUGCCUAUCUUUUGGGUUCGGAAAAUCACCGAAGAGCCUGUUUGACUGGCUUGAAUCCUUUUAGGAUGUUUAGGCUGUGUUCUGCCAAUCUGCGUGGGAUUCCUGGCAUAUCUGAAGGGUGCCAGGCAAAGAUGUCCCAAUUUUCCCGAAGGAAUUCUCGUAGUGCGGCGUCUACAUCAGGGUUCAACUGUGCCCCGAUGGAGGCCGUCUUUGUUUGGUCCAUUGGAUGGACCUGGAAUUUGACUAUUUCGUCAGCUGGUUUAAAGGAGGUGGACUUGGAUCUCUUAUCGAGUAUCACAUCAUCCCUAUUUACCGUGGAGCGCAGCACGGUGAGUUCCUCUGCAGCUAGGGCUUCGGAUAGUGCCUCCAGGGCUAAUGCGGCUGUCUUGUUUUCGGCGCGGAGUGUUGUGUCCGGAUCACUAACGAGAGUGAUUAUUCCACCGGGCCCGGACAUCUUAAGCUUCAUUUAUCCGUAAUGGGGUAUGGCUUGAAAAAUUGUGAAUGCCUCCCGUCCUAAUAUAGCGUGAUAUCCACUGCUGAAUGGGGCCACUUGGAACGUGACUUCUUCGGACCUGUAAUUGUUCGGCAUACCGAACACCACAUCAAGUGUGAUUUUUCCUGUGCAACGUGCUUCCCGGCUGGGGAUUAUUCAUCUGAAGGUUGUGCUGCUUCGCUCAAUGCGGCUCCAGUCUAUUUCCAUUUUUGGAAGAGUUUCCUCGUAGAUGAGGUUUAAUCCGCUGCCGCCAUCCAUGAGUACCAUGGUAAGGCGAAAGCCGUCCACUAUUGGACUGAGGACCAAUGCGGCCGGUGCUCGGGCUGUUCGGAAUUUAGGUUCGUCGUAGGCGUUGAAGGUGAUGGCCGUGUUGCUCCAUGGAUUUGUUGUUGCUACUUGGUAGACUUCGGCGAGGCUGCGGAUUGUUCGUUUCCGCAUAUUAUUUGAUGCGAAAGUCUCGAAGACUGCUGACACCGUACUGGUACUGUUGGAGUGUCUCUCCGGGGCUAGAAGCUCUUCGCCACUUUUGGCCACCUGUCGUAGUAUCCAACAUGCUCGAAGGCUGUGUGUUGGAGUGGCGCCUUCUGUACUGUGAAUUUUACAGGGUCCGCUGAGCUAUCCCUCCAAUACGGUUCCGUGCCCUUUAUGGGGUUUUUGCUUUUUGGUUUUUGUACCUGGUGCCUGAGUGUGAUGCACCCUUUUGUUUCGGACUAGGGUUGUAUUCGGGGCCGGAUUGUCCCAAAACUUAGUUUCGGUUUUCCAGAAACUCUCCAUCGCACAGUACUUUCAUACUAUGGACGCCAGAUCGCCGAAGCGUGUAAUUUCACGACGACUGAUGGCGUUCGAGAUUCCCUCGUCCGUGCAAUUAUUGCAGAAAAUUGAGAUUGUGUUUUCCUCACGGCAGUCCUUUAUCCUGUCCAUAACCAGGAGGAAUCUGGCCCAGUAAUGAUGUACUGUCUCAGCGGGCUCUUGCCGGAUUUGAGAUAGAUCGCAUAUGUCUGGGUGGGUGGGUGGAAACAAGUGCGGACGGUAAACAUGAUAUAUGCAACCCACAUACCCAAGAGGGAGCGGAAGCGUGCACGUCGGGACGUAUAUGACAUGGAGCCAGUCGCCCCGAAGUUCAAUCCAUUGUCCUCUUGCCCGAUCACUUUCGAUCGAAGGCACCACCCCACCAGUAUCCGCCAUGGCGGAUUUGCCGCAUUGGUUUUAGACCCAAUCAUCGAUGGAUUUCACCUCACUAGAGUCCUGAUGGACGGCGGCAGCAGCCUGAACCUACUUUAUCAGGAUACAGUGCGCAAGAUGGGCAUAGACCCCUCAAGGAUUAAACCUACAAAGACGACCUUCAAAGGCGUCAUACCAGGUGUCGAGGCCAAUUGUACAGGCUCGGUCACACUAGAAGUGGUCUUUGGAUCCCCGGAUAAUUUCCGAAGCGAGGAGUUAAUCUUCGACAUAGUCUCGUUCCGCAGUGGCUAUCACGCCCUGCUCGAACGAACCGCAUUUGCAAAGUUCAACGCGGUGCCGCAUUAUGCAUACUUCAAGCUCAAGAUGCCAGGCCCCCGUGGAGUCAUCACGGUCAACGGAAACACCGAACGCUCCCUCCGAACGGAGGAACACACACCGGCUCUCGCGGCAGAAGUACAGAGCAGCCUCUUAAGGCAAUUUUCGAGUCCGGCCGUUAAAAGACCGGACAUGAUUAAACGCGCUCGGAGUAACAUACAUCAAGACCACCUGACACGUUCCGAGCAUGCGUAGCAAUGCAGCCCCAACCCCAGCCCCUGCAUGAUUGCAAGACUAGCCCUCCGCGUACAUCAUUACGCUCUGGAGAUACCUUGGGCACAGGGGGAGGGGCAUGACCACGACAGGCCCAGAGUGCGGCUCAACCACACCAGGGGCUCCCAAGUGUGUCGCUCUUUUUCUUUUCCUUUUUAUUUUAUCCACAGGACUCCGUUCACCAGAGACCCUGCCCGGCGAUGGAUCUGCCGAACUCACGAUGCAACAGCCAGGGAGGGGCAAUGGCUACGACGAACACUCAGGUGGUCUCCAUUAUGAGCAUUAAAUCGGUUUAAUACACCAUACCACAGCCUACCCCUGGAGGGGGACAUGUCUAAUAGUCCAAACCCUUGCUUACCGCACUAUUUGUAUCGUUCUGCACUCAUAGCAGAAUUCCUUGAAUAAACAAUGCAUCACUUUUUCGCUUAUAAUUGCAUUCCUUUUCUUUAUAUAUAUGUUCAUUUAUGACAUCUUGCAUCUGUACAAUUUGGUACGGCCGAAUACACCAGGGGCUUAUGUUCCCCGCAUUAUGGUGUCGUAAGUCCGAACACUUUCACAAGUGCGGCAUCCCGAACUUAUAGCACUAUAUGCAUCGGCUCCGAAUCAUGUCUUGGGUCAAUAGUUGGAUUUGCCCGGCUCCCAUGUUUUGGUACCUUAUGUUCCGUUCUAUCGGCUGAGGUAGCACUGGGAGAACCACUGCGAUUGCGCCCCGGUUGAGCUGGGCGAGCGCCUCAGUGGAGAAAACUAAAACUGACCGUCAUGAUAAGGCCAGAGAUGGUCGCUGUUCGAGAGGUCUUUUCGAGUCCCUAAAGACUUAUGCCGCUUAGAGCGAGGAACCGGCUGUGUCCGGCCCAGGCGUGGCUAGCGCCCCGAACUCGGUCUUCCGAACACUAGGGGCUUCGCCGAAAUUUAAAAUUAUAGAAUUCUAUGGCUAAGUGAGAGUGUUCAAGCAUUAUAAGUCCGGUUGCCUUGUUCAUUGUGUUGAGCGCCUCCCUAGAUGGACCCAAAAAUGGGAACAAGAGCGCUCAAGUUUGUCCCGAACACCCCAGCACUCGUGGCAUGGGGGCUGAAGCCGACGACUUGCCAUCUCUCAGAUUUGAUAAACGGCCGCACAGAAGGUAAUAUUUUAAAUUAAUAAGCGUUGCUUAGCGCAUAUGAACAAAGUUUUCAGCGCACAGGAUAACACAUCGCGAGUUUACUCAAAAAUUACAUCUCUGGGGCACUCAUCCGCAAUCUUGCGGGCACCCUUCAGGACACUCUUAUAGUACAUUUCGGGCGUACGAUACUCCUUGCCCGCCGGCGGCGCGUCUGUCAGAAGCCUCUCAGCAUCCAGCCUGCCCCAGUGCACCUUUGCGCGGGCAAGGGCCCGACGGGCACCUUCAAUGCAGGCGGAGCGCUUGAUGACCUCCAGCCAAGGGCACGCAUCCACCAGCCGCCGCACGAGGCCGAAGUAGCUCCCAGGCAUGGCCUCUCCAGGCCACAGCCGGACUACGAGGCCCUUCAUGGCCUGCUCGGCUACCUUGUGGAGCUCGACCAGCUGCUUCAGCUGGUCGCUAAGGGGCACCGGAUGUCCGGCCUCAGCAUACUGAGACCAGAAGACCUUCUCCGUUGAGCUCCCCUCCUCGGCCCGAUAGAAUGCAGCGGCAUCGGACACGCUGCAAGGCAGAUCUGCAAACACCCCUGGAGAGCUCCGAAUUCGGGUAAGUAACAGGUAAUUCACAUUCACAUGCUUGCUUUGCAUGAAAAAUGCCAUACCCGCCGCUAUUUUCUUCGCCGCCUCAAUCUCCUGGAGGGCCUUAUGGGCCUCAGCCUUAGCGGCUUUGGCACUUUCAAGAGCCGAGGCAAGCUCGGACUCUCGAGUCUUCGAGUCGCGCUCCAAACUCUCAUGCUUUUCCAUGAGAGCCUGGAGCUCUUGCCGCACCGCCGCCACCCGCGCCUCAUGCUUCUCUCGUCCGCUCGUUCCGCGGCCGCAUUACGUUCGGCCGCGGACACGGCCUCCUUCAGGGUCGCCACCUCAUUCGUGGCCCCUGCAGUACCCACAUUAUCCUUGCCAUUUCUAUUGCAACCAAAAUCCUUUUCUGUAAGGUACAAAUUUAAUGCGGUGUUACUCACCUUCUUUGUCCUCGAGCUGCUUUUUGGCAAGGCCGAGCUCGUGCUCGAGGUCCUGCUUGAAAGCACCGACCUCUGCAGUCAGUGCGGCAGAGGUCGGCAGCGCAGCCUGCAAUCCCAUACUGACAUAAUUUUUAGAACUCCUGUGUAUAUCUUUUUUUUAGGUCCUCAGUUCGGUUUUUCUGUCCGAACACCGAACCGAGCAUCAGGGGCUACUGUCUAUGCGGUACUACAUUACAUAUUUUAAAACUUCUUACCUCAAAGCCUGUUAGAAGGCUGCUGCAGGCUUCGGUCAGCCCACUCUUGGCGAGCUGAACCUUCUGAAUCACCGCACUCAUAAUAGUGCGGUGUUCUUCCUCGAUGGAAGUGCCGUUGAGCACCUCCAACAAGUUGUCCGGCGCCUCCGGUUGGACGGAGGCUGCCGGUGUCACGGUCUUGGCCUUCUUACGAAGGGGCCGCCUGCCGGACUCCGGAACCACUGCGGGUUCCGGCACGGAGUCCGGCACGAAGUCCGGGAGGUUGCCUUGUGGCACCUCCGGAGCCUCCCCCUCCUGGCGGGUCCCCUCCUUGGAUCCCACCUCGGCGUCCUCAGCAUCGCGAGGGGUGGAGGCGGUCGGAGUGGAAUCUACAUCCGACGGAGCCAAGGACCCUCUGGAUGAAGCGGGAAGAUCCUCCUCGGCCGGGCUACAGGUAGUGUGCGGCGUUAGAAGGACACUACGUGGCACAAAAGAGCAACUACAAAUCACUCAGGAAUCCGGAUACUUACGAUCUUGCUAGGGGCUUGGCCCUUGAGGGCCACUCCUCGUCGCCGUCGUUGGCGUUGGCGGAGCUGUCCGGAGGAAGGGUCCUUCCCCUCUUGGACCCUUCGGCCUCCCCCGUUGGGGAAGCCUUCCUCUUCCUCUCUCCCCCCUCCUGGGGAGAGUCUUCUUUCUCCUCCUCGCCUUCGGGGGAGGAGUCUGCCUCGGAGUCAUCGGACGAUGAGUCCGAUACCACCUGGCGCCAGGAACUCCUUCGGGUUCCCGUGGCCUUCUUCUUGGCCUUCUUCUCCGGCACCACAUAAAGUGUCGGGACUAGCAGCCCCGUUAAACGGGCGUCCGCUGGUUCCUCGGGGAGGGGAGCCGGACAGUUAACCUGUCCGGACGUCCUCUGCCAGUCCUGUUAAAGGCAUUGGGAAUUUCAGAUCCCACAUAGAGUCAAACUAUGAAAGAAAUAAAUGUCCCAUAAAGGAUAACACAUCUUACCACACCGGUCGGGCGCUUGGUGCUGAAUCCGCGAUCUUCAGUCGCGGACGCGGGGGCUUCUCCGCCCUUGAACAGCACCCUCCAGGCAGCUUCGUACGUCGUGUCGAAGAGCCCGCUCAGGGUCCGGUGCUGUGCCGCAUCGAACUCCCACGGAUUGAAGGCCCGUUGUUGGCAGGUGAGAAUCCGGCGGACGAGCAUGACCUGGAUCACGUUGACAAGCUUGAGCUUCUUGUUCACCAAGGUCUGGAGACAGGACUGGAGUCCGGUCAGCUCCUUCGAACUGCCCCAUAGCAAGCCCUUCUCUUUCCAGGAGGUGAGCUGCAUGGGGGUACCAGAUCUGAACUCGGGGGCCGCUGCCCAUUUAGGGUCCCGCGGCUCGGUGAUAUAGAACCACCCCGAUUGCCAUCCUUUGAUGGUUUCCACGAAGGCGCCCUCGAGCCAGAGGACGUUGGGCAUUUUUCUCACCAUGGCGCCUCCGCACUCCGCUUGGAUGCCCUUCACUACCUUCGGCUUGACAUUGAAGGUUUUUAGCCACAAGCUGAAGCGGGGCUGGAUGCAGAGGAAGGCCUCGCACACGACGAUAAAUGCCGAGAUUUUGAGGAUGAAGUUUGGCGCCAGAUCGUGGAAGUCCAGGCCGUAGUAGUACAUGAGCCCCCGGACGAAGGGAUGAAGUGGGAAGCCCAGUCCGCGGAGGAAGUGGGGAAGGAAUACGACCCUCUCAUGGGGCCUGGGGGUGGGGAUGAGCUGCCCCUUGUCGGGCAGCCGGUGCGCGAUGUCGCUGGACAGGUAUCCGGCGCCGCGCAGCUUCUCGAUGUGCUCCUCCGUAAUGGAGGAGGUCAUCCACUUGCCUCCCGCUCCGGACAUGGCUGGAGAAGGUUGAGACGAGAUGUGCGGACUUGGGCGCUGGAGCUCGAGUGCGCGGAGAUGGAUAAGCAAAGGAGGAAGAAGGCCUAGGUAAAAAAGGUGGAUCCUUAUCCCCGUAUAUAUGGGCGGACGAAGACUAUGCGUCCCCACCGGCCUGGUAAAACUCGCUUAUUUCCCAAGCGCCACCAUCAACGGCGCGGUUGGGUUACCCACGUCCGUAUUGAUGGGAAUCCCGAAAUAACGGGAACACGAUCUAUGCUUCGACAAGACGUGCCAAGGAAACCGCUUCACUAAACGCGCUGAGGUGGUAUAAUAAAAAACGAUUCAAGUAAAGGCUUGGUAGUGGAAUGACGUCAUGCCACGAAAUACGUCAGCAGAUUGAACUUCUGUACAUAUUAUUCUCUCUACAGUGGAAUGUGGAAUUUAUUUUGCAGAGCCGGACACUAUCCUUGUGUUCACAAUCUUCUAUGAAUUAUUCGGAGGAGGAACCCGCCUUGCAAUGCCGAACAAUAUGCGCGCCGGACUCAUCGUCAUUGAAGCCUGGUUCAGGGGCUACUGAGGGAGUCCUGGACUAGGGGGUGUCCGGAUAGCCGGACUAUCAUCAUCGGCCGGACUCCAAGACUAUGAAGAUACAAGAUUGAAGACUUCGUCCCGUGUCCGGAUGGGACUUUCCUUGGCGUGGAAGGCAAGCUUGGCGAUACGGAUAUGUAGAUCUCCUACCAUUGUAACCGACUCUGUGUAACCCUAGCCCUCUCCGGUGUCUAUAUAAACCGGAGGGUUUUAGUCCGUAGGACACACAACCAUUACAACAAUCAUACCAUAGGCUAGCUUCUAGGGUUUAGCCUCCUUGAUCUUGUGGUAGAUCCACUCUUGUACUACCCAUAUCAUCAAUAUCAAUCAAGCAGGAGUAGGGUAUUACCUCCAUCGAGAGGGCCCGAACCUGGGUAAAAACAUCGUGUCCCUUGUCUCUUGUUACCAUCCGCCUAGACGCAUAGUUCGGGACCCCCUACCCGAGAUCCACCGGUUUUGACACCGACAUUGGUGAUUUCAUUGAGAGUUCCUCUGUGUCGUCACCGAUAGGCUCGAUGGCUUCUUCAAUCAACGACACCGUCCAGGGUGAGACUUUUCUCCCCGGGCAGAUCUUCGUGUUCGGCGGCUUUGCACUGCGGGCCAAUUCACUCGGCCGUCUGGAGCAGAUCGAAAGCUAUGCCCCUGGCCAUCAGGUCAGAUUUGGAAGCCUAAACUUCACGGCUGACAUCCGCGGAGACUUGAUCUUCGAUGGAUUCGAGCCACAGCCGAGCGUGCCACACUGUCACGAUGGGCAUGACUUAGCUCUGCCGCCGGAUAGUACCCUGGAGGCCGCACAUGAGUCCGCUCUGACCCAUAGUUCGGAGCCAACCACGCAGAUCGAGGACAGGUGGCUGGACACCGCCUCGGGAGCUGCAACUUCUACGGCGAUGGAGCCGAAUACUGACCUUGUCCCUUGCAAAGCUCGUGACUCCGAGGUGCCGGACUCCUUGUCGGACUCCAAACCUCUGGCGCCCCUACCAAUCGAAUCCGAUGGGGUGCCGAUCAUGGAGUUCACCGCCGCGGACAUCUUUCAGCACUCACCCUUUGGCGACAUCCUGAAUUCGCUAAAGCAUCUCUCGUUAUCGAGAGAGCCCUGGCCGGACUGCGGUCAGGAUGGUUGGGAUGCGGACGACGAAGAAAUUCAAAGCCCACCCACCACCCACUUUAUAGCCACUGUCGACGAUCUAACCGACAUGCUAGACUACGACUCCGAAGACAUCGACGGUAUGGACAACGACGCCGGAGACGAUCAAGAACCAGCGCCUACGGGGCACUGGAAGGCCACCUCAACUCAUGAUGUAUAUAUGGUGGACACUCCAAAGGGGAGCGAUAACGAGGAACAACGGGACACGGCGAAGGAUAAUUCAUCCAAAAAACAACCAAAACGGCGACGCAAGCGCCGCCCCAAGUCCCGCCUCAAUAACAUCAGCAUCCAUAAUGACCCAGUCAUAGAGCAGGGCAAACCAAUGGGCGACGAGCAUGCAACCAAGCAGCCAUCAGAACAGGAUGAACUGGAUGACCAGCUCAUCCUCGGCGAAAACAACAGUCUGGAUGAUCUCACGCCGGACACACCACCGGAGCGCAAGAACCUCCAAAAAAGGCUUGUCGCCACCGCAAGAAGUUUGAAGAAGGAAAAACGGAAGCUCAAAACAGCGGAAGACAUACUCAGAAUGAGGUGGAGCAAAGUACUCAAGACCGCGGACAAAUAUGGCAAUGACCACCAAACAAACAGCUACCCGAAGCGCAAGCUGCUGCCAGAAUUCGACGAGGAGGCCAUAGAGCCCCCACAGGCAAAAAGCAAAGAGGCCGCCUGGCCGGAUAGACGACCAGAUGACAGGCCAGGAGCGGCAAGCGGCACCGCACAUAAGCCAGCACAUGACACAUAUAAAUAUCCUCGCAAAACGGAUGGUCCGGUCAGGCCAUCUAUGGGCCAAAAAAGAGGGCUGUCGGUGUCAAAACCGGUGGAUCUCGGGUUGGGGGUCCCAAACUGUGCGUCUAGGCGGAUGGUAACAGGAGACAAGGGACACUUUUUUUUGCCCAGGUUCGGGCCCUCUUAAUGGAGGUAAAACCCUACGUCCUGCUUGAUUAAUAUUGAUGAUGUGUAUUACAAGAGUGGAUCUACCACGAGAUCAAGGAGGCUAAACCCUAGAAGCUAGCCUAUGGUAUGAUUGUUGUAAUGGAGGUUAUGUCCUACGGACUAAAGCCCUCCUGUUUAUUUAGACACCGGAGAGGGCUAGGGUUACACAGAGUCCGUUACAAUGGUAGGAGAUCUACAUAUCCGUAUUGCCAAGAUUGCCUUCCACGCCAAGGAAAGUCCCAUCCGGACACGGGAUGGAGUCUUCAAUCUUGUAUUUUCGUAGCCUUGGAGUCCGGCGGACGAUGAUAGUCCGGCUGUCCGGACACCCCCUAGUCCAGGACUCCCUCAGUAGCCCCUGAACCUGGCUUCAAUGACGAUGAGUCCGGCGCGCAUAAUGUUUGGCAUUGCAAGGCGGGUUCCUCCUUUGAAUAAUCCAGAGAAGAUUGUGAACACCAGGAUAGUGUCCGGCUCUGCAAAAUAAAUUCCACAUUCCACCAUAGAGAGAAUAAUAUAUACACAAGUUCAAUCUGCUGACGUAUCUUGUGGCAUGACGUCACACCACUACCAAGCCUUUACUUGAAUCGUUUUUUAUUAUACCACCUCAGCGCGUUUAGCGAAGCGGUUUCCUUGGCACGUCUUGUCGAAGCAGAGAUCAUGUUCCCCUUAUUCUGGGAUUCUCAUCAAUACGGACGUGGGUAACCCAACCGCGCCAUUGAUGGUGGCGCUUGGGAGAUAAGCGAGUUUUACCAGGCUAGUGGGGACGUAUAGUCUUCGUCCGCCUAUAUAUAAGGGAUAAGGAUUCACCUUUUCACCUACGCCUUCUUCCUCCUUUGCUUAUCCAUCUCCGCGCACUCGAGCUCCAGCGCCCAAGUUCGCACAUCUCACCUCGACCUUCUCCGACCAUGUCCGGAGCGGGAGGUAAAUGGCUGGCCUCCACCGUUAAGGAGGAGCAUAUCACAAAGCUGCGCAGCGCCGGAUACCUUUCCGGCGACGUCGCGCACCGGCUGCCCGACGAGGGGCAACUCAUCCCCACCCCCGGGCCCCAUGAGAGUGUCGUUUUCCUCCCCCACUUCCUCCGCGGACUGGGCUUUCCACUUCACCCCUUUGUCCGGGGGCUCAUGUUCUACUACGGCUUGGAUUUCCAUGAUCUGGCGCCGAACUUCAUCCUCAACAUCUCGGCGUUUAUCGUCGUGUGCGAGGCCUUCCUCUGCAUCCAGCCCCACUUUGGCUUGUGGCUCAAGACCUUCAAUGUCAAGCCGAAGGUAGUGAAGGGCACUCAAGCGGAGUGCGGAGGCGCCAUGUUGGGCAAGAUGCCCAACGUCCUUUUGUUCGAAGGGGCCUUCGUGGAAUCAGUCAAGGGGUGGUAGUCGGGGUGGUUCUACAUCACCGAGCCGCGCGACCCUUCGUGGGCGGCGGCCCCCGAAUUCAGAUCUGGUAUCCCCAUGCAGCUCACCUCCUGGAAAGAGAAGGGCUUGCUGUGGGGCAAUUCGAAGGAGCUGACGGGACUCCGAGCCUGUAUCCAGAAGCUGGUGGACAAGAAGCUCAGGCUGGUUAAUGUAGUCCAAGUCAUGCUCGUUCGCCGGAUUCUCCCAUGCCAAGAACGGGCAUUCAAUCUGUGGGAGUUCGAUCCGGAACAACACUAGGCGCUGAGCGGGCUCUUCGACACAACGUACGAAGGCGCCUGGAGGGUGCUGUUUAAGUGCGCCGAAGGCCCCUGCAUCCACGACGGAAGAUCGCGGAUUCCACUCGCAGCGUCCUGCUGACGAGGUAAGUGAUUCUACCCCUUUACGGGACACUUGUUGUUAAUAGUUCGACCCUAAGCGGGUUUUAAUCUCCUUUUUCCAUUGACAGGAAUGGAUGAAGAAGGCCGAGCAGCUCAUCUGCCCGGCUCCCAUGCCAGAAGACCCAGUGGACGUCCGUCUAGCGGGGUUGCUGGUUCCGGCACCGCACGUGGUGCCGGAGAAGAAGGCCAAGAAGGUGGCCACGGGUACUCGAAAGAGUACCCGUUUUCAGGUGUCCGACGACUCCGAGGUGGAUUUGUCUCCCGAGAAUGAGGAGGAGGAAGAAGACCUUCUCCCAGAGGAGGGAGAGAGAAAGAGGAAGGCCUCCCCAACAGGGGAGGCCGAAGGGUCCAAGAGGGGAAGAACUAUUCCCCCGAACAGUUCCGCCAACACCAACGUCGGCGAUGAAGAGUGGCCCUCGAGGGCCAGGCCUCAGGCGAGAUCGUAAGUAUCCAGAUCCCUGAAUGAUCUACAAUUUCUUUCCGUUCACAUAAUGUCCUUCUAAUGCCGCAUACUGCCUGUAAUCCGGCCGACGAUGAUCUCCCUGCUUCGUCGAGCGGGUCGUUGGCGGCGUCGGAUGUGGAAUCCAUUCCGACUGCCUCCACCCCUCGCGCCGCUGAGGACGCCGAGGUGGGAUCCCGGGAGGGGACCCAUCAGGAGGAGGCUCCAGAGGCGCCGAAAUGCAGCCUCCCGGACUUUGCGCCGGACUCUACGCCGGAACCUGCAGUGGUUCCAGAGUCCGGCAGGCGGCCCCUUCGCAAGAAGGGCAAGACCGUGACACCGGCGGCCCCCAUCCAACCGGAAGCGCCGGACAACUUGUUGGAGGCGCUCAAAGGCGCUUCCAUCAAGGAAGAACACCGCACUAUCAUGAGUGCAGUGAUUCAGAAGGUUCAGCUCGCCAAGAGCAGGCUGACCGAAGCCUGCAGCAGCCUUCUGACAGGCUUUGAGGUAAGAAGUUAAAAUUAUGUAAUGUAAUACCGCAUAGACAGUAGCCCCUGAUGCUCGGUUCGGUGCUCGGAAAGAAAAGCCGGACUGAGGAUCUAAAAAGAUAUACGCAGGGUUGCUUAAAAAAUAUGUCAAUAUGGGUUUGCAGGCUGCGCUGCUGACCUCUGCCGCACUGACUGCAGAGUUGGUGCAUUGAAGCAGGAUCUCGAGUGGUCCGAGCAAGAGCUCGGCCGAGCCAAGAAGCAGCUCGAGGACAAAGAAGGUGAGUAACACCACUUUAAAGAUUUACCUUACAGAAAAGGAUUUAGGUUGCAAUAAAAAUGACAAGGAUAACCUGGGUACUGCAGGGGCCACUAACGAGGUGGCAACCCUGAAGGAGGCUGUGUCCGCGGCCGAACGUAAUGCAGCCACGGAACGGGCCGAGCGAGAGAAGUAGGAGGCGCGGGUGGCGGAAGUGCGACAAGAGCUCCAGGCUCUCAUGGAGAAGCAUGAGAGUUUGGAGCACGACUCCAAGACUCGAGAGUCCGAGCUCGCCUCGGCUCUCGAAAGUGCCAAGUCCGCCAAGGCCGAGGCCCGUAAGGCCCUUCAGGAGAUUGAAGAUGUGAAGAAGAUAGCGGCGGGUAAGGCAUUUUUCAUGCAAAGCAAGCAAGUUAAUGUAAACUACCUGACACUUACCCGCAUUCGGAGCUCUCCAGGGGCAUUUGCAGAUCUGCCGCGCAGUAUAUCCGAUGCCGCCGCAUUCUACCAUGGCCAGGAGGGGUGUCACACCCAAGAUGCGACCCUAUCCUAAAGGAACUCGAAGGUCCCACCAAGGAUAGAAGCGCAUCUUGAAGACGCUUUUGCAAGGUGGAUAUCAUUACAUCAACAUUACAUAAUAGUGGGGAUACAUACAUAAGGCAUACAAUGCCACACGAAUACAACAUCAUCAUACAAGAGAUCAACAUCCGACUACGGAUGAUACAUAAACAGAAACUCAAACAAUAUCCACCCUGCUAGCCUAGGCUGCCGACCUGGAACCUAUCCCCUGAUCGAAGAAGAAGCAGAAGAAGAACUCAACGCAAGCAAGCCGCUCUCGCGUCAUGAUCAUCGCAUAACCUGUACCUGCAACUGUUGUUGUAGUAAUCUGUGAGCCACGAGGACUCAGCAAUCCCAUUACCAUGGGUAUCAAGACUAGCAAAGCUUAAUGGGAAAGGAAGGGGUAAGGUGGUGAGGUUGCAGCAGCGACUAAGCAUGAUAUGGUGGCUAACAUACGCAAAUGAGAGCGAGAAGAGAAACAAAGGAACAGUCGUGAAGCUAGCAAUGAUCAAGAGGUGAUCCUGAAAUCCUACUUACGUCAAACAUAACACAGAAACCGUGUUCACUUCCCGGACUCCGCCGAGAAGAGACCAUCACGGCUACACACGCGGUUGAUGCGUUUUAAUUCGGAUCUGGUGUCAAGUUGUCUACAACCGGACAUUAACAAAUUCCCAUCUGCCACAUAACCGUGGGCACGGCUCUCGAAAGUUUAUACCCUGCAGGGGUGUCCCAACUUAGCCCAUGACAAGCUCUCGCGAUCAACGAAGGAAUAUACCUUCUCCCAGGAAGACCCGAUCAGUCUCGGAAUCCCGGUUUACAAGACAUUUCGACAAUGGUAAAACAAGACCAGCAAAGCCGCCCGAUGCGCCGACAAUCCCGAUAGGAGCUGCACAUAUCUCGUUCUCAGGACAACACCGGAUAAGUGAAGCGUAUAGGUACCGACAAAUCCAAGUUGCCAAGGAAUGGUCCCGCACCUUAGACAAGCAUUGGCCCGGGGGGGCUAUAAUAAAGAUGACCCUUGGGUUAAUUACUCCCAAGGGAAAAGUAGGUGGUGGUGAGGCAAAUGGUAAAACCAAGGUUGGGCCUUGCUGGACAAGUUUUAUUCAAGGCGAACUGUCAGGGGGGUCCCAUAAAUCACCCGACCGCGUUAGGAACGCAAAAUCCGGGAACAUAAUACCGGUAUGACGGAAACUAGGGCGGCAAGAGUGGAACAAAACACCAGGCAUAACGCCGAGCCUUCCACCCUUUACCAAGUAUAUAGAUGCAUUAAUAAUAUAAGAGAUAUUGUGAUAUCCCAACCAAAAUCCUGUCCACCAUGGAGAAAUCUUCAACUUCACCUGCAACUAGCAACGCUAUAAGAGGGGCUGAGCAAAGCGAUAACAUAGCCAAACAACGAUUUGCAUAGGAAAGGUGUCAAAGGUUAGAGGUUCAUGGCAAUAUGGGAUGGCUUGAUAAACAGGUAAUAGGUAGCGCAGCAUAGCGAUAGAACGAAGCAACUAGCAUAGCAAUGAUAGUAGUGAGAUCCAGGGUAGCGGUCAUCUUGCCUGAAAUCCCGCAAGGGAGAAGAACGAGUCCAUGAAGAAGGCAAACGGAUGAAGCCGAACCAACCGUAGAUGAACGAAUCCUCACGAUCGCAACGAAACAGGAACUAACAAGAAGAAGCACACAACAUAGGUAAACACACCACACAUGAACAAGGCAUGAUGCACAACAAGCAUGAUGCAUGACCAAGCUACAUGAAGCUACUCAU